AAUUUUCAUCUUUUACAAUUCGAGUAUAGCUUAUCCCAUGCCAUGCAAGACGCUAUGUCUUGGAGAGGAUGGAUUUUGAAGACCAUGAAAUUGCUGAAACAAAGAAAAUUCACCUAAGGACUCAUCACGAUGUGGACUUUGAAGUAAAUCUAUAUAAUUCUGAGAGCGUAACCCAUUUUGGUUGCAAAAAUUGGGAAGCAUUUUGCAAUAUGUAUGGUUUUGAUGAGGGUAUGCUUAUCACCAUGGAUCUUGGUAAUCCUGACAUCAACCAAGACAAUAUGGACAUUUGGGUCCUUGUUGAUACGCCUCCAGUUCUACCGCUAUGUGAGUUUCUCAAACAUAGUUAUUAGCUAAUUUAUAUUGUUUAUUUCAAAAUAGUUGACAGCUUAUUUCCAUUGACAGCUUAUUUUUAUUGUUCAAAGAAUGUGCGGGAGAUGGUAGACAAAACCCACUACACCGAUGGCUCCAAAUUAACAACUUACAAGGAGAAAAAUCAUUUGGUCAGAUUUUGUACUGACAUUGAGAAUUACAAUAUCUACAAUCAAACUCCUCAACAUUAUGGUAAAUACGUGCCACUAGUGCAUGUGUUCAACUACGGUAACUACCAUGGAGAUACCCUGGUAAGAUUUUUACUAUUACGACAUCCGUGCAUCUUUUGCAUACUUCUAAAACUAGUACAUCAUUGCUAACUAUGAAGUUAUUACUAUGUUUUUCAACAGAUAAUCCCAGAGAAUUGUGUGCCUCAUAUGAUGUAUCUGAAAGGUAGUGUUAAUGUUUUGAACAUACAGCCAGGUUGUCCUAUGAAUCUCAACUGUCCAUACGAGAUUUCUAAAAGAAGUGGAGACAUGAAAAUCAAAGGAUGGAAAAAAUGUAUGGACAGUCGUAAGGAGCUUCUUGGAAGCAAAAGGAAGUGAAGCGCAAGAAUUGGAGACAGGAUGUUCUCCAUUCUCCAUAAUGGAGAGUCAGGGUCUAUAUUGUUUUAUGCUAUUUUAGCUUAAAUAGGGUAUUUAAGUCCUGCCUAAUACUGAUGAUCAUGUGCUAAGAACAAUUUAGUAGGGUUGGUUCGGAGACUAUCAAGAUGAUGAUCGUAUGACUUGUUAUGAAUAACGAGUAGAAGUUGUAUGAUGAUGAUUAGUAGGACUUGUUAGGAUUAGUAUUACUUCCGACAAACUCGAUACUCGCGGUCUUGAGACUUGUAAUGUUUUAUCUUUGUUCGGUCUUUUGAAUUCGGAGACUAAUAUGAUGAAUUGUAUUCGGAGACUAAUCUUCUAUUGUAUUCGAUGAAUCUGAUGUUGCUGUGUGCUGCUGUCUAUAUUCUGUCUAAUAAUAUAUUUUAUAUUCUGUCUAAUAAUAUAUUUUGUAACCUGCACAAAAAUCAGAAAAGGAAAAAAAAUCAAAUAUUCAUACUAAUGGCGCAUCACCACCAGGUGCGCCAUUAGUAUGCCAAAGGAUACUAAUGGUGCAUCAACAGAGAAUGCGCCAUUAGUAUGACAAAGCCAUGCUUACGUAUGGCCCCCCGGGAGGCACACUAAUGGCGCAUGCGGUUACAUACUAAUGGCGCACUAGUUGGUGCGCCAUUAGUAUACCAGAUACUAAUGGCGCACCUGUGGUGCGACAUUAGUAAGAUAUACUAGUGGCGUGCUACUAAUGGCGCACUGGUAAUGCACCAUUAGUAGGCAAAACCAGUGCACCAUUAGUAGGCCUUUUCCUAGUAGUGACUCAACAUUAGUCAUAAAGAACUCAUAUACUUAUCGCAAAAAUCUACAAGUUACCGAAUCAAAGUAUUACGCGCAUGCUCCUAGGGGAUAGAUUGGUAGCAAAAGACCAUCGCUCGUCCCCGACCGCCACUCAUAAGGAGGACAAUCAAUAAAUACAUCAUGCUCCGACUUCAUCACAUAACGGUUCACCAUACGUGCAUGUUACGGGAAUCACAAACUUCAACACAAGCAUUUCUUAAAUUCGCAAUUACUCAACUAGCACAACUCUAAUAUCACCAUCUCCAUAUCUCAAAACAAUUAUCAAGUUUCAAACUUCUCAUAGUAUUCAACACACUCAUAAGAAAAUUUUAUUUAUUUAUCUUGAAUACCUAGCAUAUUAGGAUUAUUUAAGCAAAUUACCAUGCUAUUUAAGACUCUCAAAAUAAUCUAAGUGAAGCAUGAGAUAUCAAUAGUUUCUAUAAAACAAAUCCACCACCGUGCUCUAAAAGAUAUAAGUGAAGCACUAGAGCAAAACUAUAUAACUCAAAAGAUAUAAAUGAAGCACAUAGAGUAUUCUAAUAAUUUCCAAAUCAUGUGUGUCUCUCUCAAAAGGUGUGUACAGAAAAUAUGGUUGUGGUAAAAUAAAAAAUAAAAACUCAAAUAAAUCAAGACACUCCAAGCAAAACACAUAUCAUGUGGUGAAUAAAAAUAUAGCUCCAAGUAAAGUUACCGAUAGAAGUAGACGAAAAGGGAUGCCUUCCGGGGCAUCCCCAAGCAUUGGCUUUUAGGUGUCCUUAUAUUAUCUUAGGGGUGCCGUGGGAAUCCCCAAUCUUAGGCUCUUUCCACUCCUUGUUCCAUAAUCCAUCAAAUCUUUACCCAAAACAUGAAAACUUCACAACACAAAACUUAAAGUAGAAAAUCUCGUGAGCUCCGUUAGCGAAAGAAAACAAAACACCACUUCAAGGUACUGUAAUGAACUCAUUCUUUAUUUAUAUUGGUGUUAAACUUACUGUAUUUCAACUUCUCUAUGGUUUAUAAACUAUUUUACUAGCCAUAGAUUCAUCAAAAUAAGCAAACAACACACGAAGAACAGAAUCUGUCAAAAACAGAACAGUCUGUAGUAAUCUGUAGCUAGCGCAAGAUAUGGAACCCCAAAAAUUCUAAAAUAAAUUUAUGGACGUGAGUAAUUUCUCUAUUAAUCAUCUUCAAAAAGAAUUAACUAAAUAGCGCUUUCCAAAUAAAAAUGGCAGCAGUUCUCGUGAGCGCUAAAGUUUCUGUUUUUUACAGCAAGAUUAAUAAGACUUUCCCCAAGUCUUCCCAACGGUUCUACUUGGCACAAACACUAAUUAAACACAAAAAACACAACCAAAACAGAGGCUAGGUAAAUUAUUUAUUACUAAACAGGAAAAAAAAGCAAGGAAUAAAAAUAAAAUUGGGUUGCCUCCUAACAAGCGCUAUCGUUCAACGCCCCUAGCUAGGCAUAAAAAGCAAGGAUAGAUUUAGGUAUUGCCAUCUUUGGUAGGUCAUUCUUCAAUGAGACAUAUAUCAUCCUUAGGAGUUUCUUUCCUUUUACUGAUUAUCAAACUUUUAGGCACAAGAUCAAAAAAAUCAUUAGUAGAAAAUGGUUCCUUAAUGAUAGUGAAAAGAUUAGGAUGAAUACUUAUAGAUUUGAGAUCCGCAGUUUCUUUGCCAGAGGAUUCACCCUUAUUUUUAGGAACAUACAUAAGCUUGGCAAUUUUAGUUGGAGGACUUGGAGUAUUCUUUACGGAAGAGAAGGCGGUUCCCAAGUUGGUAAUGAUACCCUCAAGUUUAUCGAUUCUAGAGGAAUCAUGAUUUGUUAUUUCAUUAACUAUAGGUUCCUUCUCUUUAAUAUUUUUCAAAGUUACUCCUACUUUAGAUCCAUAUUGGGUAAUUUGGUUGUGGAUCUUUUUAUAGACAUUUUCAAUUAACUCAACGGUAGCAACUUUAUUUUCAAUAAUUUCAUGUUUUUGCAUUACAUGCUCCAAAGUUAACAUAGUUCCAUUAACCAAAAGAGGUGGUGAGCCAAAUAAAUAUAUCAUAGCAUUAUAAGAAUCAAAAGUAUGGCUACCCGAGAAGUUCCCUCUGGUAAUGGUAUCAAGGACAUAUCUAUGCCAAGGAAUAGCACCUACGUAAAAAUUGCGAAGAAGAAUAUAAGUAGAUUGCUUCCUGGUAGAUCUAUUUUGAGCAUUGCAAAUUCUAUACCAAGCGUAUUUUAGGUUUUCUCCUUCCCUUUGUUUAAAAUUAAGAACUUCAUUCUCAGGAGAUAACGGAGAAGAUAAGGGACUAGGCAUAACGAUGAGCAAACAAGAAAUGGGCAAAAAGAGGCAAAUAGAGAGAUAGAGAGAGCGAGAGAGAGAGAGGGAGGGAGGGAGGAUAGAGAGAGAGAGGGCGAAUAAAAUGGCAAGGGUGAAGUGGAGGAGAGGAAAACGAGAGGCAAAUGGCAAAUAAUGUAAUGCGGGAGAUAAGGGUUUGUGAUGGGUACUUGGUAUGUUGACUUUUGCGUAGACCUCCCCGGCAACGGCGCCAGAAAUCCUUCUUGCUACCUCUUGAGCACUGCAUUGGUUUUCCCUUGAAGAGGGAAGGGUGAUGCAGCAAAGUAGCGUAAGUAUUUCCCUCAGUUUUUGAGAACCAAGGUAUCAAUCCAGUAGGAGGCUACGCGUGAGUCCCUCGCACCUACACAAAACAAAUAAAUCCUCGCAACCAACGUGAUAAGGGGUUGUCAAUCCCUACACAGUCACUUACGAGAGUGAGAUCUGAUAGAUAUGAUAAGAUAAUAUUUUUGGUAUUUUUAUGAUAAAUAUGCAAAGUAAAAUAAAAGCAAAGUAAAAAAAGCAAAGGAAAUAACUAAGUGUUGGAAGAUUAAUAUGAUGAAGAUAGACCCGGGGGCCAUAGGUUUCACUAGUGGCUUCUCUCAAGCGCAUAGGUAUUUUAUGGUGGGUGAACAAAUUACUUUUGAGCAAUUGACGGAAUUGAGCAUAGUUAUAAGAAUAUCUAGGUAUGAUCAUGUAUAUAGGCAUCACGUCCAAAACAAGUAGACCGACUCCUGCCUGCAUCUACUACUAUUACUCCACACAUCGACCGCUAUCCAGCAAGCAUCUAGAGUAUUAAGUUCAAGAGAACAGAGUAACGCUUUAAGCAAGAUGACAUGAUGUAGAGGGAUAAACUCAUGCAAUAUGAUAAAAACCCCAUCUUGUUAUCCUCGAUGGCAACAAUACAAUACGUGCCUUGCUGCCCCUACUGUCAUUGGGAAAGGACACCGCAAGAUUGAACCCAAAGCUAAGCACUUCUCCCAUUGCAAGAAAGAUCAAUCUAUUAGGCCAAACCAAACUGAUAAUUCGAAGAGAAUUGCAAAGAUAACCAAUCGUACAUAAAAGAAUUCAGAGACGAUUCAAAUAUUGUUCAUAGAUAAACUUGAUCAUAAACCCACAAUUCAUCGGUCUCAACAAACACACUGCAAAAGAAGAUUACAUCGAAUCGAUCUCCACAAGAGAGGGGGAGAACUUUGUAUUGAGAUCCAAAAAGAGAGAAGAAGCCAUCUAGCUAAUAACUAUGGACCCGAAGGUCUGAGGUAAACUACUCACACUUCAUCGAAGAGGCUAUGGUGUUGAUGUCGAAGCCCUCCGUGAUCGAUGCCCCCUCCGGCGGAGCUUCAGAACAGGCCCCAAGAUGGGAUCUCGUAGAUACAGAAAGUUACGGUGGUGGAAUUAGGGUUUUGGCUCUGUAUCUGCUCAUUUGGGGGUACGUAGGUAUAUAUAGGAGGAAGGAGUAUGUCGGUGGAGCAACAGGGGGCCCACGAGGGUGGAGGGCGCGCCUGCGGGGGUAGGCACGCCCCCUACCUCGUGGCCUCCCUAUUGGUUGCUUGACAUAGGGUCCAAGUCUCCUGGAUCUUGUUCGUUCCAAAAAUCACGUUCUCGAAUGUUUCAUUCCGUUUGGACUCCGUUUGAUAUUCCUUUUCUUCGAAACCCUAAAAUAGGCAAAAAAACAGCAAUUCUGGGCUGGGCCUCCGGUUAAUAGGUUAGUCCCAAAAAUAAUAUAAAAGUGAAUAAUAAAGCCCAAUAAUGUCCAAAACAGAAGAUAAUAUAGCAUGGAGCAAUCAAAAAUUAUAGAUAUGUUGGAGACGUAUCAUCAACGUCGCCCCAGUCAUCUCUGCGAAUCGACGGCGUCUGGCAAACUUGGCAAAAUUCUUGUGGGUUCUUCUCCUCAAUCCAGCACCACCGGCUCCGCCACUCCUCCCACAUCUCCUUCUGAGCGCCCUCCGGAUAUGUCCCCAUCUCAAGGGGCCUUGGGAUCCAAGUGACACAACCGGAGAUGGCGCCUCCCUUUUGGAUCCGAGGAUAAAAGUAGUGGUGGAAGAGCGUCGUGUUGGGAAGCACUCCGGCGAAACCCUCACAAAGAUGGGCAAAAAGAGCCAUGCACGCCACGACAUUUGGAGUGAAAUCCAGAAGGUGGAAGACAUAGGUGUGCAUGAUGUCGUUGAAGAAAUCAGAGAAAGGGGGGCAGAGGCCAUAGGAAAAGUAGUCGACAAAGAAUGGGUACCGAUUUGGGGCGGCCUUGGCGCAAUCGGCGGGGAUGACGCGCGUGACCGGAUGCCCCGUCGACUCUCCCCCCGUCUUGCACCCCCAAAGGGGCCUGGAGUUGUCCCGGAGGUGGACCGCGUCGACCGUCGAGGGAAAGUAGGCGAGUUGCGUCCGCCGCGCCGCCGGCUCGCUCUCCGGCGGCUCCGUAACCCCCCGGCGUCCUUGGCCACUCCUUUGCCCUUGCUGGUUUUGGGUGCCAUGGCAGCUGCGAGGGGUGGGGGAGAAGGGGGCAGUGCAAACAUGGCGGCGGCGAGCGAGAGCAAGGGCUUGAGGGGGAAGAAGGAAGGGAUAGCAGUUCCGAGAUUGGAGAAGACACAGAGGGUAAAUGAGCAGCGCCGGCGGUUGUUCCCUUUUAAGAGGAAGGCGCGGGCCGCCUCUUUACCACGAUGUGACGCAUGCAUGUGGAAACCGCACCACGCACGACCCCCACGUCACGCAUGACACCCCAUGUCGCGUGUUCAACGCGGGUCGUGGAGAAGCGCAGCGAACGGGGAGUUAUUGCGGUAAAAAUCUGCCCCACCUGCCCGCGCACCAUUAUGGGCCUAGCCCAACAACGCGUCGCGCUUAUGUGUGGCCCAGGCCCGGGGGCUCCUAUUGGUGUUCAAAAGUAGGGGCUCUCGUUUUACACCCCUUAACCUGUGCACGGGCAGUCAGAGCUGCGCCCACGGGCACACUAAGCAGGGCAAAGGAGGGAAGCCGGAGCACAAGACGACCAAAGAAACACCAAGACCAGAGGCGUAAAGAGAACAAGGGGGCGAGGUUGACUCCCCCGGCAAGACCCUUGCCGGGGUGGCUUCCGCAGCCUCGGCAAGAUCCUUGCCAGGGCAACUUGCCUGACCCCAGCAGAGCGCGCCACCCUUGAGCCCAAGGGGUUCCAACACCAUAUUGGAACCAAGGCUCGGGAGGCACCUCCGUGGUGGCAUGCAGAUCUUUGUAGAGAUCAUAGAUACACAAGAUCAUAUGAGAACUAGAAAACGACGAUCCUUGGCUAGAUCCUUGCCGAGGAUAUCCACGAGACCCCCGGCAAGAUCCUUGCCGGGGACGACCGUGGUGCCACCGCGAGACCCUUGUCGAGCCCUCAGCAAGAUCCUUGCCGAGGACGCCUGCGGGGCCGUAGCCAGGCCCGCGUCUGCCAAGACUCCACUGCCACUCCCAUGCGGCUGCCAGCUCGACCAACUGGGCAGGCGCAUGCGUGGCGGCGCACAGCCUCUACACCAACUCAGCAAGCACCUGCGUGGUGGCAUGCAGAUCUUCGUGAAAGCUCCACCACCGCGCCAGCCCAGCAGCUAGCCAACAUGGCGCUACAACGCCUCCUCAGCUUGGACGCGCGUCAGAGCCAGGCGAGGCGACGACAGCUGGGACGAGCUUCUUUGUCGUCCCCAAUAAAGCAAGAGGGGCACAUCGGCAGCGCAUUAAAUGCAUUUGUUCGAUGAUGCCAGGGGAUAGACUCAGCCCCUGUACACCUUUCCACCUCCUGUGUGCCACUGUGGCGACCCCUUUUUGUCUAUAAAAGAAGGCCUGAGGCAUACUGGAGGGGGAUUCGGAUCUUUUGGACUAGGGAGCCGCUGCAGCUAGUUCAAGAACACAAGAACACCUAAAUAUACGUCAAAGCGGGACUAGGGUUUUACGCGUCUCCAUGGCCCAAACCUGGGUAAACGAUUUGUGUGCUAAUCGCCAGACCCGCUCUUUGCACAACCCCGCGCCCGCCAACCGUCGAAGGGAUCCUAGUGACCCCAUAGGUGUCGUUUCCCACCGAUACCGUGCGUGCGCCCUCCUUAGUGGCAUGGGACGCCGCCGUCGAACGCUACAUCUUAGCGCCGCCAGCUGCCGUCCUCCCGCACCCCGCUCAUCGACCUUGGGACGACAUGAUGCAAAGUGAGAGCAGGAUUUGUGCAUCUCUUCAAUGCAAACGGUUCUUUUGGAUGACCCGUGUGCAACCACUUACAAACAAUUUGGUGCGAUUUGCAUCUGUCAUAUUGGGUAUGUUACCAUUUGUCAAACUGGAAAGAUUGACAUUUGUUGAUCUAGUGACAUUGCCAUUUGUGCAGCUUGUAACACUGCGAUUUGUCAAAAUAUGAAGCUAAAAAUCACUAGCAGUAUCUAAUUUUUGCAACUAAAAUUCAGUAAUUAAGCAUAGAUUUCGAUUCAUUCAUAGAUUAAGCAGUCGUUCUUAAUUUAUACAAAUAGUUCAACUCGACAGCUGAACCAACCAAACUUUUCCCCAAUUGUUGCCAACCACGUACUGAAAUAGCUAGUUCAACUAUAUAUACUAACUAAUUUUAAGCACGUUGUACAGUUCCACCACAUCUAUAGUCAGAUGAGUUGAACAAAAUAGCCCCUAAAUACUAGUAUUACUAGUGCGGAGGGGUUUUGUACUACUUACGGCUUCUUCUCCACUGCCGAGCGCGCUCAAUAAGGGGCGGAGGAGGAGGAGUGUACCGACAAGCUGGGCAACCGCAAUAUGAUGCCUGCUGCUGUUGCAGCUUCAGUGACGCUCACCUCGAACGCCCUCUGCUGCUCCAGACGACCCCUCUCGAAGCGGUGGUUCUCCUCGUAGAUCUCCUGACUCCUCGCCUCUGAGGCGGCGUGUGCCGUGGCCACGGUGGAGGUAAGGCUCCUUGCAUGCUCGACGAGGCGCUCCUCCUCCCGCAGGAACUCGGUGUAGCGCACAAGGCCGCUGACGCACGUCCAGGCAUCCACCUCCGCCUCCCAUCUUCGGGCGGCGGUGGCGGAGUGGGUGAUGACCCCGGCGGUCAAUGGUGGGCUGGCGGCCACGGCGGCCGACGACGGGGUGGCGGCCACGACCACCACCUCCUGCCUUCGGGCCUCGGUGGCGGAGCAGGUGAUGGCCACGGUGGCCGGCAAUGGGGUGGCGGCCACGACCACCACCUCCUGCCUUCGGGCCGCGGCGGCGGAGCGGGCGAUGGCGCUGGCUUUCGACGGUGGUGUGGAGGCAACGGCGGCCGGCAACAGCUGCCGACGGGCACCGGCGGCGGAGCGUGUGGUGGGUUUUCCACGCACUACACUACGCCGGGGACUUUAUCGCCGCCGCGGUGUAGCCUCCCAGCUGGAGUUGUCCUUUGAUGACGGCGGAGUGGCUGAGCGACGACGAUGGACCAGUGCCAUUGGUGAUUGUGGGAGAAGCAGAUGAGAUAAGCUACAGGGAGGGAGGGGAAAAUGUGACGCUGGACUCGCCGGCCGUGAGGGUUUUCAUAGCAGGCUGGUAAGCAUUGGGAUUUUGGGGGAUUUCACCGAGUCGGGUAGGAAGCUUGCGUGGGAACCUACGAGGAUGCGCGGGAACGCGCUCACCGACGAUUCAUUGGCGCCACUGUUUGGCCAAAAGAAUGCCCCCGCGCGUUGUGCAAGCUUGCGUUGUAAGCCAUCUGGGGCAGCGGGGUGACAAGACGUGCGAGAGGAGGACGAAAGGCCACAUACACAUACAGUUAAUAAAAAAACAUUUGUGAUUUAAUUACCUACUAUACCCUGUCCUGGUUUAUAAGUAUUAUUUAACUAAUAAAACACGAAUGCAUGUCGCCAAAGAUUAUAUAGUUGGAUUCGUAUUUGAACAUAGUUUCCAAUUAUAUAAUUUUUUAUAACAAGCAUUAACAUUUUGCUGGUUAAAUUUGAGGGAAAAGUAUGCCACAGAAUAUAAAGGGAACUAUAGACUAGACGGAGGUGGUAGCACAUGGCCACUCUCUUCGCAGCGACGCGACUGUGAGCCGGCUUGUAGGCGACCAUUUCCCUGCAUGUUCAACUGCUCUAUGUGUGUGGUUGCUUGCGGUUCAGGCAGCCGCGGUGCGCUCUGCUCGCGUCCCGCCACGCGCGCUCUGCUCUCGCAUCACUCCGAGUGCUCUGCCCUCGUCCCUCCACGCGUGCUGCUAGUGUUUGGGGCCGGCGCAUGAUCACGCAUGUUCGUGUGCAUGCGGUUGCGUUGGGCGCGGCGCGACGAUGCAGUUACCCGCUACAAACUGCCAUGUGGACGCACCGAGAAUCCACGCCGCCUGGGCCCCUUUUAUUCCUGCGGCCAUUUACCUUCAUCUCUCGUCUCACAAGACACAAUAAGCACACCCACGAGGACACAUACAGAGAGGACAUCCAGCGGUUCCAAUGAUGCUCCCCGUGGCUCCAAUGGCACUCCCAGGGGCCGACGACGACAGCGGCGGGCAGUUCACCAUGCAACACGUCGUGGACACCAACGUGACGGGGAAGGCUCUCUCGGUGGUGUACACGAACGAUCUGGUCUCGAUGGAGAACUCCAUCCAAACUAUGGAGCAGUUCCUUGCCGAGGACAAGUACCAAGUGGUCGGCUUCGACCUCGAGUACACCAUGGGUCGUGCCGGGCACGAUCAGAAGGUUGUCGUCGCCUAGUUGUGUGUGCGAUAGGACGUCCUUGUCUACCACUACCACCUGGACACAACGCCUUGCGAGUGUUUCUCCAGGUUUAUCAACAGCUCCGACUACAGUUUUGCUGUGGUGGACACCACCAACGAUCUAAAAGCGCUCAAGGUUUCGGGCAUGAACUGCCCGAAUCUUGUCAACAUCCUGCGCCACUACAAGGUCUGGGGCAGCGACAAAAACAAACUAAACUCCCUGGUUGACCUCGCCUCGGCCAUCAUCGACCCCUACUACAUGAAGAUGAAGAAUUGUGUGCAAGGCGUUGCACAUUUCUAUACCUAAAGUUGUACACACAGUUCUAUACGCCAAAUAGACAUUUUGAUUUAAAAAAAGUUGGUCUCUCUAGAGCCCGGAGCCAAAUUGCCUUACUCUUGAGAUAGUCGAAUCUUCAAUAGAUAGAGAUAUUCUUAUCUACUCCCUCCAUUUCAUAAUGUUCAAUGGUAUAUUUUUUGAUCCUGCCACAAUCGUUGGUUAAAUUUAUGGUCAAACGUAAAUCUCGAAAAACAUGGUCGCACUACAUUAUGGAAUGGAGGGAGUAUUAUAUUAGUCAAUGAUCUCGACCCCUGAUUUUUUAUCAAACAAAAAUUGCUUCGUUAAAAAAUUCAGAAUUGUGUGCGAGGCGUUUACAUGUCUGUACCUAAAAUUGGACUUAGAUAUAGCAAUUACUCAAUCCCUAGGAAACAACAGAAUCAUUUUUUAUCAAGCAGUGUGUUCUACGUACAAUGUGGUUUAUCUAUGCCAUUUUGAAAGAACCAAUACAAUCAAAUGGGUUUCUAUAGUUUUUUUAUUUGAGCGGUACUGGGUUUCUAUAGUUUGUUAUUGAACUUCCUGGCAGGGCUGACUCAGAUAUUUAUAGUCGUAUCACAUUUUUUUUNNNNNNNNNNNNNNNNNNNNNNNNNNNNNNNNNNNNNNNNNNNNNNNNNNNNNNNNNNNNNNNNNNNNNNNNNNNNNNNNNNNNNNNNNNNNNNNNNNNNNNNNNNNNNNNNNNNNNNNNNNNNNNNNNNNNNNNNNNNNNNNNNNNNNNNNNNNNNNNNNNNNNNNNNNNNNNNNNNNNNNNNNNNNNNNNNNNNNNNNNNNNNNNNNNNNNNNNNNNNNNNNNNNNNNNNNNNNNNNNNNNNNNNNNNNNNNNNNNNNNNNNNNNNNNNNNNNNNNNNNNNNNNNNNNNNNNNNNNNNNNNNNNNNNNNNNNNNNNNNNNNNNNNNNNNNNNNNNNNNNNNNNNNNNNNNNNNNNNNNNNNNNNNNNNNNNNNNNNNNNNNNNNNNNNNNNNNNNNNNNNNNNNNNNNNNNNNNNNNNNNNNNNNNNNNNNNNNNNNNNNNNNNNNNNNNNNNNNNNNNNNNNNNNNNNNNNNNNNNNNNNNNNNNNNNNNNNNNNNNNNNNNNNNNNNNNNNNNNNNNNNNNNNNNNNNNNNNNNNNNNNNNNNNNNNNNNNNNNNNNNNNNNNNNNNNNNNNNNNNNNNNNNNNNNNNNNNNNNNNNNNNNNNNNNNNNNNNNNNNNNNNNNNNNNNNNNNNNNNNNNNNNNNNNNNNNNNNNNNNNNNNNNNNNNNNNNNNNNNNNNNNNNNNNNNNNNNNNNNNNNNCACACUUCAACAACAUUAUACAUGCGUCAAGUUUGUCAUUUCUUUCUACUAUUUGCUAAUAUACAUACGACAUCACCGAGGUUACCAACCAACGGCUAAGUCAGUCAUAUAAAUACAUACUAAGACUGAAGCAUGGGACAUGCAAGUAAUAUUUAUCUGGAUUGGAAAUCUACAAUUUGUAUAGGACAAGACUCAACGGCAAGUGACGGAUGGUCAAACUGACUUCCAUGGAAGCAAAUGCAAUCGGUUAAAAAAUAGUCUCUCCUUAAUAGGAUCGAUCAAUGUAAACAAAUGCUAUUACUUAAGUAACUAUCAACAAAAGGAUAAAUUGGCUGAAAAUAGAAUGCAGUGUAAGAAUGCCACUGGAUUUAGUCAUAAGGACGGCUCUAUCACUUUCCUAAUUCUAAAAGGCCUUAAGUUCUGUGACAUAUUUGCAGGGAGCAUUGAAAUUCUGGCAAUGAACCUGGAAACAAAAGGAACUUUUCAUUUAAUUGAGAGAGUAGUGAGGCCAAUAUAAUUAGCAUUACAAAAACCAUUUAGUCAUGUAAGCCAUCACAACAAUAUGGGUUUGGUACAAAAGAGACUUUUGAAAUAACUUCCACGUAAGGUAAAANNNNNNNNNNNNNNNNNNNNNNNNNNNNNNNNNNNNNNNNNNNNNNNNNNNNNNNNNNNNNNNNNNNNNNNNNNNNNNNNNNNNNNNNNNNNNNNNNNNNNNNNNNNNNNNNNNNNNNNNNNNNNNNNNNNNNNNNNNNNNNNNNNNNNNNNNNNNNNNNNNNNNNNNNNNNNNNNNNNNNNNNNNNNNNNNNNNNNNNNNNNNNNNNNNNNNNNNNNNNNNNNNNNNNNNNNNNNNNNNNNNNNNNNNNNNNNNNNNNNNNNNNNNNNNNNNNNNNNNNNNNNNNNNNNNNNNNNNNNNNNNNNNNNNNNNNNNNNNNNNNNNNNCUCGUGUGGUCCGAACAUAAAUUUAGGAGAUCAUAUGAGCUACAACUUUGUACCUUACAGGGUCUCAUGUAUGAAAUGCACGGAACGCCAUGGUAGACUCGUUAAAAUAAAAGGCUACAGUAGAGAAAUAUUUAAGCUUGUAAAGAUAUGAAUAAAAUAAGGACAAAUAAUCAAGAUUUUCUAAAAAAGAAAAACGGAGCUUCUAGUAAAACUGCAACAGAUGUACUGAAACCUGGCAUAUGGAGGGAGAGCUCGUGCUUUGCCUUGUGUUGCCAUGCUGCUAAUAUCCCUAGAAUAUUUCUGAAGAUAUAUCAAUAUUUCUGAACACUUGAACAUACGCAUACAUAUACCGCUUCGUAAAAACUUUAACAUAACACCUUCAAUCUUGAUCUUUUGUUGGCUUUCAUGUAGAUUCAACACAAACUCAUACAGCAGAACAGUUUCAACUGAAAUCUCGAUCUAGGAAGAUGCGUAAUUAAUCCCACGUGCUAUUCUCGUUUCUUCACAAUUCAUAAGAAUAAUUCAGUACAUAAUUUUGAUGUAUGGAGAGCAGUACAUACGACAUACUCUUGCCAUCAAUCACACUCAGUAAUGAUUUCACAGCCAUUAUAUCCUUUCGAGCUUCAUGUGCUCCAUAUAAAAACACAUCUAUAAAUAUGUGAAACUGUUCCAGAUUCUAGUGAAAGAAGCAAGGUUGUUUACCUGUGUUGGUGGAAAAACGCCAUCAGAUCUGUGCAGAGGCACCCCGCAAUUGGUGCGGUGGCUGAAUGUCGUCGAGGCGCGCAAUCUAAGUUCUGAACACUUGAACAUACGCAUACAUAUCGCUUCGUAAAAACUUUAACUAACAUAACACCUUCAAUCUUGAUCUUUUGUUGCCUUUCAUGCAGAUUCAACACCAACUCAUACAACAGAACAGUUUCAACUGAAAUCUCGAUCUAGGAAGAUGCGUAAUUAAUCCCACGUGCUAUUCUCGUUUCUUCACAAUUCAUACGAAUAAUUCAGUACAUAAUUUUGAUGUAUGGAGAGCAGUACAUAUGACAUACUCUUGCCAUCAAUCACACUCAGUAAUGAUUUCACAGCCAUUAUAGCCUUUGGAGCUACAUGUGCUCCAUAUAAAAACACAUCUAUAAAUAUGUGAAACUUUUCCAGAUUCUAGUGAAAAAAGCAAGGUUGUUUACCUGUGUUGGUGGCAAAACGCCAUCAGAUCCGUGCAGAGGCACCCCGCAAUUGGUGCGGUGGCUGAAUGUCGUCGAGGCGCACAAUCUAAGUUCUGAACACUUGAACAUACGCAUACAUAUCGCUUCGUAAAAACUUUAACUAACAUAACACCUUCAAUCUUGAUCUUUUGUUGCCUUUCAUGUAGAUUCAACACCAACUCAUACAGCAGAACAGUUUCAAGCGAAAUCUCGAUCUAGGAAGAUGCAUAAUUAAUCCCACGUGCUAUUCUCGUUUCUUCACAAUUCAUAAGAAUAAUUCAAUACAUAAUUUUGAUGUAUGGAGAGCAGUACAUACGACAUACUCUUGCCAUCAAUCACACUCAGUAAUGACUUCACAGCCAUUAUAUCCUUUCGAGCUACAUGUGCUCCAUAUAAAAACACAUCUAUAAAUAUGUGAAACUGUUCCAGAUUCUAGUGAAAGAAGCAAGGUUGUUUACCUGUGUUGGUGGAAAAACGCCAUCAGAUCCGUGCAGAGGCACCCCGCAAUUGAUGCGGUGGCUGAAUGUCGACGAGGCGCACAAUCUAAGCCAGGCAAAGAGGCCACUGGGAGGCGCGGGAUCGUGGGAUGUGAAGCAGCAUGAACCACUGGAAAGGAUGCAGGCACGAAACAAUUGGAGGAAACAGCAGCGUUGGAGGUUAGGCGGCGGCGGCGCUGGAACAUACGUAUUUGAGGUAGGUGGAGGAAAGAAGCGACGGGUAGAAACCCCUCUUUUUACGGGCUUGCUAACGGAGGUCACAUAGCUUUUUAUCUUUUACUAGCAAAAGGGCCCGUGCGUUGCAACGGGAGAAAAAAAUUCAUAAUUUCAAAUGGUCAUGAUCACAUUUCGUUGCAUCACCGAGAUACAAUAUCUCUCUCAAUUUCUCGAAAUCAUGAACAUUUUGAAAUUAUGAACAAUUUGUUAAACUCAUGCACAUAUUUGAAAUCGCAAACAACAUACUAUUACAAAUUUCUGAACAUUUUCUACAAUCAAGAACAUUUUUUCAAUUUAUGAAUAUUUUUUGCUAUUUACAAACAUUUUUUAAAAAUUGUGAACAUUUUUAAGCAAUUUUCCUGAACUGGCAAACAUUCUAUAAUCGAUGAAAAUAUUUAGAAAUUGGGUGGAAUAGUUAUUGAAUUUGACGAACUUUUUUUGAUUUAGCGAACAUUUUUGGAAAUGUCCGUGCCUUGCAACGGAAAAAAACUAUCAAGUUAUACAUGUGUGGUAGAUAUAAAAAAGUAUGAAUCAAAUUCACAAAGUAUAUACAAAUCAUGUCAUGAUGCGAUAAGACACUUUUAAAAUGUAAUUUCAAAAAUGAACAAUAUGAUGCUCAUCAAGACUUGAUUUUUUAAGGCGUCACAACAAAAUAUUUUGUGGCUGAGCAAACUGCAUUGACGGACCCUGCCUGAGCUAUACUGAUAAAUAAAGUGUCUCAUCUGGACUUAGCGUAGCGGUGUUUACCAUAACCACUAUUGUGAUAUGAAAAUAAGCAUAACUGUGUAUGGAAGCAAAAUAGACAUUUAGUCAUUUUAAUAUAGCUUACAAAAACAAACCCUUAGAAAGUUAUGUCAAUUUUGUUGGGUUCAGCGUUGUACAAAACACGGAAACCCUUAUUUACCCAACGCGAAGGACUAAAUAAAAUCAUAAAACGAGCUAUAUAGAUCUCCUAAUAAAACCUUUAUGGAACCUACAAUUAGUUUUGUUCAUUAUUUACGGAUGUGUUUUAAUUUUUGUGAACAUUUUCUAAAAGCUGAUGGACAUGAUUUUUAAAUUCCUGAAUAUGCUUUGAAUAUUGGCUCAUUUAAAAAAAUCAUGAACAUUUUUUAUUUCAUGAAAUCAUUAGAAAUCGUGAUUUGUUUAUAAUUUGUGAGCAAUUUUUUAAGUCGUGAACAUUUUUUGAUUUUUAGAAUAUUUUUUAAAUUCACAAACAGUUUACCAUUUUCCUACUUUUUUUCAGAACUCGCAAUUGUUUGAUAUUUUGGAAAUCCGAAAUUAAUUUUGAGAUAAAAAACCAAAACAGAAAUAAAAAAGUAAAAAGAAAUAAAAAAUAGGGGGCGCCAUCAAUCCGAAAUUUAUUUUUAGGGAAAAAACAAAAUAGAAAUAAAAAAAAGAUAUAGAAAACAGGGGGCGCCACGACCCGCACAUGGGCUGGCCCAUUACUGCGCUUGGUAAAAAGAAAGAGAAAAAAGCGUGAGAACCAGGGAUCGAACCUUGGUCUCCUGUGUGGAGCAUCGUUGCCUCAGCCAUCACGCUGCUCAUGCAUUGGUGCUAUUAUAUCGUAUCCACCUUUAAUAACAGAAUCCUGGAGCGAUAUUAGAAAUUAAAAACGAAUCGUUUUUGCCACUUACGGGUGGCAUUGGUGGGUAAUUAUUGCCAACUUCGAGGGCACUUUUAAUGACGGACGACCAGAAGCACUCCGUGCUUUAUUAGUAGGGAAAGAUUAGGAAAACGUACUUAUAUACCUAGGCUGCCGCAUGCGAUGCCCAUGUUAAACGCUGAACCGAGCGUGGUUUCUAUUUCUACAAACUCGUAAGGAUUGUGGGCCUAUGAUAUAUAGAUAGAUAGACUCUAGGAUAAAUCUACACCGUAAUAAUACUGUCCCAUUAGAUUAACGGUUCCUAAUUACUGAUUAACGUAAGAAUUUUUAGGAAAUGCAAAAUUAGUAUAGGUAUAGAUAUAGAUAUAGAUAGAUAUAGAUAGAUAGAUAGAUAGAUAGAUAUAGACUAGCAAAAGAGCACGUGUAUUGCAACGGUAGAAAAAACACAACACAAACUCUUAACCGAGCAACCAUCACUCAAGACCAUAAUAUAGGUCCAUCUCCUUUAUUUUAGCGACGCAUCAUAUUUGUGUUGCCGCUUAUCCUUUUUCUCACCCUCGCCGGUGGUGGCCUUAGUGUUCACACAAAUCAAAACAUGUUAGAAUAUGGUUAAUCAUAAGACGUCUCUCUCUCCCUCUCUACUCCCUCUCUCUCUCGCACGCUUCUCGGGAGGCGUGUGAGCGCAGUGCAGUGUGCAGGCUGACCGAGAGGCGUGCAAGCUGUCCUCGAAUGCGCAGGCUCAUCGAGAAGCGUGCGAGCUGUACGCUGCACAGGCUCACUAGGAAGCGAGACAUUUGACUUCCAUGGACGCCCGCCUUCCUCUCCGUGUGUCGGUGUACAAAAAUAGGGGCUCUCCUUUUACACCCCUUAACUUGUGCACGGGCAGUCAGAGCCGCGCCCACGGCCACACUAAGAAGGGUAGAGGAGCGAAGCCGGAGCAUAAGACGACCAAAGCAACGCCAAGACCAGAGGCGCAAAGAGAGCAAGGGGGCGAGCUGGACUCCCCCGGCAAGACCCUUGUCGGGGUGGCUUCCGCAGCCUCGGCAAGAUCCUUGCCGGGGCAACUUGCCUGACGUCAGCAGAGCGCGCCACCCUUGAGCCCAAGGGGUUCCAACUUCCAACACCAUAUUUGAACCAAGGCUCGGGAGGCACCUCCGUGGUGGCAUGCAGAUCUUUGUAGAGAUCAUAGAUACACAAGAUCAUAUGAGAACCAAAAGACCACGAUCCUUGGCGAGAUCCUUGCCGAGGAUAUCCACGAAACCCCCGGCAAGAUCCUUGCCGGGGACGACCGCGGUGCCACAACGGGACCCUUGUCGGGCCUCGGCAAGAUCCUUGCCGAGGACGCCUGCGGGGCCGCAGCCAGGCCCGCGUCUGCCAAGACUCCACCGCCGCUCCCAUGCGGCUGCCAGCUCGACCAGCUGGGCAGGCGCAUGCGUGGCGGCGCGCGGCCUCUACACCAACUCAGCAAGCACCUGCGUGGUGGCAUGCAGAUCUUCGUGAAAGCUCCACCACCGCGCCAGCCCAGCAGCCAGCCAACGUGGCGCUACAACGCCUCCUCAGCUUUGACGCGCGUCGGAGCCAGGCGAGGCGACGACAGCUGGGACGAACUUAUUUGUCGUCCCCAAUAAAGCAAGAGGGGCACGUUGGCAGCGCAUUAAAUGCGUUUGUCCGACGAUGCCAGGGGAUAGAAUCAUCCCCUGUACACCUUUCCACCUCCUGUGUGCCACUGUGGCGACCCCUUUUUGUCUAGAAAAGGAGGCCCGAGGCAUACUGGAGGGGGAUUCGGAUCUUUUGUACUAGGGAGCCGCUGCAGCUAGUUCAAGAACACAAGAACACCUAAAUAUACAUCAAAGCAGGACUACGGUUUUACGCGUCUCCGCGGCCCAAACCUGAGUAAACGAUUUGUGUGCUGACCGCCUGACCCGCUCUUUGCACAACCCCGCGCCUGCCAACCGUAGAAGGGAUCCCAGUGACCCCAUAGGUGUCGUUUUCCACCGACAUCUCUGGCGCGCCAGGUAGGGGGUGCGCAGUUGUGAGAAUCCGGUCUGGUUGAAGCAACGGCUUCAUCGUGGUCGUCGCUUCAAGCAAGAAGAAGAUCAAACAAAUGGCGUCCUCGGUGGACGCGCGAACGCUCACGCAGCGGCAAAAAAGCUAAGUCAUGCGAAACUUUGAGUAAUUCCUUUUUAUAUAUAUGGUUAUCGUCUUCGACGAUCUUGCCCUGUGUAUGGAAAACCUGCACACAAUGGGGCCCUACCACUAUUGGCAACGCCCUUAUUCUAUUUCGAGUCCGCUCAACAGUUCAAGUGGCUGCGUCGAGAACAGCAGGGUGACCUUCUGCGAUUGGCAACGCUCUCAUUCUGUCUCGAGUCCGCUCGACGGCUCGAGUGGUCGCGUCAAGAGCAGUGAGGUGAUUUGCCCGGCAGCAAGCAUACCCGGCAGGCCAUUGAGGAUCCGUCCUCAAGGCGCCGCCUGGGUUUCCGCGCCGGCAAACCUACACGAUUAACGUAGGGUGGACAUACAAGGGGAGAUCAAACGGGAAAAUAACAUGCAUCGUUUCAAAAGUACUGCAGAGUUAUAUUACAUCAUUUAUUUGCUGUGGUUCUAACUAAAGAUAAAAAUUGUCUUGGUCAUGAACCUACAGCGACGAUAAGAAACGGGGUGCCUAGUCCCGGCGCUGGCCUUGUACCCUCCAAACUCUGUUGAUGCGGCUGAUGACGGGCUUGAUGCGCUCCUCGAGCGGCACGGGGUCCACGUCGUCUGGCAAGCUAUCCAGCGAAGCUUCGAAGUCGAGGUCAGGGUUCCAGUACGCCAUCUUGGUGAGGACCUUGGUCAUGGCACCCCGGUAAAGCCUCCGAGCCUCUUCGGCCAGAGAGGCCGCCCAGUUGGAGCGAAUCCGCUCCAGGGCCCCGAGAACACCCUCGAAGAAUAGAGUCAGCCUGGCAUUAGGACUCAUGUUCAGCUCUGGGACGUACCUCACGUUGGGCAUCCCCAUGGUAGCCAGGUACAUGGAGAGCCUGUCAGCGACCUCGGCGAGGCGGCUGACCCAGAACUUCUCGCCCGCCACAAAUUCUGCGUGGCUUGCGGCGUCGUUCUUCCGCAGCUGCCUCAACUCCUCCAGAUUCGUGGUCAGGGUCUCCUCCCGGGCCCUGACCUCCGAGAGCGUCCCUUCAAGACCCUCCAGCUUCAGCUUCAGGUCCUUGAUGGACUCGUUGGCCAUGGAGACUAGCUCGGCCUUCUCGAGGAUUGCGGCCUGCGCGUCAGCCAAAGCACUCUUGGCCGCGUCCCUCUCCCCCGUCAGCUCCUGGACCUGCCUCUUCAGUCCGUCACGCUCCGCCUCCAGCUCGUUCAUCUUGUCGGCAUGGGCCUGGGCCUAAGCAUUGAGGGUCUCCUUGUGCCUCUGCUCUAGUUCCCGGAUCCGCUGCAUGACGAGCUCCUGGACCUCCUCGUCCUUGCUGCGGAGUGUCGCGGCGAGCUUAUCCUUGCGAGCGGCAAGGUCCUCCUCCUGGGAGUUCAGAUCGGACUGGUGCUGGAGCCGGGUGGCCUCCUCCUUGGCGGCCUAUUGACUCGCUGCCUCCUGGGCCUUCUUGAUGUCGGCCUGCUUCAUGACAAGCUUCAGCUUGUGGUCGGCCAGCUGGUCUUGGGCGGCCUUGAAUUCCUCACAGGCUUGGCGGAUCCAAGCUUGCGCCUCGGUGACGCGCCCUUCAAGGUCUGCCUCCACCUUGUCCACCGCUGCCAUCCUGGACUUGGCCUUGUCCACGCGGGCACGGUGAAGCGCCUGAAGCUUGUGGAAGCUGGUGCUCAUGCUCUGGAGGAGCCGCUCUUCCUGGGAACCGUCGCCGCCGAUGCUCGGUCCGUCAACGACCUCAAGCCCGGUGGCGCCAAGCACCUCGUCGUCGAACACCUCCCCCUCAGCGGGCGCCCUGGUGCUCGCCGUCCAUGGGAGGUGGACGAACAAGUCGUUGCCCACCUUCAGAUAUUUGCCCGAGCCAGAAGCGGCGGAGGAGGAAGGCUGGUUGUCGACCACCUCCUCCUCGGCAGCAUCCUUGCUGGCCUCCCCGGCAGGCCCCUUGCCGGCCUCCUCAGUAGCGACCUUGCUGGCCUCCCUGGCAGGCCCUUUGCCGGCCUCCUCGGCAGCGGCCUCGCCGGGCUCCCCGGCAGGCCCCUCAGUGGCCUCCUCAGCAACGUCCUUGGCGUCUUCCUCAGCGGCGAUCUCGUCGGCCUCGGCUGUGGCCUCUCUGGCGACAUCUCCGAUGACGGUGUCCACGUCCGUCGAGGAAGGAUCUGGGUACUGAGAAGGAGAAUGAGGCAAAGCCAAGAUCAAAGUUUGAAAGAAGAAAAACGAGCGGGAACGGGAGGCAAACAACUCACUUGUGCCAAGCUGGGACGAAGUGGCCCCCUCCCCACCGACAUUCCGUGCUGGGACGGAGCCGCCGGCGCCCGGGUUCACCUCCUCCACCUCCGUGCACAUGGGCUCGGUGCUUGGCGCCCUUGCCGGGGACCCCCCUCGUGGUGGCGUGGUCGAUGAGGGCGGCAUGUUGGGGGUGGCCCUCAGUGGCUCCUCCUGCUUCCGUUCCCCUCCUGCAACCACGGCAAGGUCAACGCCAAUAAAUCGUGCCCUAGCACACGUCAAUGGGGAGCGAGUGAUGAAUGCACACUAGGGGAUGCGCCAGGGGCUGCUCUCCGGGAUGCUCUCCACCACCACCACCAGCGUACUCGAGGUGCCCGUCGGGGCUGGCCACCCGGCGAGGCCUUGGCCCUCUUCACCACCCUCUAGGCAAGCGUCUUCCUAUCCCUGCGAAGAUGAAGACAAGUCAAGGAAAGUGGCACGGUUCGAGGGGACGGAUAUGACAAAAGACGAGACACUUACUCAUCCUCUGCCUCUUCUUCUGCGCUCUUCCUCCUCGGGCUAAGAGACCCGAUGUCGAAGAAGACCUCCAUGUCGUCACCCACGGCGGGAGGGGAAGCAGGUGGGUUCGGGGAACACUUGGAUGGAGAUGUUGGAAAUAUGCCCUAGAGGCAAUAAUAAAAUGGUUAUUAUUAUAUUUCUUUGUUCAUGAUAAUUGUCUAUAGUUCAUGCUAUAAUUGUGUUAUCCGGAAAUCGUAAUUCAUGUGUGAAUACAUAGACCACAACACGUCCCUAGUGAGCCUCUAGUUGACUAGCUCGUUGAUCAAAAGAUAGUCAUGGUUUCCUGACUAUGGACAUUGGAUGUCAUUGAUAAUGGGAUCACAUCAUUAGGAGAAUGAUGUGAUGGACAAGACCCAAUCCUUAGCAUAGCUCAAAGAUCGUGUAGUUCAUUUGCUAUAUCUUUUCGGAUGUCAAGUAUCAUUUCCUUAGACCAUGAGAUUGUGCAACUCUCGGAUACUGUAGGAGUGCUUUGGGUGUGCCAAACAUCACAACGUAACUGGGUGACUAUAAAGGUACACUAUGGGUAUCUCCGAAAGUGUCUGUUGGGUUGGCACGAAUCGAGACUGGGAUUUGUCACUCUGUAUGACGGAGAGGUCACGAGGAGUUCCGAAAUGGUCCAGAGGUGAAGAUUUAUAUAUAGGAAGUCAAGUUUCGGCCAUCGGGAAAGUUUCGGGGGUAAUCGGUAUUGUACCGGGACCACAGAAAGGGUCCCGGGGGUCCACCGGGUGGGGCCACCUAUCCCGGAGGGCCCCAUGGGCUGAAGUGGGAGGGGAACCAGCCCCUAGUGGGCUGGUGCGCCCCCCUUGGGCCUCCCCCUGCGCCUAGGGUUGGAAACCCUAGGGGUGGGGGCGCCCCACUUGGCUUGGGGGGCACUCCACCCCCCUUGGCCGCCGCNNNNNNNNNNNNNNNNNNNNNNNNNNNNNNNNNNNNNNNNNNNNNNNNNNNNNNNNNNNNNNNNNNNNNNNNNNNNNNNNNNNNNNNNNNNNNNNNNNNNNNNNNNNNNNNNNNNNNNNNNNNNNNNNNNNNNNNNNNNNNNNNNNNNNNNNNNNNNNNNNNNNNNNNNNNNNNNNNNNNNNNNNNNNNNNNNNNNAGGGAGGGCAGCCGCAGCCUAGUCCCUGGUGCCUCCCUCUCCCUCCCGUGACACUUCUCCCUCUCCCUGAGCUUGGCGAAGCCCUGCCGAGAUCACCGUUGCUUCCACCACCAUGCCGUCGUGCUGCUGGAUCUUCAUCAACCUCUCCUUUCCCCUUGCUGGAUCAAGUUGGAGGAGACGUCUUCCCAACCGUAUGUGUGUUGAACGCGGAGGUGUCGUCCGUUCGGUGCUAGGUCAUCGGUGAUUUGGAUCAUGACGAGUACGACUCCAUCAACCCCGUUCUCUUGAACGCUUCCGCGCGCGAUCUACAAGGGUAUGUAGAUGCACUCCCCUCUCCCUCGUUGCUAGAUGACUCCAUAGAUUGAUCUUGGUGAUGCGUAGAAAAUUUUAAAAUUCUGCUACGUUCCCCAAUAGUGGCAUCAUGAGCUAGGUCUAUGCGUAGUCUCUAUGCACGAGUAGAACACAAAGCAGUUGUGGGCGUGGAUAUUGUCAAUUUGCUUGCUGUUACUAGUCUUAUCUUGAUUCGGCGGCAUUGUGGGAUGAAGCGGCCCGGACCGACCUUACACGUACGCUUACGUGAGACUGUUCCACCGAUUGACAUGCACUAGUUGCAUAAGGUGGCUGGCGAGUGUCUGUCUCUCCCACUUUAGUCGGAUCGGAUUCGAUGAAAAGGGUCCUUAUGAAGGGUAAAUAGAAAUUGGCAUAUCACAUUGUGGUUUUGGCGUAGGUAAGAAAAGUUCUUGCUAGAAACCUAUAGCAGCCACGUAAAAACUUGUAACAACAAUUAGAGGACGUCUAACUUGUUUUUGCAGCAUGUGUCGUGUGAUGUGAUAUGGCCAAAAGGAUGUGAUGAAUGAUAUAUGUGAUGUAUGAGAUUGAUCAUGUUCUUGUAAUAGGAAUCACGACUUGCAUGUCGAUGAGUAUGAUAACCGGCAGGAGCCAUAGGAGUUGUCUUAAUUUAUUUAUGACCUGCGUGUCAACAUAAACGUCAUGUAAUUACUUUACUUUAUUGCUAAAGCGUUAGCCAUAGUAGUAGAAGUAAUAGAUGACGAGACAACUUCAAGAAGACACGAUGAUGGAGAUCAUGGUGUCAUGCCGGUGACAACGAUGAUCAUGAAGCCCCGAAGAUGGAGAUGAAAAGGAGCAAAUGAUAUUGGCCAUAUCAUGUCACUAUUUGAUUGCAUGUGAUGUUUAUCAUGUUUUGCAUCUUAUUUGCUUAGAACGAUGGUAGCUUAAAUAAGAUGAUCCCUCAUAAUAAUUUCAAGAAAGUGUUCCCCCUAACUAUGCACCAUUGCGAAGGUUCGUUGUUUCGAAGCACCAUGUGAUGAUCGGGUGUGAUAGAUUCUAACGUUCGAAUACAACGGGUGUAAGCCAGAUUUACACACGCAAUACACUUAGGUUGACUUAACGAGCCUAGCAUGUACAGACAUGGUGUCAGGACCCCGACUCAAUGCCACAUCGAUCUAGCAUGUAACACCUCAUAUCACUUUGCGGCCUCACGCACGGUAUUCCCACGGGUGUCGCCUUACCUUUGCCCGGGACCGUUUGCGCCUUUUGGCACACGUAUAUGACAGUGCCGCUAGCAUCCAUAUGAUAAGGAGCCCGGGCUGACAUGGCUAGUCGUAAACCCAAAGUGGCACAGUCUUAUAGGGACAGGCAUCCAUGACCCAGCAUCAAACGUGUCGGUCAUCAGCGAGUGAAUCCAGGCUGUAGCACUGGGCUAGCAGGACUCCGGUGAACCGGGCUGUAGCGGGCUAACAGGACUCCGGUAUUCAUCGCGUGACAUUUCCCCGAAGGGACAGACACAGGAACGAAGAAGGACACAUGCCGGCCAGCCUAAGUGUUCCGGAGCAGUAGCAAGCUACCAUGGCUCGGUGGAAACACUAGGAGACAUUUCCCGGUAAGAGAGGCUACUAAGGAUAAACAACUAGAUAGUCAGAUCCCACACAUACCAAGCAUUUCAAUAACAUACACACAAUAUGCUCGAUAUGUGGAAAUACAACAUGGCAUCACAUCAUGACUCUACGACUCAAGUAUUUAUUCAAUAGGCUCCGAGGAGCGAGAUAUUACAAACAUGGGUCUCAUGACCCAACAAUCAGAGCAUACAAGUCAAAGCACAUGCGGAAGCUUAACAUGUCUGAGUACAGACAUCUAGAAAUGAAAAAGGUUGAGAAGCCUGACUAUCUACCAGAUCCUGCCGAGGGCACAAGAUCGUAGCUGAGGUAACAAGCUAAACGUCGAAGUCCACGUGGAACUACUAGUGAGACUGAAGUCUCUCUGCAAAAACAUAAAUUAAGCAACGUGAGUACAAAUGUACCCAGCAAGACUUACAUCAGAUCUAACUACAUAUGCAUCAUUAUCAACAAAGAGGGUGGGGAGUUUAACUGCAGCAAGCCAGCUUUGACUCGGUGGCUAACCUGAACUACGACCGCAAGUAACUCUUUUGAGGUGGCGCACACGAGUCCACAUAUUCACCAUAUCAAUACACCACUAUGGAUCCGCUCUCAUCUCCCUACGAGAACGCCAUCCAUAGCACUCACGCUUAUCUUGCGUAUUUUAGAGUAUCCACUUUCACUUGUCUAUGAACUAUGCAAGGGGUCCAAGUUUCCAUAUCCGAGGAAUCCGGCUAUUCGAAUAGAUAAUGAUAACCCUGCAGGGGUGUACUUCUUCACACACGCUCCCGCCACUUAUCGCCCUGUACACGUCAUGUACCUCGGCAACCUUCAAGCGGAAGCUGGGCGAGGGAGUCGGCCACGACCUGACUAACCAAACAAGUCUCUCGUCCAGGUUUAUCGCCUAUUCGGGUUCCAUCCGCAAGGAGAUCCGACCGGGGUGUUGCUCACAGCCCCAAACGAUGUGAGCAGGGUUCCCAAGCCCACCAUCCGGGUGCCACUUGGUACACCGUGCCACUGUGCCUAGUCUGUCCCAAGCCCACCUGUACCGGGUGCCACUUGGUAGACUACUAACACUACCUACAAACACCAGAAACUAGUUGCAACUCCUGGACAGAGAUCAUGUUGAUUAAUAAGUCGAGAGGGGUCGAGUUACCGGAACCCAAUGUGUGGUAGUAACUGGUCAUGGAUCACAAACACAGAACUCAGUUCCUGAGGACGGCUGCAAUGAGACAACCCACCAUGUACUCCUACAUGGCCUCUCACCGCUACCUUUACCAAAUCGUGUUCACACACUUAGCUUUCAACGGUAGGACAUGUUCACACACCUCUGGUUCAUCCCCGAUGAAUCAGACCUGACUCAACUCUAAGCAGUAGCAGGCAUGACAAACAAGCAAGAAUGAGUAGGCACAACAGGGCUCAAACAACUCCUACUCAUGCUAGUGGGUUUCAUCUAUUUACUGUGGCAAUGACAGGUCAUGCAGAGGAUAAAGGGGUUCAACUACCGCAGGAAGUAACAGAUGAAUCGUUGUUGUCCUAAUGCAGUAAAAGAGAGCAGGAGCGAGAGAGUGGGAUUUUAUCGGAAUGAACAAGGGGGUUUUGCUUGCCUGGCACUUCUGAAGAUAAUAUAGCUCUUCAUCGGUGUCAUCGAACUCAUCGUCGAACCACGUCUAUCGAGGGGGGGACAAUACCGGCAAACAAGGAAGAAACACAAUCAAUGCAAUGCACAAUAUGAUGCAUGAUCAUGACAUGUCAAUAUGAAUGUGUUUUGGGCUAAUGCAAGCUAGAACAGAUUGAAAUGAGUCCAUUUGAACCAAAGAUUCAAAUGCAAACCCAUUUUAUGAAGUCAUAUUAGUGAAAUAACCUGUUUCACCUAAACAGCAAGGUUAUUGUGUUCUAACAUGCAUGCAAAUGGUACAGAUGGAUAGAUUGGAUUUUUCUGAUCAUUUUUCAUAUAUAAUUUGUUUGAUUUGGAGUUACGGUUGAAUUUCUAUGAAUUUAUUGAAGUCUUAGCUAUUUUCUGGAAUUUCCUGAAUAAGAAUAAAUCCAUAAAACAUUACUGCGUCAGCAUGACGUUGGCAUGACGUCAGCAGGUCAACAGGGGCUGGUCCGGGUCAAACCUGGCCAGUGGGGCCCACUGGUCAGUGACUCAGUUGGUUAACUGGGUUGAUUAGGGUUAAACUAAUACUAACGAAAAUGUCAGCAGGGCUGGGCCCACAUGUCAGUGGCUUAAUUAAUUAACUAAAUUAAUUAGUGUUAACUAAUCUAACACCUAAACUAACAGGGCAAUUAGCACUAAUUAAAAUCUUACACUAAUUCAGUCAAAGGCCGGCCCCACAUGUCAUGGACACAGGGGGGGUCCCGCCAUGGUCAAAGUGGGUCAACCCACCGGCGACAUGACGCCGGCGAGGCCCGAGACGGCAGCGUGAUCCGGAAACGCGUUACAGGGCACGGGCGAGGCUGUGCUUGGGCUCGUUGGAGAGCCCUUGCUGGUGCGCAUCGAACGGUGGUGGUGGCCGUGCCUGUGGUGGCCGGUACCGACGACGGCGAGCUCAUGAGUGGCGGCCGGAGUUCGGGUGCGGUCGGGUUCGGCGCUGCUGCUCACAAACGAGGGAGCUGAGGCGCUGGAGGGGCUCUACGGGUCGCGGCAAGCACAAUGGGUGCACGCCCGUGACCAAAUGGUCAGCGGGGUUUCGCCAGCGACGAGCCUGUGCGGCGGAGCAUCUCGGCUCCGGUAGAGGGGGCGGCUAGAGCUCGAAAUCGGACAUGGGGUUAGGGGGAAACGAAGCAGGGGCUCACGGGGAUCAUGCAGGGAGGGUCAGCGAGCUUGGGGAAGCACGAACGGCGGCGAAUCGACGGCGACCAUCGGCGGCGGUCGAGGACGAAGAUGAUGGCGUGGAGGUGAUGCAGAGCUUCCCGAGGGGCUUGGCUCGGUGGGGAAGAAGAGGGGGUCGAGGCGGAGCUCCUGAGCUCAGCGGAAGGGCGAGGGGUGGCCGGUGGCUUUGGAUGCGACGGCGGCGCCCUCCGGUGGCUCUCGGUGGUGCUCCAAAUCGAGAGAGGGAGAGAGCUAGAGCGAGCAGAGAGAAGGGAUAGCGGUCGAGGGGGUCGAGGGCAUCUCCGUGGCGUCGCUAGAGGGCUCGGGGAGGAAGCAGGAGGUGGCCAGGGGAAGCAGGAGGUGGCCGAGGCAGCGUCGGCGCCCGUCGGCCACGCGCGCUGCCUACUGGCGCGGGGAAGACGACAGGAGGAGGUGGGCUGGGCCGGAACGGAAGCUGGGCCGGCUCUGCUGUAGGUGAGCGCCAGGUAAGUGGCUGGGCUGCCAGGUAAGUGCUCUGUUUUAUUUCUGUUUGUUUUAUUUUUUUUAAAUUUGUUUUGCCACUGUUUUGAAUUUAAAAAUAAUUCAAACAAUGCCAAAAACUCCUCUGAAUAUUUUUAUUUUGCUAGAUGGACUUUUCCAAAAGCUCAUAAAAUAUUUCAGGGGUAUUUGAAAUUAUAUUCUAAUUAUAUGAAUAUAAUUCAAAUUCAAAUAGCUAAUGAUUUAAAUUCAAAGUCCCAAGAUUAAGUCCUUAAAAAUGUUCAAUAUUUUUGGUUUGGAUCAAAACCCUUGCCAAAAAUAUUAAACAUCUAAGAAGAGCAUUUUGGAACAAUGAAUGAGAUUUUAGGGUUUUUGCCCUUCUUUUAUUUAAGUUUUUGAGGCUUCCAAAUUUCCUCAGUUCAAGUUUCAGAAAUUUAAACAUGAUGCAAACACAAGGCAGCACCAGAAGCUAGGGAUGUGACAACUCACCCCCACUAAACAAGAAUCUCGACCCGAGAUUCAAGUGUAGGGUAAGACGAAGGGGAAACGCAAACUAGUAUAAUCUUCACGAUCCAGGGUGCACUUCAUAAAAGCGUUGAUUCGAUCACCAUCUUUGUCCCGUCGUCUUGCUCUGAGAACUCCAACUAGCAUGACAGCAAGAGGAAAAGGACAACUCCGGAAGAAUCGAUCUUCUCGAAGAUCAAUCAACUUAGGAUCAGCUCACAAAGUGAGUCAUAGCAACAUCUCUUGAGCUGAGACACGAAGCAUACAUCUGAAGAAAUGGAGUGAGACAGAUGACGAGGGCUCGCUAAGUAGACAACAAUUCCAGACUUAAGAAUGUGGUGAUCGGUUGUCAACGUAGCGAGGAGUUGAGUUGCCAUGAUACCACAACGAGGCACCUUAGGGAUGGUGACUCGUAGAUAUAUCCCCUUAAGUGGCAAAAAGAAUUACCUUUGAUUCAGAGAUCAUUGAAACUCUUUAAACUAGCCUAAGGCAAUUCUCGAGCGAUCGUUUGGAGGGGGUCGGUAGAAUGGCAUACUCGGACUUGGAUGAUGUGGAUUACCUUGUUGAAGACAACGUAAUGGAUGAAUUUGCUUACCACCGGAAAUGGAAGAGACCCAUGGUAGAAUGGCACAAUGGCGGUGCAAGCUGGGAACAAAAUGCAAAUGCUGGGAAUGAUUCUGGUAACUGGGAAGGAACCCAAUAGUAGAGAGUGAAUCCACUGUUUGAAAGGGUCAUAGCAUUAUCGAGGAAACUGAGAGGAAUCCAGUUAGUGCCGAUGAUAACACCUAACGCUUGUGCGUGCUCUCAAGAACUUGAGCAUUUCCAUAAUCAUCAAGAUUUUACCAAUAUCCGUGUCAGGGAUCCUGGAAACACAACUUGCUACCAUGAUGAAUGAUGAUGGAUGAUGCAGAUGCAAAGGAAGAUAACACUUUCUCAUAUUUCACCCUUGGCGAAAUAAAAUCUGGAUGAUCGACCGAGAGACAUUUAGCACUCCGCUUCUAAUGUUCUCCUUGAUGUGCUAGUGUAACCCCAUUCAUAGAAAUGGUCUGGUAUCUAGAACAUCAAGUAAAGGUCGGACUUCGGAAACACAAAAAAUCAUAAGGCACAACUAGGGAGUAAAUCCUACGAAGUCCUUAUGGGAAGGUGGCCAACUUCUUCAAUCAAGAUACUACAAUAAUAGGUCUUUCGGCUGGGUGUGUUGGCCAUGACAUCCACUUUACCGGUUAUCGAGGGACCAAUAUUAUAGUUCUUGGGGAAAGGUUCCAACCAUCAUAUCUGCCUGAGAUUCAGAUGUGGUUGGUGUCAGGAUAUUCCAGACUCAUCGAGUCUAGGAAGAAAAACGAAAGUUUGCAACACAAAUCGACGAGAUGACGUUGCGAGAUUCUCGGGGAAUGAACUACGAUAGCAAGCUCCAAAGCAUGAGCUGGUUCUGCUACGCACGUGUGAACACGCUGUUCCAGGCAAACAUGAUCACAUGGUAGUCUUACAAUAAAACACUACCGAGUUCGGGUAGGGAACCAUCAUUGAGGAUAUCGAAGUUCUUUCAUAAGUCUGGAUUAGCUCUUAUGAAGGAACUCCUUCUCCUUGAACAAAUCAAUUAGUGGCUUGGGGUGCUACGGAAUACAUAUGGAGUGGAGGUAAUUAAUCUACCAAACCAUAGUAUACUUUGCACAUGCAUGACUGACUUGGGACGAUUCCAGAGGAAACAAAACAAACCUUUCUCAAACCCACGGCGGCAACUUGCACCAAAUGGACAUGAAUUAGAGGAAGUCACUUCUUCCAUCCAAGCAUAGGCUUCAUGAACGGAACACGAAGGCAUUGCUUACAAAGUUUCCAACACUAGGUUGAUGUUCAACAUGAAUCAUGGGGGAGGCAAAAUGCUGCUGAUGGGCUCAACAACAACUCAUUGGAAUUUCCAUAUCACUGGACUUCCACCAUCAUGUGAACACGGUGAUAGUAUUGGUCAGACCAAAAGAUGUAAUGGUAUAUGCUCGAGGGAUCAACCACGAGUAAGACAACAUUAUGAGCAUCGUUGGUACUGAUUUGAUUGACGAUAGCCCACACUCAAAUCAAAGGAUUGAUAAGACAAUAGGUCCAGCAACUGAUCACAGGGACCAAUCGAUGAAGAUAUCAUCUUUCUUCAACACACACUACACAAGAAUAUCCCUUUGGAACGAACUAAGUUAGGUAAGCUUUUAUCUUCCAACUCUCCAAGUUGUCGUUUAGCUUAACCAACUAGCUCAGAGGUAUCCAACACGGAUUCUUGGAGAAGGGUGGUUUACAGGAAUAAACCAACUUGAUCACGAACUCAACAUAGCGGUCAGGUGACAACCUGGUAAUACUUCCGAGAAGAUAUACGGAAAAUCACGAACCACCGAUAUGUUACUAAGCUCGAGAACAAUCUUGCUUUUUAGGGCAAGAUGAUAUGAUCAAAUGAGCGAGGACUUGACAAAAUCCUAACUCAUUAAUCAAAGAGUGCACCAGGAAAUAAGGACUAGGUAGCACAAUCUAUCUUAGAAUGGUGAUUCAAUAACCAACAUGCUAAGAAUAAGAUUAUUGUCCAUUUAACUACCAAGCAGCGAGGUUGCUAGGAGUAUUGAUUUCACACAUCACAAUUCUUCUGUCGGUAUUCCGGUUGCAUCAACACGGGGACCGAGAAAUGAAUAAUGAUGGCGAGAAGUAUCACUGCACCAAGAAUUCAUAAGAUGAUGUGUAAUUCCUAUGACUUUCUUGACAUAAGAGGGUAAUACUUCAGGGUAGAACAGAACAAAAACUGGAUUAGUAUUUGAUCUGCGGAGUACAACUGCUUUGACCCAAUCCUGAAUAUGGAUGAGGUACUGGAGUUCAUUUCUCCUAGUCAUCCUGGAUAGAAUGGCUUAACGGUCCACAAGAUUAAAAAGCAUCGAUGAACGAAUGCACAUAUACUCUUGACUAUCAAUUGGUAGACGAGGUUCAGAAGACAACUAGAGCGGGACAACUCAAAGGAACAUAUGAUUUUCUGAGUUGUGGAUGCAUGGUUUAGCAUGUCGAACAAAGUUCAACAUAUUUCUUCCGGAUAACCCAUGCAGAGAGGUAGAACUGGCAGAUUCACAAUAUAGAAUGGAGAACUCAUCAAAAGCACUCUAGUUGUGAUCUUUUGGUUCAAAAGAACUCCUGCCAAGAAUGGUUCAUGGUAUUUGGAAGAACGAUAUACCACGGACCUCGAGGACUAUCGCAAAGGUUACUAAUAACCUAAGGGAGCUAGCAAUUACUAUCAACAUGAGGUAAGUAGGGUAAUCUUGGGUUCAAAACCCAGAAGUAGAAUACCUACUACUAAGUGGCAUCACGGGAUGCUUUGGAGAAUACAGACCAGAAUCAUCACACUGGGAACACAAAACAUGGCUAGACUACUAGAUGAUCCCCUGAGACACCUAGGGUCAUAAUAAUAACUCCAACAUAAAGGUCGAGGCGGUAGAGUACCUCAACUCAACAAUUUUUGUGAUUAACCUGGCCUAGAAAGACAUUGAAACCAGAGGAAAAGGAUUUUGCAAAUGCAUCAGACUAUUUAGAAACCUGGGAUGACUCGGACAGCGUAACGGCUGUAAAUGCUCAGAAAAGACUUGAGACAUUCACAAAAAUGGUGGCAUAACCACUCAGAAGCACAAUAUCAAGAUUUCGAGAUGAACAAUUAACAUGCAGAAGUCGUAGGAACUGAACUCAAGCUUAAAUCCAACAAUCUUAUAAGUCUACGGAUUAGUAACACGUGAUCCUGAUAGAAAGAAGAGAAAUCCUAAUUCCUUAACCCUGUAGGAAAGAUAAGAUGACUCAGAUCAGAAGGGCAUAAGGUAUAAGGAGUAAAAAGAGCCUUACGUUCCAUCCCACAAUCAAUUCCCUUAUAUAACUAAAGAAUUUCUAGACUCAACUUCGACCAGUUUGGCUUGGUAAUCCUACAGGCAGUCAAGCUCUAAUACCAACGCUGUCAGGACCCCGACUCAAUGCCACAUCGAUCUAGCAUGUAACACCUCAUAUCACUUUGCGGCCUCACGCACGGUAUUCCCACGGGUGUCGCCUUACCUUUGCCCGGGACCGUUUGCGCCUUUUGGCACAUGUAUAUGACAGUGCCGCUAGCAUCCAUAUGAUAAGGAGCCCGGGCUGACAUGGCUAGUCGUAAACCCAAAGUGGCACAGACUUACAGGGACAGGCAUCCAUGACCCAGCAUCAAACGUGUCGGUCAUCAGCGAGUGAAUCCAGGCUGUAGCACUGGGCUAGCAGGACUCCGGUGAACCGGGCUGUAGCGGGCUAACAGGACUCCGGUAUUCAUCGCGUGACAUUUCCCCGAAGGGACAGACACAGGAACGAAGAAGGACACAUGCCGGCCAGCCUAAGUGUUCCGGAGCAGUAGCAAGCUACCAUGGCUCGGUGGAAACACUAGGAGACAUUUCCCAGUAAGAGAGGCUACUAAGGAUAAACAACUAGAUAGUCAGAUCCCACACAUACCAAGCAUUUCAAUAACAUACACACAAUAUGCUCGAUAUGUGCAAAUACAACAUGGCAUCACAUCAUGACUCUACGACUCAAGUAUUUAUUCAAUAGGCUCCGAGGAGCGAGAUAUUACAAACAUGGGUCUCAUGACCCAACAAUCAGAGCAUACAAGUCAAAGCACAUGCGGAAGCUUAACAUGUCUGAGUACAGACAUCUAGAAAUGAAAAAGGCUGAGAAGCCUGACUAUCUACCAGAUCCUGUCGAGGGCACAAGAUCGUAGCUGAGGUAACAAGCUAAACGUCGAAGUCCACGUGGAACUACUAGUGAGACUGAAGUCUCUCUGCAAAAACAUAAAUUAAGCAACGUGAGUACAAAUGUACCCAGCAAGACUUACAUAAGAUCUAACUACAUAUGCAUCAUUAUCAACAAAGGGGGUGGGGAGUUUAACUGCAGCAAGCCAGCUUUGACUCGGUGGCUAACCUGAACUACGACCGCAAGUAACUCUUUUGAGGUGGCGCACACGAGUCCACAUAUUCACCAUAUCAAUACACCACUAUGGAUCCGCUCUCGUCUCCCUACGAGAACGCCAUCCAUAGCACUCACGCUUAUCUUGCGUAUUUUAGAGUAUCCACUUUCACUUGUCUAUGAACUAUGCAAGGGGUCCAAGUUUCCAUAUCCGAGGAAUCCGGCUAUUCGAAUAGAUAAUGAUAACCCUGCAGGGGUGUACUUCUUCACACACGCUCCCGCCACUUAUCGCCCUGUACACGUCAUGUACCUCGGCAACCUUCACGCGGAAGCCGGGCGAGGGAGUCGGCCACGACCUGACUAACCAAACAAGUCUCUCGUCCAGGUUUAUCGCCUAUUCGGGUUCCAUCCGCAAGGAGAUCCGACCGGGGUGUCGCUCACGGCCCCAAACGAUGUGAGCAGGGUUCCCAAGCCCACCAUCCGGGUGCCACUUGGUACACCGUGCCACUAUGCCUAGUCUGUCCCAAGCCCACCUGUACCGGGUGCCACUUGGUAGACUACUAACACUACCUACAAACACCAGAAACUAGUUGCAACUCCUGGACAGAGAUCAUGUUGAUUAAUAAGUCGAGAGGGGUCGAGUUACCGGAACCCAAUGCGUGGUAGUAACUGGUCAUGGAUCACAAACACAGAACUCAGUUCCUGAGGACGGUUGCAAUGAGACAACCCACCAUGUACUCCUACAUGGCCUCUCACCGCUACCUUUACCAAAUCGUGUUCACACACUUAGCUCUCAACGGUAGGACAUGUUCACACACCUCUGGUUCAUCCCCGAUGAAUCAGACCUGACUCAACUCUAAGCAGUAGCAGGCAUGACAAACAAGCAAGAAUGAGUAGGCACAACAGGGCUCAAACAACUCCUACUCAUGCUAGUGGGUUUCAUCUAUUUACUGUGGCAAUGACAGGUCAUGCAGAGGAUAAAGGGGUUCAACUACCGCAGCAAGUAACAGAUGAAUCGUUGUUGUCCUAAUGCAGUAAAAGAGAGCAGGAGCGAGAGAGUGGGAUUUUAUCGGAAUGAACAAGGGGGUUUUGCUUGCCUGGCACUUCUGAAGAUAAUAUAGCUCUUCAUCGGUGUCAUCGAACUCAUCGUCGAACCACGUCUAUCGAGGGGGGGGACAAUACCGGCAAACAAGGAAGAAACACAAUCAAUGCAAUGCACAAUAUGAUGCAUGAUCAUGACAUGUCAAUAUGAGUGUGUUUUGGGCUAAUGCAAGCUAGAACAGAUUGAAAUGAGUCCAUUUGAACCAAAGAUUCAAAUGCAAACCCAUUUUAUGAAGUCAUAUUAGUGCAAUAACCUGUUUCACCUAAACAGCAAGGUUAUUGUGUUCUAACAUGCAUGCAAAUGGUACAGAUGGAUAGAUUGGAUUUUUCUGAUCAUUUUUCAUAUAUAAUUUGUUUGAUUUGGAGUUACGGUUGAAUUUCUAUGAAUUUAUUGAAGUCUUAGCUAUUUUCUGGAAUUUCCUGAAUAAGAAUAAAUCCAGAAAACAUUACUGCGUCAGCAUGACGUUGGCAUGACGUCAGCAGGUCAACAGGGGCUGGUCCAGGUCAAACCUGGCCAGUGGGGCCCACUGGUCAGUGACUCAGUUGGUUAACUGGGUUGAUUAGGGUUAAACUAAUACUAACGAAAAUGUCAGCAGUGCUGGGCCCACAUGUCAGUGGCUUAAUUAAUUAACUAAAUUAAUUAGUGUUAACUAAUCUAACACCUAAACUAACAGGGCAAUUAACACUAAUUAAAAUCUUACACUAAUUCAGUCAAAGGCCGGCCCCACAUGUCAUGGACACAGGGGGGGUCCCGCCGUGGUCAAAGUGGGUCAACCCACCGGCGACAUGACGCCAGCAAGGCCCGAGACGGCGGCGCGAUCCGGAAACGCGCUACAGGGCACGGGCGAGGCCGUGCUUGGGCUCGUUGGAGAGCCCUUGCUGGUGCGCAUCGAACGGUGGUGGUGGCCGUGCCUGUGGUGGCCGGUACCGACGACGGCGAGGUCGUGAGCGGUGGCCGGAGUUCAGGUGCGGUCGGGUUCGGCGCUGCUGCUCACAAACGAGGGAGCUGAGGCGCUGGAGGGGCUCUACGGGUCGCGGCAAGCACAACAGGUGCACGCCCGUGACCAAAUGGUCAGCGGGGUUUCGCCAGCGACGAGCCCGUGCGGCGGAGCGUCUCGGCUCCGGUAGAGGGGGCGGCUAGAGCUCGAAAUCGGACAUGGGGUUAGGGGGAAACGAAGCAGGGGCUCACGGGGAUCAUGCAGGGAGGGUCAGCGAGCUUGGGGAAGCACGAACGGCGGCGAAUCGACGGCGACCAUCGGCGGCGGUCGAGGACGAAGUCGAUGGCGUGGAGGCGAUGCAGAGCUUCCCGAGGGGCUUGGCUCGGUGGGGAGGAAGAGGGGGUCGAGGCGGAGCUCCUGAGCUCAGCGGAAGGGCGAGGGGUGGCCGGUGGCUUUGGAUGCGACGGCGGCGCCCUCCGGUGGCUCUCGGUGGUGCUCCAAAUCGAAAGAGGGAGAGAGCUAGAGCGAGCAGAGAGAAGGGAUAGCGGUCGAGGGGGUCGAGGGCGUCUCCGUGGCGUCGCUAGAGGGCUCGGGGAGGAAGCAGGAGGUGGCCAGGGGAAGCAGGAGGUGGCCGAGGCAGCGUCAGCGCCCGUCGGCCACGCGCGCUGCCUACUGGCGCGGGGAAGACGACAGGAGGAGGUGGGCUGGGCCGGAACGGAAGUUGGGCCGGCUCUGCUGCAGGUGAGCGCCAGGUAAGUGGCUGGGCUGCCAGGUAAGUGCUCUGUUUUAUUUCUGUUUGUUUUAUUUUUUUAAAAUUUGUUUUGCCACUGUUUUGAAUUUAAAAAUAAUUCAAACAAUGCCAAAAACUCCUCUGAAUAUUUUUAUUUUGCUAGAUGGACUUUUCCAAAAGCUCAUAAAAUAUUUCAGGGGUAUUUGAAAUUAUAUUCUAAUUAUAUGAAUAUAAUUCAAAUUCAAAUAGCUAAUGAUUUAAAUUCAAAGUCCCAAGAUUAAGUCCUUAAAAAUGUUCAAUAUUUUUGGUUUGGAUCAAAACCCUUGCCAAAAAUAUUAAACAUCUAAGAAGAGCAUUUUGGAACAAUGAAUGAGAUUUUAGGGUUUUUGCCCUUCUUUUAUUUAAGUUUUUGAGGCUUCCAAAUUUCCUCAGUUCAAGUUUCAGAAAUUUAAACAUGAUGCAAACACUAGGCAGCACCAGAAGCUAGGGAUGUGACACAUGGCCUGGGAACACGAAAGACCGAAAGGUCGAGCAUGAGUCGUAUAGAAGAUACGAUCAACAUGAAGAUGUUCACCGAUGUUGACUAGUCCAUCUCACGUGAUGAUUGGACACGGCCUAGUUGACUUGGAUCAUGUUUCACUUAGAUGACUAGAGGGAUGUCUAUCUGAGUGGGAGUUCAUUGAAUAAUUUGAUUAGAUGAACUUAAUUAUCAUGAACUUAGUCUAAAAUCUCUACACUAUGUCUUGUAGAUCAAAUGGCCCACGCUAAUGUUGCCCUCAACUUCAACGCGUUCCUAAAGAAAACCAAGCUGAAAGACGAUGGAAGCAACUAUACGGACUGGGUCCGGAACCUGAGGAUCAUCCUCAUAGCUGCCAAGAAAGAUUAUGUCCUAGAAGCACCGCUAGGUGACGCACCCAUCCCAGAGAACCAAGACGUUAUGAACGCUUGGCAGUCACGUGCUGAUGAUUACUCCCUCGUUCAGUGCGGCAUGCUUUACAGCUUAGAACCGGGGCUCCAAAAGCGCUUUGAGAGACACGAAGCAUAUGAGAUGUUCGAAGAGCUGAAAAUGGUUUUCCAAGCUCAUGCCCAGGUCGAGAGAUAUGAAGUCUCCAACAAGUUCUUCAGUGUAAGAUGGAGGAAAACAGUUCUGUCAGUGAGCACAUACUCAAAAUGUCUGGGUUGCAUAACCGCUUGACUCAGCUAGGAGUUAAUCUCCCGGAUGACGCGGUCAUUGACAGAAUCCUUUAGUCACUUCCACCGAGCUACAAGAGCUUUGUGAUGAACUUCAAUAUGCAGGGGAUGGAAAAGACCAUUCCUGAGGUAUAUUCAAUGCUGAAAUCAGCGGAGGUGGAGAUCAAAAAGGAACAUCAAGUGUUGAUGGUUAAUAAAACCACUAAGUUUAAGAAAGGCAAGGUUAAGAAGAACUUCAAGAAGGACGGCAAGGGGGUUGCCACGCCCGGUAAGCAAGCUGCCGGGAAGAAGUCAAAGAAUGGACCCAAGCCCAAGACUGGGUGUUUUUAUUGCAAGGGAAGUGGUCACUGGAAGUGGAACUGCCCCAAAUACUUAGCGGACAAGAAGGCCGGCAACACUAAAGGUAUAUGUGAUAUACAUGUAAUUGAUGUGUACCUUACCAGUACUCGUAGUAGCUCCUGGGCAUUUGAUACCGGUGCGGUUGCUCACAUUUGUAACUCAAAGCAGGAGCUGCGGAAUAAGCAGAGACUGGCGAAGGACGAGGUGACGAUGCGCGUCGGGAAUGGUUCCAAGGUCGAUGUGAUCGCCGUCAGCACGCUGCCUCUACAUUUACCUACGGGAUUAGUUUUAAACAUCAAUAAUUUUUAUUUAGUGCCAGCUUUGAGCAUGAACAUUGUAUCAGGAUCUCAUUUAAUUCGAGAUGGCUACUCAUUUAAAUCCGAGAAUAAUGGUUGUUCUAUUUAUAUGAGAGAUAUGUUUUAUGGUCAUGCUCCGCUAGUGAAUGGUUUAUUCUUAAUGAAUCUCGAGCGUAAUGUUACACAUAUUCAUAGUGUGAAUACCAAAAGAUGUAAGGUUGAUAAUGAUAGUCCCACAUACUUGUGGCACUGCCGCCUUGGUCACAUAGGUGUCAAACACAUGAAGAAGCUCCAUGCAGAUGGACUUUUGGAGUCUCUUGAUUACGAAUCAUUUGACACGUGCGAACCAUGCCUCAUGGGUAAAAUGACCAAGACUCCAUUCUCAGGAACAAUGGAGCGAGCAACCAACUUAUUGGAAAUCAUACAUACUGAUGUGUGCGGUCCAAUGAGUGUUGAGGCUCGCGGUGGCUAUCGUUAUGUUCUCACCCUCACUGAUGACUUGAGUAGAUAUGGGUAUGUCUACUUAAUGAAACACAAGUCUGAGACCUUUGAAAAAUUCAAGGAAUUUCAAAGUGAGGUUGAGAAUCAACGUGACAGAAAAAUCAAGUUCUUGCGAUCAGAUCGUGGGGGAGAGUACUUGAGUCGCGAAUUUGGCACACACUUAAGGAAAUGUGGAAUAGUUUCACAACUCACGCCGCCUGGAACACCUCAGCGUAAUGGUGUGUCCGAAUGUCGUAAUCGCACUCUAUUGGAUAUGGUGCGAUCUAUGAUGUCUCUUACCGAUCUACCGCUGUCAUUUUGGGGAUAUGCUUUAGAGACUGCCGCAUUCACUUUAAAUAGGGCACCGUCGAAAUCCGUUGAGACGACACCGUAUGAAUUAUGGUUUGGGAAGAAACCUAAGCUGUCGUUUCUAAAAGUUUGGGGAUACGAUGCUUAUGUGAAGAAACUUCAACCUGAAAAGCUCGAACCAAAAUCGGAAAAAUGCGUCUUCAUAGGAUACCCUAAAGAAACUAUUGGGUAUACCUUCUACCUCAGAUCCGAAGGCAAGAUCUUUGUUGCCAAGAAUGGAUCCUUUCUAGAGAAAGAGUUUCUCUCGAAAGAAAUAAGUGGGAGGAAAGUAGAACUCGAUGAAGUAUUACCUCUUGAACUGGUAAGUGGCGCAACUCAAGAAAAUGUUCCUGAGGUGCCUGCACCAACUAGAGAGGAAGUUAAUGAUGAUGAUCAUGAAACUUCAGAUCAAGUUGCUACUGAACUUCGUAGGUCCACAAGGACAUGUUCUGCACCAGAGUGGUACGGCAACCCUGUCCUGGAAAUCAUGUUGUUAGACAACGGUGAACCUUCGAACUAUGAGGAAGCGAUGGUGGGCCCAGAUUUCGACAAAUGGCUAGAAGCCAUGAAAUCCGAGAUAGGAUCCAUGUAUGAAAACAAAGUAUGGACUUUGACUAACUUGCCCGAUGAUCAGCGAGCCAUAGAAAAUAAAUGGAUCUUUAAGAAGAAGACAGACGCGGAUGGUAAUGUAACCAUCUAUAAAGCUCGGCUUGUUGCUAAGGGUUAUCGACAAGUUCAAGGGGUUGACUAUGACGAGACUUUCUCACCCGUAGUGAAGCUGAAGUCCGUCCGAAUCAUGUUAGCAAUUGUCGCAUUCUAUGAUUAUGAGAUAUGGCAAAUGGACGUCAAAACGGCAUUCCUUAAUGGUUUCCUUAAGGAAGAAUUGUAUAUGAUGCAGCUGGAAGGUUUUGUCGAUCCUAAGAAUGUUGACAAGGUGUGCAAGCUCCAACGCUCGAUCUAUGGGCUGGUGUAAGCAUCUCGGAGUUGGAACAUUCGUUUUGAUGAGAUGAUCAAAGCGUUUGGGUUUACGCAGACUUAUGGAGAAGCCUGCAUUUACAAGAAAGUGAGUGGGAGCUCUGUAGCAUUUCUCAUACUGUAUGUGGAUGACAUACCGUUGAUGGGAAAUGAUAUAGAAUUCUUGGAAAGCAUAAAGGCCUACUUGAACAAGUGUUUUUCAAUGAAGGAUCUUGGAGAAGCUGCUUACAUAUUAGGCAUCAAGAUCUAUAGAGAUAGAUCGAGAUGCCUCAUUGGUCUUUCACAGAGUACGUACCUUGACAACAUAUUGAAGAAGUUCAAUAUGGAUCAGUCAAAGAAGGGGUUCUUGCCUGUAUUGCAAGGUACGAGAUUGAGCACGGCUCAAUGCCCGACCACGGGAGAAGAUAGAGAAAAGAUGAGUGUCGUCCCCUAUGCCUCGGCCAUAGGGUCUAUCAUGUAUGCUAUGAUGUGUACCCGACCUGAUGUAAACCUUGUCGUAAGUUUGGUAGGAAGGUACCAAAGUAAUCCCGGCAUGGAACACUGGACAGCGGUCAAGAAUAUCCUGGAGUACCUGAAGAGGACUAAGGAUAUGUUUCUCGUUUAUGGAGGUGACGAAGAGCUCGUCGUAAAGGGUUACGUCGAUGCUAGCUUCGACACAGAUCUGGAUGACUCUAAGUCACAAACCAGAUACGUGUAUAUUUGGAAUGGUGGGGCAGUAAGCUGGUGCCGUUGCAAGCAAAGCGUUGUGGCGGGAUCUACAUGUGAAGCGGAGUACAUGGCAGUCUUGGAGCAAGCAUAAGAGGCAAUCUGGGUGAAGGAGUUCAUUACCGACCUAGGAGUCAUACCCAAUGCGUCGGGCCCGAUGACUCUCUUCCGUGACAACACUGGAGCUAUUGCCCUUGCCAAGGAGCCCAGGUUUCACAGGAAGACCAGGCAUAUCAAGCGUUGCUUCAACUCCAUUCGUGAAAGUGUUCAAAAUGGAUACAUAGAUAUCUAUAAAGUACAUACGGACCUGAAUGUGGCAGAUCCGUUGACUAAACCUCUCCCUAGAGCAAAACAUGAUCAACAACAGAACUGCAUGGGUGUUCGAUUCAUCACAAUGUAACUAGACUAUUGACUCUAGUUCAAGUGGGAGACUGUUGGAAAUAUGCCCUAGAGGCAAUAAUAAAAUGGUUAUUAUUAUAUUUCUUUAUUCAUUAUAAUUGUCUAUUAUUCAUGCUAUAAUUGUGUUAUCCAGAAAUCGUAAUACAUGUGUGAAUACAUAGACCACAACACGUCCCUAGUGAGCCUCUAGUUGACUAGCUCGUUGAUCAAAAGAUAGUCAUGGUUUCCUGACUAUGGACAUUGGAUGUCAUUGAUAACGGGAUCACAUCAUUAGGAGAAUGAUGUGAUGGACAAGACCCAAUCCUAAGCAUAGCUCAAAGAUCAUGUAGUUCGUUUGCUAUAGCUUUUCCGAAUGUCAAGUAUCAUUUCCUUAGACCAUGAGAUUGUGCAACUCCCGGAUACUGUAGGAGUGCUUUGGGUGUGCCAAACGUCACAACGUAACUGUGUGACUAUAAAGGUACACUACGGGUAUCUCCGAAAGUGUCUGUUGGGUUGGCACGAAUCGAGACUGGGAUUUGUCACUCCGUAUGACGGAGAGGUAUCUCUGGGCCCACUUGGUAAUGCAUCAUCAUAAUGAGCUCAAUGUGACCAAGUGGUUGAUCACAAGAUCAUGCAUUACGGUACGAGUAAAGUGACUUGCCGGUAACGAUAUUGAACGAGGUAUUGGGAUACCGACGAUCGAGUCUUGGGCAAGUAACGUACCGAUUGACAAAGGGAAUUGUAUACGGGAUUGAUCGAAUCCUCGACAUCGUGGUUCAUCCGAUGAGAUCAUCAAGGAGCAUGUGGGAGCCAACAUGGGUAUCCAGAUCCCGCUGUUGGUAUUAACCGGAGAGUCGUCUCGGUCAUGUCUGCGUGUCUCCCGAACCCGUAGGGUCUAGACACUUAAGGUUCAGUGAUGCUAGGGUUGUUGAGAUAUUAGUAUAUGGUAAUCCAAAAGUUGUUCGGAGUCUCGGAUGAGAUCCUGGACGUCACGAGGAGUUCCAGAAUGGUCUGGAGGUGAAGAUUUAUAUAUAGGAAGUCAAGUUUCGGCCAUCGGGAAAGUUUCGGGGGUAAUCGGUAUUGUGCCGGGACCACCGAAAGGGUCCCGGGGGUCCACCGGGUGGGGCCACCUAUCCCGGACGGCCCCAUGGGCUGAAGUGGGAGGGGAACCAGCCCCUAGUGGGCUGGUGCGCCCCCCUUGGGCCUCCCCCUGCGCCUAGGGUUGGAAACCCUAGGGGUGGGGGUGCCCCACUUGGCUUGGGGGGCACUCCACCCCCCUUGGCCGCCGCCCCCCUUGGAGAUUCAAUCUCCCAGGGCCGGCGCCCCCCUAGGGGUCCUAUAUAUAGUGGGGGGAGGGAGGGCAGCCGCACCCUAUUCCCUGGCGCCUCCCUCUCCCUCCCGUGACACUUCUCCCUCUCCCUGAGCUUGGCGAAGCCCUACCGAGAUCACUGUUGCUUCCACCACCAUGCCGUCGUGCUACUGGAUCUUCAUCAACCUCUCCUUUCCCCUUGCUGGAUCAAGUUGGAGGAGACGUCUUCCCAACCGUACGUUUGUUGAACGCGGAGGUGCCGUCCGUUUGGCGCUAGGUCAUCGGUGAUUUGGAUCACGACGAGUACGACUCCAUCAACCCCGUUCUCUGAAUGCUUCCGCGCGCGAUCUACAAGGGUAUGUAGAUGCACUCCCCUCUCCCUCGUUGCUAGAUGACUCCAUAGAUUGAUCUUGGUGAUGCGUAGAAAAUUUUAAAAUUCUGCUACGUUCCCCAACAGGAGAAGGGGCAGCCGCUCUCUUCUUCACCACCGCAACCUUCACCGCCUUCCCCGCUGUCGCGGCCCUUGUCUGACGCAUGGACGCCUCCGAAGGUUGUUGCGGUUGUGCGGUCCAGCCGGGGAGGACCGGCUCUCCGGAGACGGCCCGCCGCAGGACACGCCCUCUCCCUGUGGCUGGGGGCUCGACAGCCUCGGCCUCCUCCUCAGACAACUCAUCGAUGUCAUCUUCGAUGAGAGGGGCCCCGGUGCCGACGCUGCUGGCCUUCCCAGCGGAUUCCACCCACUGGGCGAGCUCCUUGUCCUCCGCGAACAUCGCGGCCUCGUUCUCCAUGCCGCCAGCGCUGCCAGCCUCCUUGGCGAGCUCCGCCUCCGCACCCUGGCGGCGAUGUAGUCCAGCUCCGCCUGGGUGGUGUCCUGGAUGAGCCGCGGCUCCUCACGGACGUACUUCUCCAUCAAGGUGUCGAAGAACUCCUACACCUGAUCCUCCUCCGGCUCGGCCCAAUUUGGGUCAAGGCCAUGCGCGUUGAAGUCUGGCAUCAUGGCGAUGAUGUCGGUUUGGCGAGAGUUGUUGCUCAGCGAGACCACCCCAGCCGGCAACCCGGACUAGGGCCCCUUGACGACCUUGCCGGCCUUCAUGGCCAUGCCGGCCCUCUCGGCCCUGCCGUCGCGACUCACGUCGAGCUGGAAUAGCCGCUGGCAGAAAUGGGCAUGCCCCAUCACUGUGAAGUAAUGGUUCAGGCCAGGGUGAAGUCUCAUGAUGUCAUCCGCAUUGCUAAAAAGCCAGGCCGGCCUCCCCUUGUUGUGAAGUGGAGCGAUUCGGCGGCGGAUGAAAUCCGCCCCAACCAUCUCCAGGGUGAGCCCGGCAGCGACAAGGCGGUGGAUCCUGGUGGUGGCGACUGUGAGCCUCCCGUCCUGGGCGUCGACUACUACCUCUUGAGCACUGCGUUGGUUUUCCCUUGAAGAGGAAAGGGUGAUGCAGGAAAGUAGCAUAAGUAUUUCCCUUAGUUUUUGAGAACCAAGGUAUCAAUCCAGUAGGAGGCUACGCGCGAGUCCAUCGCACCUACACAAAACAAAUAAAUCCUCACAACCAACACGAUAAGGGGUUGUCAAUCCCUACACGGUCACUUAUGAGAGUGAGAUCUGAUAGAUAUGAUAAGAUAAUAUUUUUGGUGUUUUUAUGAUAAAGAUGCAAAGUAAAAUAAAAGCAAAGGAAAUAACUAAGUGUUGGAAGAUUAAUAUGAUGAAGAUAAACCCGGGGGCCAUAGGUUUCACUAGUGGCUUCUCUCAAGAGCAUAGAUAUUUUACGGUGGUUGAACAAAUUACUGUUGAGCAAUUGACAGAAUUGAGCAUAGUUACGAGAAUAUCUAGGUAUGAUCAUGUAUAUAGGCAUCAUGUCCAAGACAAGUAGACUAACUCCUGCCUGCAUCUACUACUAUUACUCCACACAUCGACCGCUAUCCAGCAUGCAUCUAGAGUAUUAAGUUCAAGAGAACAGAGUAAUGCUUUAAGCAAGAUGACAUGAUGUAGAGGGAUAAACUCAUGCAAUAUGAUAAAAACCCCAUCUUGUUAUCCUCGAUGGCAACAAUACAAUACGUGCCUUGCUGCCCCUACUGUCACUGGGAAAGGACACCGCGAGAUUGAACCCAAAGCUAAGCACUUCUCCCAUUGCAAGAAAGAUCAAUCUAGUAGGCCAAACCAAAUUGAUAAUUCGAAGAGACUUGCAAAGAUAACCAAUCAUACAUAAAAUAAUUCAGAGAAGAUUCAAAUAUUGUUCAUAGAUAAACUUGAUCAUAAACCCACAAUUCAUCGGUCUCAAGAAACACAUCACAAAAGAAGAUUAGAUCGAAUAGAUCUCCACAAGAGAGGGGGAGAACUUUGUAUUGAGAUCCAAAAAGAGAGAAGAAGUCAUCUAGCUAAUAACUAUGGACCCGAAGGUCUAAGGUAAACUACUCACACUUCAUCGGAGAGGCUAUGGUGUUGAUGUAGAAGCCCUCCGUGAUCGAUGCCCCCUCCGGCGGAGCUCCGGAACAGGCCCCAAGAUGGGAUCUCGUAGAUACAAAAAGUUACAGCCGUGGAAUUAGGGUUUUGGCUCCGUAUCUGAUCGUUUGGGGGUACGUAGGUAUAUAUAGGAGGAAGGAGUAUGUCGGUGGGCCCAUGAGGGUGGAGGGCGCGCCUGGGGGGUAGGCGCGCCCCCUACCUCGUGGCCUGCAUGUUGGUUGCUUGACAUAGGGUCCAAGUCUCCUGGAUCUUGUUCAUUCCAAAAAUCACGUUCCCGAAGGUUUCAUUCCGUUUGGACUCAGUUUGAUAUUCCUUUUCUUCAGAACCCUAAAAUAGGCAAAAAAACAGCAAUUCUAGGCUGGGCCUUCGGUUAAUAGGUUAGUCCCAAAAAUAAUAUAAAAGUGAAUAAUAAAGCCCAAUAAUGUCCAAAACAGAAGAUAAUAUAGCAUGGAGAAAUAAAAAAUUAUAGAUAUGUUGGAGACGUAUCAAGCAUCCCCAAGCUUAAUUCCUGCUCGUCCUCGAGUAGGUAAAUGAUAAAAACAGAAUUUUUGAUGUGGAAUGCUACUUGGCAUAAUUUCAAUGUAAUUAUCUUAAUUGUGGUAUGAAUAUUCAGAUACGAAAGAUUCAAGACAAAAGUUUAAUAUUGACAUAAAAAUAAUAAUACUUCAAGCAUACUAACUUAGCAAUUAUGUCUUCUCAAAAUAACAUGGCCAAAGAAAGUUAUCCCUACAAAAUCAUAUAGUCUGGCUAUGCUCUAUCUUCACCACACAAAGUAUUUAAAUCAUGCACAACCCCCAUGACAAGCCAAGCAAUUGUUUCAUACUUUUAAUGUUCUCAAACCUUUUCAAUCUUCACGCAAUACAUGAGCGUGAGCCAUGGACAUAGCACUAUAGGUGGAAUAGAAUGGUGGUUGUGGAGAAGAUAAAAAGGGAGAAGAUAGACUCACAUCAACUAGGCGUAUCAACGGGCUAUGGAGAUGCCCAUCAAUAGAUAUCAAUGUGAGUGAGUAGGGAUUGCCAUGCAACGGAUGACCUAGAGCUAUAAGUAUAUGAAAGCUCAAAAAGAAACUAAGUGGGUGUGCAUCCAACUUGCUUGCUCACGAAGACCUAGGGCAUUUUGAGGAAGCCCAUCAUUGGAUAUACAAGCCAAGUUCUAUAAUGAAAAAUUCCCACUAGUAUAUGGAAGUGAUAACAUAGGAGACUCUCUACCAUGAAGAUCAUGGUGCUACUUUGAAGCACAAGUGUGGUAAAAGGAUAGUAGCAUUGUCCCUUCUCUCUUUUUCUCUCAUUUUUUUAUUUGGGCCUUUUCUCUUUUUUUAUGGCCUCUUUUAUUUUUUUUAUUUUUCGUCCGGAGUCUCAUCCCGACUUGUGGGGAAUCAUAGUCUCCAUCAUCCUUUCCUCACUGGGACAAUGCUCUAAUAAUGAUGAUGAUCACACUUUUAUUUUCUUACAACUCAAGAAUUACAACUCGAUACUUAGAACAAGAUAUGACUCUAUAUGAAUGCCUCUGGCGGUGUACCGGGAUAUGCAAUGACUCAUGAGUGACAUGUAUGAAAGAAUUAUGAAUGGGGGCUUUUCCACAAAUACGAUGUCAACUACAUGAUUAUGCAAAGCAAUAUGACAAUGAUGGAGUAUGUCAUAAUAAACGGAACGGUGGAAAGUUGCAUGGCAAUAUAUCUCGGAAUGGCUAUGGAAAUGCCAUAAUAGGUAGGUAUGGUGGCUGUUUUGAGGAAGGUAUAUGGUGGGUGUAUGAUACCGGCGAAAGGUGCGCGGUAUUAGAGAGGCUAGCAAUGGUGGAAGGGUGAGAGUGCAUAUAAUCCAUGGACUCACUACUAGGAAAAGGGCUAUAGAUAGGAUUGAUACUAAUGGCGCACCAGGGAAGUAGUGCGCUACUACUAUAUACUAAUGGCGCACCUGUUGGUGAUGCGCCAUUAAUGUGGAAGACACUAAUGGCGCACCAGAAACAGGGUGCGCCACUAGUAUUAAUUUUUUUUCCAUUUUUCCAUACAUACUAAUGGCGCAUCAGGUCGACAAUGCGCCAUUACUAGUUCUAACUAGUAAUGGCGCACCAGGCAGAGAGUGCGCCAUUACUGUAGUUUUUUCUUAUUCUUUUUUUUGCAAAACUACUAAUGGCGCACCGUUUCACAGUGCGCCAUUACUAGUUUAAACUAGUAAUGGCGCACUAUUACAUGGUGCGCCAUUAGUAUAUAUAUUUAUAUUUUUUACUUUUUUGCAAAACUUCUAAUGGCGCACCACCUGCAGGUGCGCCAUUAGUAACCAGGGUUACUAAUGGCGCAUUUCCUUGUGGUGCGUCAUUAGUAACCUGGGACCCCAACAAGAUAUUUUGGACAGCCCCACACCUACCCACUCACUUUCCCCACUUCAUUUCCUCCACCUUCUUCUCCAAGCUUUCGGCUGCCUCCUCCUCCUCACCUCAUUUCCACCAUAGAUUCAUCAAAAUUAAGUGGUGAAAUUACCUUUUUUUGAUAGGUAAGUAAGGGGAAAGCUAUCUUCAUGAUGUAGAUCUACUUUUUUCUCCCUAGCUCGCUCCAACAACGUGCACAUGCACUUUUUGUGGCCUAGCUAGAUCUAUGUAUGUUUGUGGUGUUGCAUGUGUUUGUGGUGUUGCAUAUAUGUGUGUCCUAUGGAUUUACCGCACGUGAAAUACCACGCGGCGUCACUCGAUACAAGAAGAGGAAGAAAGCUCCUCGAAAAUCGGUGUGGUACUUUCCGAUCACUCCUUGUCUGCAGCGGUAUUUCACGGACCCUAAGGUAGCAAAGCUCCUGCGUUGGCACGCGGAUAGGGAGGAGAAGAAGCGGGAAGAUGACGGAAAUGAUCCGGAGAUAAAUAAAAAAGACAAGAUGUUGAGUCACCCUAAGGAUGCGAGCCAGUGGCAAGCGUUGAACUUCGAAUACCCAGAAUUUGGGAAGGAUCCAAGGAACAUCGUGCUGGGCGCGAGCACCGAUGGAGUCAAUCCGUUUGGCAGCCAGAGAAGCACACAUAGCACCUGGCCUGUGUUUGUGUGGAUGUACAACCUUCCCCCUGGUUGUGCAUGAAGAGGAAGUACAUUCACAUGAGUAUGCUAAUUGAAGGGCCGAAACAACCAGGGAACGACAUCAAUCUGUAUCUGGGGCUGCUGAAGGAGGAGCUAGACACACUGUGGAAAACACCAGCCAAUACGUGGGAUGCCGCAGAGAAAGAAUAUUUCCCUAUGAGAGCCGCACUGCUCACGACGGUGCACGAGUAUCUCGGUUAUGGAUAUCUUGCGGGGCAGGUAGUCCACGGAUUUUCUGGAUGCGUAAGGUGCAUGGAUGACACAACGUAUCGCCAGCUAGAUAGAGAUCCCGGGUCUUCGAAAACUAUGUUCAUGGGACAUCGAAGGUGGCUUCGCGAUGAUGACCUAUGGAGGAAAUGCAAGGAUCUGUUCGAUGGUGAAACCGAACCCCGAAAACGCCUGUGUAUGAGGAGCGGCGAGGAAAUAGAUGAGCUAUUGAAAAAUUGGAAAGACUGCCCACUGCUGGGAAAGAAGCAAAAGGCGCCAGAGCCGGGAAAGAAGCGAAAGGCGCCAGAGCCGCUGCUGAAGGUAUGGAAAACGAGGUCUGUUUUCUGGGACUUGCCGUAUCACGAAGAACAUGUGCGAGAGUCUGCUUGGUACCCUGCAUAUCAUGAAGAACGUGUGCGAGAGUCUGCUUGGUACCCUGCUCAACAUGCCAGAGAGGACCAAAGAUGGGCCGAAAGCAAGGGCAGACUUGAAAUCAAUGGGCAUCAGGCAGGAGCUUCACGCUAAUGAUGAUGAUGAUGAUGAUGAUGAUGAUGAGGCGAAGCAGGACACAGAAAGUCAUCGCAAAGGCAAAAAGGCCAAGAAGACCGGAAAUGACUACCCUCCCGCAUGCUUCACUCUAAGUCAGGAGGAGAUCAGGCAGUUUUUCACCUGCCUCCUAGGAGUAAAACUUCCUUACGGUUACGCGGGGAAGAUAAGCAGAUACCUAGACCCAGCGAAGCAGAAGUUCAGCGGGAUGAAGUCUCACGACUAUCACGUGCUGAUGACGCAGAUACUUCCAGUUGCAAUCUGUGGGAUCAUCGACGCGCACGUAGGCAGGCGCAUGCGUGGCGGUGCACAGCCUCUACACCAACUCAGCAAGCACCUGCGUGGUGGCAUGUAGAUCUUCGUGAAAGCUCCACCACUGCGCCAGCCCAGCAGCCAGCCAACGUGGCGCUACAACGCCUCCUCAGCUUGGACGCGCGUCGGAGCCAGGCGAGGCGACGACAGCUGGGACGAGCUUCUUUGUCGUCCCCAAUAAAGCAAGAGGGGCACAUCGGCAGCGCAUUAAAUGCAUUUGUCCGACGAUGCCAGGGGAUAGACUCAGCCCCUGUACACCUUUCCACCUCCUGUGUGCCACUGUGGGGACCCCUUUUUAUCUAUAAAAGGAGGCCCGAGGCAUACUGGAGGGGGAUUCGGAUCUUUUGGACUAGGGAGCCGCUGCAGCUAGUUCAAGAACACAAGAACACCUAAAUAUACGUCAAAGCGGGACUAGGGUUUUACGCCUCUCCAUGGCCCAAACCUGGGUAAACGAUUUGUGUGCUAAUCGCCAGACCCGCUCUUUGCACAACCCCGCGCCCGCCAACCGUCGAAGGGAUCCUAGUGACCCCAUAGGUGUCGUUUCCCACCGAUACCGUGUGUGCGCCCUCCUUAGUGGCAUGGGACGCCGCCGUCGAACGCUACAUCUCAGCGCCGCCAGCUGCCAUCCUCCCGCACCCCGCUCGUCGACCCUGGGACGACAUGAUGCAAAGUGAGAGCAGGAUUUGUGCAUCUCUUCAAUGCAAACGGUUCUUUUGGAUGACCCGUGUGCAACCACUUACAAACAAUUUGGUGCGAUUUGCAUCUGUCAUAUUGGGUAUGUUACCAUUUGUCAAACUGGAAAGAUUGACAUUUGUUGAUCUAGUGACAUUGCCAUUUGUGCAGCUUGUAACACUGUGAUUUGUCAAAAUAUGAAGCUAAAAAUCACUAGCAGUAUCUAAUUUUUGCAACUAAAAUUCAGUAAUUAAGCAUAGAUUUCGAUUCAUUCAUAGAUUAAGCAGUCGUUCUUAAUUUAUACAAAUAGUUCAACUCGACAGCUGAACCAACCAAACUUUUCCCCAAUUGUUGCCAACCACGUACUGAAAUAGCUAGUUCAACUAUAUAUACUAACUAAUUUUAAGCAUGUUGUACAGUUCCACCACAUCUAUAGUCAGAUGAGUUGAACAAAAUAGCCCCUAAAUACUAGUAUUACUAGUGCGGAGGGGUUUUGUACUACUUACGGCUUCUUCUCCUCUGCCGAGCGCGCUCAGUAAGGGGCGGAGGAGGAGGAGUGUACCGACAAGCUGGGCAACCGCAAUAUGGUGCCUGCUGCUAUUGCAGCUUCAGUGACGCUCACCUCGAAUGCCCUCUGCUGCUCCAGACGACCCCUCUCGAAGCGGUGGUUCUCCUCGUAGAUCUCCUGACUCCUCGCCUCUGAGGCGGCGUGUGCCGCGGCCACGGUGGAGGUAAGGCUCCUUGCAUGCUCGACGAGGCGCUCCUCCUCCCGCAGGAACUCGGUGUAGCGCACAAGGCCGCUGACGCACGUGCAGGCAUCCACCUCCGCCUCCCGCCUUCGGGCAACAGCUGCCGACGGGCACCGGCGGCGGAGCGUGUGGUGGGUGUUCUGCGCACUACACUACGCCGGGGACUUUACCGCCGCCGCGGUGUAGCCUCCCAGCUGGAGUUGUCCUCUGAUGACGGCGGAGUGGCUGAGCGACGACGAUGGACCAGUGCCAUUGGUGAUUGUGGGAGAAGCAGAUGAGAUAAGCUACAGGGAGGGAGGGGAAAAUGUGACGCUGGACUCGCCGGCCGUGAGGGUUUUCAUAGCAGGCUGGUAAGCAUUGGGAUUUUGGGGGAUUUCACCGAGUCGGGUAGGAAGCUUGCGUGGGAACCUACGAGGAUGCGCAGGAACGCGCUCACCGAUGAUUCAUUGGCGCCACUGUUUGGCCAAAAGAACGCCCCCGCGCGUUGUGCAAGCUUGCGUUGUAAGCCAUCUGCGGCAGCGGGGUGACAAGACGUGCGAGAGGAGGACGAAAGGCCACAUACACAUACAGUUAAUAAAAAAACAUUUGUGAUUUAAUUACCUACUAUACCCCAUCCUGGUUUAUAAGUAUUAUUUAACUAAUAAAACACGAAUGCAUGUCGCCAAAGAUUAUAUAGUUGGAUUCGUAUUUGAACAUAGUUUCCAAUUAUAUAAUUUUUUAUAACAAGCAUUAACAUUUUGCUGGUUAAAUUUGAGGGAAAAGUAUGGCAUAGAAUAUAAAGGGAACUAUAGACUAGACGGAGGUGGUAGCACAUGGCCACUCUCUUCGCAGCGACGCGACUGUGAGCCGGCUUGUAGGCGACCAUUUCCCUGCAUGUUCAACUGCUCUAUGUGUGUGGUUGCUUGCGGUUCAGGCAGCCGCGGUGCGCUCUGCUCGUGUCCCGCCACGCGCGCUCUGCUCUCGCAUCACUCCGAGUGCUCUGCCCUCGUCCCUCCACGCGCGCUGCUAGUGUUUGGGGCCGGCGCAUGAUCACGCAUGUUCGUGUGCAUGCGGUUGCGUUGGGUGCGGUGCGACGAUGCAGUUACCCGCUACAAACUGCCAUGUGGACGCACCGAGAAUCCAUGCCGCCUGGGCCCCUUUUAUUCCUGCGGCCAUUUACCUUCAUCUCUCGUCUCACAAGACACAAUAAGCACACCCACGAGGACACAUAUAGAGAGGACAUCCAGCGGUUCCAAUGACGCUCCCCGUGGCUCCAAUGGCACUCCCAGGGGCUGACGACGACAACGGCGGGCAGUUCACCACGCAACACGUCGUGGACACCAACGUGACGGGGAAGGCUCUCUCGGUGGUGUACACGAACGAUCUGGUCUCGGUGGAGAGCUCCAUCCAAACUAUGGAGCAGUUCCUUGCCGAGGACAAGUACCAAGUGGUCGGCUUCGACCUCGAGUACACCAUGGGUCGUGCCGGGCACGAUCAGAAGGUUGUCGUCGCCCAGUUGUGUGUGCGAUAGGACGUACUUGUCUACCACUACCACCUGGACACAACGCCUUGCGAGUGUUUCUCCAGGUUUAUCAACAGCUCCAACUACAGUUUUGCUGUGGUGGACACCACCAACGAUCUAAAAGCGCUCAAGGUUUCGGGCAUGAAAUGCCCGAAUCUUGUCAACAUCCAGCGCCACUACAAGGUCUGGGGCAGCGACAAAAACAAACUAAACUCCCUGGUUGACCUCGCCUCGGCCAUCAUCGACCCCUACUACAUGAAGAUGAAGAAUGAGAGCAAUAAGGACAGGAACGCCUGGCACAGUGUGUGGCAUGAGAGACUGGAUGAACAACAUGUCAACUACGCAGCCAUGGACGUGUACACAAGCUACGAGAUGUACAGGCGGAUUGUUGACAUGAGGAACUAUCUUCUUUCUGACCUAGAUGAGGGAUCGAGCCACAUAGCAGUGGCGGGAGCGUCACAAGAAGUAGAUGACUAGACAAUCGUUUCUCCUACUUUAAGAUGCAUGCAAUUGUUUAUUGAGGUGUGUGUGAAUGAUCUGUAUAGUCACUUAUGUAAUUGCAUGUUUAUUUCAGUUAUAUAUAUACAUGUUAUUCUACUGUAGACAGAGCAAAUCACAUGGCUUAUUAGCAGCAAUCGUCUGUGUUAUUAUUGGUCUUCGCACACAUUUCUGAUUACGGACCUGUUUGCCGCGUAUCACACACAUCUUGUUUAGUUGAACCAUUUCCAUUGUGUUGCCUAAUCACACACAGUUCAUCCUAGUGAACCAUAUGCUAUAUAUCGCGCACGCCUUCAUCUGGCUGCCCGUUUCUUUUGUUCCUCCUCAUCCCAAACAGUUAAUUGAACUAAACCGUAUGCCUUGCAUCGCACACGCAACUAAAAUCUGAAUCGUGUUUGAUGCAUCUGUCAUCACAAAUGUUUUGCACCUUUUUGACGGGUUUUUUACACCACCGUUUGUGAUUAUGGCAUCGCACACAGUUUCGUCGAAGGGUCUCUAAUCAUAGUGUCGUGUUUGGACCAUCCUGCAGUAGUGUUAGUUUUGACAGUUAAGUUCAGAGAUGAGCGGCUGAUGUAUUUUACAUCUAGCACUUUGUGGCUAUGUAUUUUACGUCAUCUAUUGGAGAUGCUAUUAGAAUUCCACUCAGGUUAACGUUGUCUCUCUUGUCCUGCUUCAGCCUCGCUGUCGUACAACUCACCGGAGCUGCUCCAAUGACAAAACCGUCCAUCACAGCGGAGCAGUACCCGGGGCUCCAUCUCCAGGCGCCUAAGAUCUUCUUCCCCUCCUCCAACGGCCAAAUCAGCCGGAGCAUCCUCACCGACCAACCCAAUCACGCAGAGAUCGACAUGGCUUCGCCAAAGAGGUUGUACACCUGUUGCAUCGCUUUUUUACUCUAUGUGUUAUAUAUAUAUAUAUAUAGUCCACUGAGCACACGUAGUAACAUGAAAUACGAUUAGUUUCUCCUACUAUAUGACAAGCAGUGAGGUACCGGGCAACUUAGCUAUCCGUGAUGGACUCUCUUAAACGCCAUCAUUAUUUAUCUGUGCGCGUUUGAGCUAUGCAUUUGUAGAUGGGCCUGGGAGUUGAGCUAGUAGCGCAGUGGCUUGGGUCCAAAGUAGUAGAAGUAGCACAAAAACAUUUUUUUAGUGUAGGCUUUUCCCUGCUCAUGCCUGCCUACUAGAAUCACCAGUGAUUGAAAGGAAAACUGAAGGAAAAACAUAGGAAUUGGAAAGUUUCCUAUGGUACUACUAUUCAUCCAUUUGGUUCAAAGGAAUGGAGCAAAGGAAAACUGUAGGAUUUGUUCCUUUAGUGUCUCCUUGAACGAAAAACCGUAGGAAUUUUAAUAUCCACCUGUCCUCCUUUUCAAAUUCUUAUUCAUGAAGCACAAGACUAAGAGAUAGUAGCAUAAUGGCAUUAUAACCGUACAUUUUCUUGUGGUUUGACUUAAUCUCACCAUACUUCUUUGCAUCCUGUGAUCUUCCAAUUCUUGUGAACCAAACAACUAGAUUGGUAGAAAUCCUGUGUUUUUUAAUUCUCUAUUUUGCAUGUGCAUUCCUAUCAUGUUCCUGUGUUUUUCCUAUCCCUGCAUUGUUAGAAUCCUCCAAUUCAAAUAAGCCCUUAAACAGUUACUUCUCUUACAAAUAGUUGUCAAAGAAAACCUUGUGUGGUUUGUCCCGCUCCUACUGCGCUGUUGUCCACCCCAGCUCAGCUGCUCCAAUGACAGAAGGGUCCACCACAGCAGGGAUCCGGCCUCCAGACUAUCUUUCGCCGCCUCAGAUCUUCUUCCCCGCCGCUGGCAGCCACGACAACUGCAUUACCAUCAUCAACCGAGCAGAUGACCUCAAGGACUACACGGGUCUGCAAGAGAGGUCGCACUCUUUCAUGUCUGCUUAUGUUAUGCAUCGCUUAAUAUUACAUGCUACUUUAUCAUCCUGUUCACCGACUAGACUCUGAGUCAGGUCCAAACUAAUGGUCAAACUUGAGUUUUUAAAUGGUUGUGCGGUACAUAUUGUUGGGGAAUGUAGUAAUUUCAAAAAAAUUCCUACGCACAUGCAAGAUCAUGGAGAUGCAUAGCAACGAGAGGGAAGAGUGUUGUUUACGUACCCUCGUAGAACGUAAGCGUUAUGUCAACGCGAUUGAUGUAGUCAUACGUCUUCACGAUCGACCAAUCCCAACACUGAAGGUACGGCACCUCCGCGAUCUACACACGUUUGGCUCGGUGACGUCCCGCGAACUCACGAUCCAGUAGAUCUUCAAGGGAGAGCUUCAUCAGCACGACGGCGUGAUGAAGGUGAUGAUGUUGCUACCAGAACAAGGCUUCGCCUAAGCACCGCUACGAUAUGACCGAGGUGGAUUAUGGUGGAGGGGGGCACCGCACACGGCUUGGAACAAUCAACUUGUGUGUUCUAGGGUGCCCCCUGCCCCCGUAUAUAAAGGAGCAAGGGGGGAGGAUGGCCGGCCCUAGUGGCUCCCAAGGAGAUGAGGAAUACUCCUCCAAGUAGGAGUAGGAUUCAUCCUUUCCUAGUCCUACUAGGAAGGAGGAAGGGGGAAGGAAAGAGAGGGAGAGGGAAAGAGCGGCCGCGCCCCCCUCCCCUAGUCCUAUUCGGACUCCCCUGGGGGGGGCGCCACCUCCAGGGCUGCUGCCCUCUCUCUCCCCUAAGGCCCACUAAGGCCCAAUUCUUCCGGGGGGUUCCGGUAACCCCUCCGGCACUCCGGUUUUCUCCGAAAUCACCCGGAACACUUCCGGUGUCCGAAUAUAGCCGUCCAAUAUAUCGAUCUUUAUGUCUCGACCAUUUCGAGACUCCUCGUCAUGUCUGUGGUCAUAUCCGGGACUUUGAACUUCCUUCGGUACAUCAAAACACCUAAACUCAUAAUACCGAUCGUCACUGAACGUUAAGCGUGCGGACCCUACGGGAUCGAGAACUAUGUAGACAUGACCGAGACUCAUCUCCGGUCAAUAACCAAUAGCGGAACCUGGAUGCUCAUAUUGUUUCCUACACAUUCUACGAAGAUCUUUAUCGGUCAAAACGCAUAACAACAUACGUUGUUCCCUUUGUCAUCGGUAUGUUACUUGCCCGAGAUAUGAUCGUCGGCAUCUCAAUACCUAGUUCAAUCUCGUUACUGGCAAGUAUCUUUACUCGUUCCGUAAUGCUACAUCCCGUAACUAACUCAUUAUCUACAUUGCUUGCAAGGCUUAUUGUGAUGUACAUUACAGAGAGGGCCCAGAGAUACCUCUCCGACAAUCAGAGUGACAAAACCUAAUCUUGAUCCAUGUCAACUCAACAAACACCAUCAGAGACACCUAUAGAGCACCUUUAUAAUCACCCAGUUAUGUUGUGACGUUUGGUAGCACACAAAGUGUUCCUCCGGUAUUUGGGAGUUGCAUGAUCUCAUAGUCAUAGGAACAUGUAUAGUUAUGGAGAAAGCAAUAGCAAGAAACUAAACGAUCAUCGUGCUAAGCUAAAGGAUGGGUAAAGUCAAUCACAUCAUUCUCUAAUGAUGUGAUCCCGUUAAUCAAAUGAAAACUCAUGUCUAUGGUUAGGAAACAUAACCAUCAUUGAUUCAAUGAGCUAGUUAAGUAGAGGCAAACUAGUGACACUCUGUUUGUCUAUGUGUUCACACAUGUACUAAGUUUCCGGUUAAUACAAUUCUAGCAUGAAUAAUAAACAUUUAUCAUGAUAUAAGGAAAUAUAAAUAAAAACUUUAUUAUUGCCUCUAGGGCAUAUUUCCUUCAGUCUCCCACUUGCACUAGAGUCAAUAAUCUAGAUUACAUUGUAAUGAUUCUAACACCCAUGGAGUCUUGGUGCUGAUCAUGUUUUGCUCGUGAGAGAGGCUUAGUCAAUGCGUCUGCAACAUUCAGAUCCAUAUGUAUCUUGCAAAUCUCUAUGUCUCCCUCCUUGACAUGAUCGCGGAUGGAAUUGAAGCAUCUCUUGAUGUGCUUGGUUCUCUUGUGAAAUCUGGAUUCCUUUGCCAAGGCAAUUGCACCAGUAUUGUCACAAAAGAUUUUGAUUGGACCCAAUGCACCAGGUAUGACACCUAGAUCGGAUAUGAACUCCUUCAUCCAGACUCCUUCAUUUGCUGCUUCCGAAGCAUCUAUGUAUUCUGCUUCACACGUAGGUCCCGCCAUGAUGCUCUGCUUGGAACUGCACCAACUGACAGCUCCACCAUUUAAAAAAACACGUAUCUGGUUUGUGACUUAGAGUCAUCCGGAUCAGUGUCCAAGCUUGCAUCAACGUAACUGUUUACACGAGCUCUUUAUCACCUCCAUAUACGAGAUACAUAUCCUUAGUCCUUUUCAGGUAUUUCAGGAUGUUUUUGACCAAUGUCUAGUGAUCCACUCCUGGAUUACUUUGGUACCUCCCUGCUAAACUUAUAGCAAGGCACACAUCAGGUCUGGUACACAGUAUUGCAUACAUGAUAGAGCCUAUGGCUGAAGCAUAGGGAACACCUUUCAUUUUCUCUCUAUCUUCUGCAUUGGUUGAGCAUUGAGUCUGACUCAACUUCACACCUUGUAAUACAGGCAAGAACCCUUUCUUUGCCUGAUCCAUUUUGAACUUCUUCAGAACUUUAUCAAGGUACAUGCUUUAUGAAAGUCCAAUCAAGCGUCUUGAUCUAUCUCUAUAGAUCUUGAUGUCCGAUAUAUAAGCAGCUUCACCAAGGUCUUUCAUUGAAAAAUUUCUUAUUCAAGUAUCCUUUUAUGCUAUUGAGAAAUUCAGUAUCAUUUCCGAUCAACAAUAUGCCAUCUACAUAUAAUAUCAAAAAUUCUACGUAGCUCCCACUCACUUUCUUGUAAAUACAGGCUUCUCCAAAAGUCUGUAUAAAACCAUAUGCUUUGAUCACACUAUCAAAGUGUAUAUUCCAAAUCCGAGAGGCUUGCACCAGUCCAUAAAUGGAUUGCUGGAGCUUGCACACUUUGUUAGCACCUUUUGGAUCGACAAAACCUUCUGGUUGCGUCAUAUACAACUCUUAUUUAAGGUAUCCAUUAAGGAAUGCAGUUUUGACAUCCAUUUGCCAAAUUUCAUAAUCAUAAAAUGCGGCAAUUGCUAACAUGAUUCGGACGGAUUUAAGCAUCGCUAUGGGUGAGAAGGUCUCAUCGUAGUCAACACCUUGAACUUGUCGAAAACCUUCUGUAACAAGUCGAGCUUUGUAGAUAGUAACAUUACCGUCAGCGUCAGUCUUCUUCUCGAAGAUCCAUUUAUUCUCUAUGGCUUGCCGAUCAUCGGGCAAGUCAACCAAAGUCCACACUUUGUUCUCAUACAUGGAUCCCAUCUCAGAUUUCAUGGCCUUAAGCCAUUUUGCGGAAUCUGGGCUCAUCAUCGCUUCCUCGUAGUUUGUAGGUUCAUCAUGGUCAAGUAACAUGACUUCUAGAACAGGAUUACCGUACCGCUCUGGUGCGGAUCUUACUCUGCUUGACCUACGAGGUUCGGUAGUAACUUGAUCAGAAGUUUUAUGAUCAUCAUCAUUAGCUUCCUCACUUACUGGUGUAGGAAUCACUGGAACUGAUUUCACUGAUGAACUACUUUCCAAUAAGGGAGAAGGUACAAUUACCUCAUCAAGUUCUACUUUCCUCCACUCACUUCUUUCGAGAGAAACUCCUUCUCUAGAAAGGAUACACUCUUAGCAACGAAUAUCUUUCCUUCGGAUCUGUGAUAGAAGGUGUACCCAACAGUCUCCUUUGGGUAUCCUAUGAAGACACAUUUCUCUGAUUUGGGUUCAAGCUUAUCAGGUUGAAGUUUCUUCACAUAAGCAUCGCAGCCCCAAACUUCAAGAAACGACAACUUGGGUUUCUUGCCAAACCACAGUCCAUAAGGUGUCGUCUCAACUGAUUUAGAUGGUGCCCUAUUUAACGUGAAUGCAGCUGUCUCUAAAGCAUAACCCCAAAAUAAUAGCGGUAAAUCAGUGAGAGACAUCAUAGAUCGCACCAUAUCUAGUAAAGUACGAUUACGACGUUCGGAUACACCAUUACGCUGUGGUGUUCAAGGUGGCGUGAGUUGCGAAAUUUUAAAUGAAGUCCAAACUCAUAAUUCAAAUAUUCACCUCCAUGAUCAGAUCAUAGAAACUUGAUUUUCUUGUUAUGAUGAUUUUCCACUUCACUCUAAAAUUCUUUGAACUUUUCAAAUGUUUCAGAGUUAUGUUUCAUUAAGUAGAUAUACCCAUAUCUGCUCAGAUCAUAUGUGAAGGUGAGAAAAUCACGAUAUCCGUCGCGAGCUUCAAUGUUCAUUGGACCACAUACAUCAGUAUGUAUGAUUUCCAAAAACUCUGUUGCUCGCUCCAUUGUUCCGGAGAACAGAGUUUUAGUCAUCUUGCACAUGAGGCAUAGUUCGCAAGUACCAAGUGAUUCAUAAUCAAGUGAUUCUAGAAGUCCAUCAGAAUGGAGUUUCUUCAUGCGCUUUACACCAAUAUGACCUAAACGGCAGUGCCACAAAUAAGUUGCACUAUCAUUAUCAACUCUGCAUCUUUUGGCUUCAAUACUAUGAACAUGUGUACCACUACUAUCAAGAUUUAAUAAAAUAGACCACUCAUCAAGGGUGCAUGACCAUAAAAGAUAUUACUCAUAUAAAUAGAACAACCAUUAUUCUCUGAUUUAAAUGAAUAGCCGUCUCGCAUCAAAGAAGAUUCAGAUAUAAUGUUCAUGCUCAACGGUGGCACCAAAUAACAAUUAUUAGGUCUAAAACUAAUCCCAAAGGUAGAUGUAGAGGUAGCGUGUCGAUGGCGAUCACAUCGACUUUGGAACCAUUUCCCAUGCGCAUCAUCACCUUGUCCUUAGCCAAUCUUCACUUAAUCUGUAGCCCAUGUUUUGAGUUGCAAAUGUUAGCAACUGAACCAGUAUUAAAUACCCAGGCACUACUGCGAGCAUUAGUAAGGUACACAUCAAUAACAUGUAUAUCAAAUAUUCCUUUCACUUUGCCAUCCUUCUUCUCCGCCAAAUACUUGGGGCAGUUCCGCUUCCAGUGACCAGUUCCUUUGCGCUACAAGCACUCAGUCUCAGGCUUAGGUCCAGACUUGGGUUUCUUCACUUGAGCAGCAACUGGCUUACUAUUCUUCUUGAAGUUCCCCUUCUUCCCUUUACCCUUUUUCUUGAAACUGGUGGUCUUGCUAACCAUCAACACUUGAUGCUCUUUCUCGAUUUCUACCUCCGCAGCCUUUAGCAUUGAGAAGACCUCAGGAAUCGUCUUAUCCAUCCCUUGCAUAUUAUAGUUCAUCACGAAGCUCUUGUAGCUUGGUGGCAGUGAUUGAAGAACUCCGUCAAUGACACUAUCAUCAGGAAGAUUAACUCCCAGUUGAGUCAAGUGGUUGUGGUACCCAGACAUUCUAAGUAUAUGUUCACUGACAGAACUAUUGUCCUCCAUCUUGCAGCUAUAUAACUUAUUGGAGACUUCAUAUCUCUCAAUCCGGGCAUUUGCUUCAAAUAUUAACUUCAACUCCUGGAACAUCUCAUAUGCUCCAUCACAUUCAAAACGUCGUUGAAGUCCCGGUUCUAAGCCAUAAAGCAUGGCACACUGAACUAUCGAGUAGUCAUCAGCUUUGCUCUGCCAGGUGUUCACAACAUCUGGCGUUGCUCCUGCAGCGGGUUUGUCACCUAGCGGUGCUUCCAGGAUGUAAUUCUUCUGUGCAGCAAUGAGGAUAAUCCUCAAGUUACGGACCCAGUCCGUGUAGUUUCUACCAUCAUCGUUCAACUUAGCUUUCUCAAGGAACAUAUUAAAAUUCAACGAAACAAUAGCACGGGCCAUCUUUCUACAACAACAUAGACAUGCAAUAUACUAUCAGGUACUAAGUUCAUGAUAAAUUAAAGUUCAAUUAAUCAAAUUACUUAAGAACUCCCACUUAGAUAAACAUCUCUCUAAUCAUCUAAGUGAUCACGUGAUCCAUAUAAACUAAACCAUGUAUGAUCAUCACGUGAGAUGGAGUAGUUUUCAAUGGUGAACAUCACUAUGUUCAUAAUAUCUACUAUAUGAUUCACGCUCGACCUUUCGGUCUCAGUGUUCCGAGGCCAUAUCUUCAUAUUCUAGGCUCUUCAAGUUUAACCCGAGUAUUCCGUGUGUGCAAAACUGGCUUGCACCCGUUGUAUGUGAACGUAGAACUUAUCACACCUGAUCAUCACGUGGUGUCUCGGCACGACGAACUGUAGCAAUGAUGCAUACUCAGGGAGAACACUUAUACCUUGAAAUUUAGUGAGAGAUCAUCUUAUAAUGCUACCUCCGAACUAAGCAAAAUAAGAUGCAAAAAGGAUAAACAUCACAUGCAACCAAUAUAAGUGAUAUGAUAUGGCCAUCAUCAUCUUGUGCCUUUGAUCUCCAUCUCCAAAGCACCGUCAUGAUCACCAUCGUCACCGGCUUGACACCUUGAUCUCCAUCGAAGCAUUGUUGUCAUCUCGCCAACUAUUGCUUCUACGACUAUCGCUACCGCUUAGUGAUAAAGUAAAGAAAUUACAUGGCGAUUGCAUUUCAUACAAUAAAGCGACAACCAUAUGGCUCCCGCUAGUUGCUGAUAACUGUGUUACAAAACAUGAUCAUCUCAUACAAUAAAAUUUAGCAUCAUGUCUUGACCAUAUCACAUCACAACAUGCCCUGCAAAAACAAGUUAGACGUCCUCUACUUUGUUGUUGCAAGUUUUACGUGGCUGCUACAGGCAGAGCAAGAACCAUUCUUACCUACGCAUCAAAAACCACAACGUGGUAUAGUGAUUGCUUUUUGAUCUUCAGAAAGAACACUGUUCAUUGUAUCCGAUUCAACUAAAGUUGGAGAAACUGACACCCACCAGCCACCUGUGUGUGAAGCACGUCGGUAGAACCAGUCUCGUGUAAGCGUACGCGUAAUGUCGGUCUAGGUUGCUUCAUCCAACAAUACCACUGAAUCAAGAAUCAACUAGUGACGGCAAGCAAUAUGUAUAUACCAACGCCCACAACUCCUUUGUGUUCUACUCAUGCAUAUAACAUCUGCGCAUAAACCUGGCUCGGAUGCCACUGUUGGGGAACGUAGUAAUUUCAAAAAAAAUCCUACGCACACGCAAGACCAUGGAGAUGCAUAACAACGAGAGGGAAGAGUGUUGUCUACGUACCCUCGUAGACUAUAAGUGCAAGAGUUAUGACAACGCGAUUGGUGUAGUCAUACAUCUUCACGACCGACCGAUCCCAACACCGAAGGUACGGCACCUCCCCGAUCUGCACACGUUCGGCUCGGUGACGUCCCGCGAACUCACGAUCCAGUAGAGCUUCGAGGGAAUUCGUCAGCACGAUGGCGUGAUGACGGUGAUGAUGUUGCUACCAGAACAGGGCUUCGCCUAAGCACCGCUACGAUAUGACCGAGGUGGAUUAUGGUGGAGGGGGCACCGCACACGGCUUGGAACAAUCAACUUGUGUGUUUUAAGGUGCCCCUGCCCCCAUAUAUAAAGGAGCAAGGGGGGAGGCCGGCCAGGCAUAGUGGCACCCAAGGAGCGGAGGAAUCCUCCUCCUAGUAGGAGUAGGAUUCAUCCUUUCCUAGUCCUACUAGCAAGGAGGAAGGGGGAAGGAAAGAGAGGGAGAGGGAGAGGGAAAGGGGAAAAGGGGGCCACGCCCCCUCCCCUAGUGCUAUUCGGACUCCCCUUGUGGCGGCGCGCCACCUCCUGGGCUGCUGCCCUCUCUCUCCCCUAAGGCCCACUAAGGCCCAAUACUUCCCUGGGGGUUCCGGUAACCCCUCCGGCACUCUGGUUUUCUCCGAAAUCACCCACAACACUUUCGGUGUCCGAAUAUAGCCGUCCAAUAUAUCAAUCCUUAUGUCUCAACCAUUUCGAGACUCCUCGUCAUGUCCAUGAUCAUAUCCGGGACUCUGAACUACCUUCGGUACAUCAAAACACAUAAACUCAUAAUGUCGAUCGUCACUGAACGUUAAGCGUGCGGACCCUACGGGUUCGAGAACUAUGAAGACAUGACCGAGACACAUCUCCGGUCGAUAACCAAUAGGGGAACCUGGAUGCUCAUAUUGGUUCCUACAUAUUCUACGAAGAUCUUUAUUGCUCAAACCGGAUAAUGACAUACGUUGUUCCCUUUGUCAUUGGUAUGUUACUUGCCCGAGAUUCGAUCGUUGGUAUCUCAAUACCUAGUUCAAUCUUGUUACCGGAAGUCCCUUUACUCGUUCUGUAAUGCUACAUCCCGUAACUAACUCAUUAGCUACAUUGCUUGCAAGGCUUAUUGUGAUGUACAUUACCGAGAGGGCCCAGAGAUACCUCUCCGACAAUUGGAGUGACAAAUCCUAAUCUUGAUCCAUGUCAACUCAACAAACACCAUCGGAGACACCUGUAGAGCACCUUUAUAAUCACCUAGUUAUGUUGUGAUGUUUGGUAGCACACAAAGUGUUCCUCCGGUAUUCGGGAGUUGCAUGAUCUCAUAAUCAUAGGAACAUGUAUAGUUAUGGAGAAAGCAAUAGCAACAAACUAAACGAUCAUCAUGCUAAGCUAACGGAUGGGUCAAGUCAAUCACAUCAUUCUCUAAUGAUGUGAUCCCAUUAAUCAAAUGACAACUCAUGUCUAUGGUUAGGAAACAUAACCAUCAUUGAUUCAACGAGCUAGUUAAGUAGAGGCAAACUAGUGACACUCUGUUUGUCUAUGUAUUCACACAUGUACUAAGUUUCCGGUUAAUACAAUUCUAGCAUGAAUAAUAAACAUUUAUCAUGAUAUAAGGAAAUAUAAAUAACAACUUUAUUAUUGCCUCUAGGGCAUAUUUCCUUGACAUAUCGGGGCCGCAAUCAAUAGUAUCUAUCUAUUAUCUGGUUAAUCUCUAGUGUCUACUACGAGUUUCAUGUUGGGUGGGAAACAAACAGUAAAGAAGCCAUUAUCUGUAUUUUUACUGAAUCCAUUAGCUGCCCGCUAUCAAUGGUUUUGGGUAUAUCCACAGGUUUCUACCAUCACUCUAGAUGUUUGCAUGCACUCCUUUCAUAAUCUCACUAUGUUUUAUUCCUAUGCAUGUUAGUUAUUGUACACAAUGGAACUAAACAUGUAGAGCAAAAGAGAUGAGCCUUGCGUGGCAAUAAAAUUUCAUGUAGACAUCGCUCUGUGGUGGGCGCAAAGGCAGCCCCCCUCCACCCAUUUCGGAUUGUAAUCAAGAGGAAGAUAACUGUUCUAAGGGGGAUUCAGAAGGAGAAGACCACUCCUAUUUACCCCCUGAGGUCUUCGCUCUAACUUGGCAUGUUGAUGUUGGUAAUAUCAUGCAUAUGGUGCCUUGCAUUGCUUACUUUAUACAUCAAAUAUGUCAUCUGCUUAGUUUAGACAUGCUUUGUGUGAAUGCCAUCUGUUUAGUUUCUUUAUCGUAUAUGUGAAUUAUGCAACGCCAUCUUGUUUAGCCAGGCAUCAUAUAUGUGAAUUUUGCGGUGCCAUCCUGCUUAGCCAGUCAUCUUAUAUGUGAAUUAUAUCAGGCCAUCCUUUUUUUUCAUUACAUAUUACAUUUGUCAACAAUGUCAGUACAUUCAACUACUCUUCGUGUGCAUUAGCCAUUUGACACGGUGAUGGAAAAUUCUAGAGUGAAAACAAGGUCUUCGGAGCAUACUAUGCUAUCUGACGAAGCGCAUAUCUCGCUGGUUACGGAUAGCUCCUCAAAGGAGGAUUCAGAGAUAGAUGACCAGUCCUAUCCCCCCCCCUGAGGUGUAUGAUCUAACUUGGCAGGAUUAUGUUGCUCAUAUCGUGCGUAUGGGGUCUUGCAUUGAUAUGUCAUUUGAUUAGUUUAGACAUGCUUUGUGUGAAUGCCACCUGUUUAGUGUCUAAUUACCAUAUAUGUGAAUUAUGCAUUGCCAUAUUGUUGCAAGACAUUAUAUAUGUGAAUUAUGAAAUGCUAUCUUGUUGCAAGGCAUUAUAUAUGUGAAUUAUGCAAUGCCAUGCUGUUUAGCCAAUCAUCAUAUAUGUGAAUUAUAUCAUGUUAUCCUUUUUUGUAUUACGUGUUCCAUUUGUCGACAACAUUUGUAUAUUCAACUACUCUUCUUGUGCAUCAGCAAUUUGAAGCGGUGAUGGAAGUAUCUGGAGUGAAAACAAGGUAUUCAAAGCAGACAAUGCUACCUGCUGAAGCAGACAUCUUGCUAGUUACAGAUAGCUCCUUAGAGGAGGAUUCAGAGACUGAUGACCAGUCCUAUUUCCCCCCUGAGGUCUAUGCUCAAACUUGGCAGGGUUGUAUUACUCAUGUCAUGCAUGUUGUCUUGCAUUUCUUAGUUUUUACAUCAUAUAUGCGAUUGCCAUCUGCUUACUUGCUUACUAUAUAAAUCAUAUAUUUGAAUUAUAUCAUGCCAUCAUGUUUACAUAGACAGCAUCUAUCUGAAUUAUGGCAUGCCAACCCAUUUAAUAAAGCCAUCAUAUAGUUAUAUCAUCUCAUCCUAUUUAGUGUUUAAAGUCAUCAUAUUUUGAAUUAUGUCAUUCUAUCCUUGAAUUAUAUCAUUCUAUCGUGUUUCCAUAGGCGGCAUGUAUGUUAAUUAUUGCAUGCCAACCUAUUUAAUAAACACAUUAUAUAGUUAUAUCAUGUCAUAUUCUUUACAUAGUCAUCAUAUUUUGAACUAUGUCUUUCCAUCUUUUUUAGUUAGCCAUCAUAUAUGUAAAAUUGUGUCAUGCUAUCCUAUUUAGUUAGCCAGCAUAUAUGUGAAACUGUGUCAUGCUAUCCUAUUUGGUUAGACAACAUAAAUGUGAAUUAUUUCAUGCCCUCUUUUAUUCCCUACUAUCCAUUGCACAUGUCUAUCAUACAAUGUCUGUACAUUCAAUUACUUUUCUUGUUUAUUAGCCAUUUGAAUUGGAGAGGGUGAUGGCAGUAUCUAAGGGAGUAACAACACGGUCUUCAGAAAAGAUGUUGCUACCAGUCGAUGCAGAUAGAACCACGGUUGUAUUUGCCCAAGAACCAGCCCCACCACACAUAACCCAGACUCUCGCAGAUUGUACCCCUACCUAGUUGGACAGAGAACCUGCUACACCCCUUCUAACCCCAACCCCAGCAGAUAGUAACCCAGUUCUAGUUGACACAGCACUAUCUCCACCACAGAGCACCCUAACACAAGCUGUUAGUAAGGGAUCUGCAGUGCCCAAAGCACGAGGACCACCACUCUGAAUCCCAACUCAACGCUUAAAGCAGAAGAAGAAUUGUUCUCAGGUCAGGUUCUGUAGCUAUGGUUCAUACUCCUUUGCUCUUCCAUCACUGUGUUUACUCAUACCAACUAUUUUCAAAUUUGAAGGAUGGAAUUGAAGCUCCAAUGGCGCAACAGGUAUGUUUCAAACUUGUUUCUUUAACUGGUUUGCUAUUGUAAUUUGCUCUAGUUGGUUUCAGUUUCAAUUGAAUAAACAGUUAUGUUCUCAUGUCAUGCACAUUACAAGUGUUGUUAUUGCUCUAUAGUUUCCCACACUUAUAUUCUGUCUAUUCUGCUUUGUCUUGAACAAAUAUUAUUUGAACUGUGUCUCUAUCUUGAUUUGGCAACAAAACUAGAAUGAUAUAGACCAUAAUGUGACCAUGGUACAUAGAUAUAUGUUUGUUUCAUGUUGUUAUCUUGUCCACUUUACUACUGAACUGAUUUACCAAAAUGAGUUUCAUAUACAACAUGGUAAACCUGUGAUGUGUCUGCUUAUUUCUCUUUUAUAAUGUGGAUGAAAUAUCGGAGAAGAGUAACCCGUUAUGCAAUGGUAAAGGAAGUAAUGCAGAUAAGGUUCAAGAUAGUGAGACAUCCCUGCUGGUCUCCAAGAAAGUUGAUAAAACCUAUAUUGAAGACACUGAGACAACCCCAAAGUCAUGUCUUGAUGUAGUGUUGGAGUUACUGGCCACUACUGCUGGCACCAGCUGUUCGAACUUGCUGCCUAAAUCAGUUCGGCUUCUUGAGUCUCAACUUAAAGUUGAAAGACAUCGAUCAGAUGUUCUGCGACAGGAAGCCGAAGGACUAAGGAAGUCCAUGCAGAAUUCAGAUGCAUACUUUCUGGUGCAAUAGCAAGUGCUGGAGGAUUUAAGCGCCACACAAGAGAAAGUUAAUAAGCUUGCUAAGCAUCUUGCCAGCAUUAUGGGUACCCAGGAUAUUGUUUCUUGAGCUCUUCUGAAGUGGUUUCAGUUCUGGACUUGUUUUGCUGCGGCAUUUAUUUGCACCGGUCGCCAACUUUGACAACGAGUGUAUGUGAUAUGCUACUUUGUUGCCUAUAUUUGCACUACUAUCGAACUUUGAUGCCCAGUGGAUGUAAUAUGUGUCAUAGCCAUGAUAGCAUAGCGUAAGUUGCUUGCUUAUUUAUUUCCUUGUUGUCUUGUUUAUUUGUUUGCUUGUAGUCAGUGCAGUACUUUUUCCGCGGUUUGCUAGUGGCCGCAAUAACUUAUUUUUAAAACUAGGCCACAUUAACCAUGGGCUACAUAUUUACUGUAGUGACCCUGGGCCUCCUAUGGGCCGUAGAAACAAUGGGCCUUCUAAGGGCCGUAGAAACAAUGGGCCUUCUACGGGCCGUAGCAUCAAGGGGCCUUCUACGGGCCGUAUGAUAGAUUGGCCAAACAAGGGCCAAUAACAGACCGCAUUAUGGGCCGUACACGGACUAGAGUUGGAAUCGUCCGUUCAUGGGCCGACCAUAAUGGGUCGUCGUUAAUCGAUCGUAUUUGAUGAUGCUAUGAAAACAUCCCAAUGGAUUAACGGGCUGCAAACGGGCAAACUGUAACCACAGGCUGAAUUUGGCCCACAAGCAGAAAAGGAUAGUAACGGGUCGUAAGUAACCGAAUGUUGGAAAUGAGCCCAGGAAUAAAUGGGCCCUGAAAAGGACGAAAGAUAACACGGGUUGGAAAUGGCCCAAUGGAAUAAUGGGCCGUUAAUGGGUAUAAAGCGGUACACUAUUCAUUACGGGCCAGUUUCACCACGGGCCGUUAAUGGCCAAGAGUUAAAAAGGGCAUCAUAUGGGCCGAAAGACAUCAUGGGCCUUACAUGGGCCAGAAGUUACAACGGGUUGGAAUCAUAUUGGACGGCCUAGAUUAAGCUACUAGGCUUAAUUCCGAUAGGCCGUAACGGGCCGUGAGUUAGCGGCUCGUAAAUGGGCUAUAUACGAACACGCCGUUAACAGGCUUUCCGUGGGCUGGCUCGCUACCUUUUGACCAAGUCAAACAGGCCGGCCUUUUCACCGGAAUGGUCCUCUGUUUGGCCAUGCCAUGUGUCGACGUAUCAUAGGCGACUCCUGUCCAAUGAGUGGAUGACAUCUGUCCCAACGGUGAGCCAACACGUGUUUCCUUCGGCCAAUGAGAAUUUUACACGUGGAAAAUCCCCAUUAGUACAGGCUAUUAACGGGUUAUCGGAUCCAAAAAUGGUCCUGAUAGCUUAACAAUGACCCGUUAUGGUGGAUGCCACAUGUCGGUUACCCUUGAUGAAAACACUUCCAUGACGCGCCAUUUAUCGUCAUGGAAGUGGACACUUCUGUGAUGAUAAUUUUGGUAAUGCAAUGGAACACUUUAAUAACCCACAAGUAUAGGGGAUCAAUUGUAGCCUAUUUUGAUAAGUAAGAGUGUAGAACCCAACGAGGAGCUAAAGGUAGAACAAAUAUUCCCUCAAGUUCUAUCGACCACCGAUACAUCUCUACGCACGCUUAACGUUCGCUUUACCUAGAACAAGUAUGAAACUAGAAGUACUUUGUAGGUGUUGUUGGAUAGGUUUACAAGAUAAUAAAGAGCAUGUAAAUAAAUUCUAGGGGUUGUUUAGAUAAAGAAACAACUAAGUUAGUUUCAGUAGAGAGCUUUUUGUCACGAGAAAGUUAUUUUUCCCUAGACAAUCGAUAACUAGACCGGUAAUCAUUAUUGCAAUUUUAUUUGAGGGAGAGGCAUAAGCUAACAUACUUUCUAUUCAUGGAUCAUAUCCACUUAUGAUUGGAACUCUAGCAAGCAUCCGCAACUACUAAAGAUCAUUAAGGUAAAACCCAACCAUAGCAUUAUAAGGCAUCAAGUCCUCUUUACUCCCAUACACAAACAACCUACUUACUCGGGUCUAUGCUUCUGUCACUCACGCCACCCACCAUAAGCAAAUCAUGAACAUAUUUCAAACCCUACAGCGGGGAUCCCUCACGCUUGCGCGACACGGAGAGCACCAUAGGACAACACCAAUAAUAAAACAUGCAGCUCAAACCAAUCACGAUCAUCAAUUAACCCAUAGGACAAAACGGAUCUACUCAAACAUCAUUGGGAAAUAAUAUAUAGCGUUGAGCACCAUGUUUAAGUAGAGAUUGCAAUGGGUAAAAGAGGGGUUACACCGCUACAUAGAGGGGGGAAGAGUUGGUGAUGAUGGCAGUGAAGUUGUUGGUGUAGAUCGUUGUCGCGAUGAUGGCCCCGGCGGCGUUCCCGCGCCACCGGGAGAGAGGGGGAGAGCCCCACUUCUUCUUCUUCCUUUACCUUCCCCCUAGAUGGGUUANNNNNNNNNNNNNNNNNNNNNNNNNNNNNNNNNNNNNNNNNNNNNNNNNNNNNNNNNNNNNNNNNNNNNNNNNNNNNNNNNNNNNNNNNNNNNNNNNNNNNNNNNNNNNNNNNNNNNNNNNNNNNNNNNNNNNNNNNNNNNNNNNNNNNNNNNNNNNNNNNNNNNNNNNNNNNNNNNNNNNNNNNNNNNNNNNNNNNNNNNNNNNNNNNNNNNNNNNNNNNNNNNNNNNNNNNNNNNNNNNAUCUCUCUAUGUUUUCUUCUGUGUCUCCAUUCCCCGAUUCUGCCCUUUCACCGUUUCUUAAAUUCCCGGAGAUCCGUAACUCCGAUUGGGCUGAAAUUUUGACAUGAUUUUUACCCGGAUAUUGGCUUUCUUGUGGUGAAAGAAGGGUGGCAACCGCCUUAUGGAGUGGCCACGAGGGCCCAGGGUGCGCCCCUCACCCUCAUGGGCCCCUCGGGCAUCGUCUCGCAUUGACUCCACUUCCCAAAAUUCACAUAUAUUCCAAAAAAAUCUCUGUAAGUUUUUAUCCCUUUUGGACUCCGUUUGAUAUGGAUUUUCUGUGGGACAAAAAACAUGCAACAAACAGGAACUGGCACUGGGCACUGGAUCAAUAUGUUAGUCCCAAAAAUAGUAUAAAAAUUUGCCAAAAGUAUGUAAAAGUUGUAGAAUAUUGGCAUGGAACAAUCAAAAAUUAUAGAUACGAUGGAGACGUAUUGGCAUCCCCAGGCUUAAUUCCUGCUCGUCCUCGAGUAGGUAAAUGAUAAAAAGGAUAAUUUUUUAUGUGGAAUGCUACCUACCAUAAUCUUGAUCAUGUAAUCUAAUCAUGGCAUGAAUAUUAAGACACGAGUGAUUCAAAGCAAUAGUCUAUCAUUUGACAUUAAGAUAAUAAUACUUCAAGCAUACUAAUAAAGCAAUCAUGUCUUUUCAAACUAACAUGGCCAAAGAAAGUUAUCCCUACAAAAUCAUAUGGUCUGGCUAUGCUCCAUCUUCAUCACACAAAAUAUUCAAAUCAUUGAUACGUCUCCAACAUAUCUAUAAUUUUUGAUUGAUCCAUGCUAUUAUAUUAUCUAUUUUGGAUGUUAAUGGGCUUAUUUUACACCUUUAUAUUAUUUUUAGGACUAACCUAUUAACAGGAGGCCCAGCCCAAAUUGUUGUUUUUGCCUAUUUUAGUGUUUCGUAGAAAAGGAAUAUCAAACGGAGUCCAAACGGAAUGAAACCUUUGUAAACGUUAUUUUUGGAACAAACUUUAUCCAGGAGACUUGGAGUGGACGUCAAGAAUCAAUCGAGGAGGCCACGAGGCAGGGGGCGCGCCCACCACCCCCCCCCCCCCCCCGGGCACGCCCUCCACCCUCGUGGGCCCCUUGUUGCUCCACCGACCUACUUGUUCCUCCCAUAUAUAUACAUAUACCCCGCAAACAUCCAGGAGCACCACGAAACCCUAUUUCCACCGCUGCAACCUUCUGUACCCAAGAGAUCCCAUCUUGGGGCCUUUUCCGGAGCUCCGCCGGAGGGGGCAACAAUCACGGAGGGCCUCUACAUCAACUCCAUGGCCCUUCCGAUGAUGUGUCUGAGUAGUUUACUUCAGACCUUUGGGUCCAUAGCUAGUAGCUAGAUGGCUUCUUUUCUCUCUUUGGGUCUCAAUACAAAGUUCUCCUCGAUUCUCUUGGAGAUCUAUUUGAUGUAAUCUUCUUUUGCGGUGUGUUUGUCGAGAUCCCAUGAAUUGUGGGUUUAUGAUCAAGUUUAUCUAUGAACAAUAUUUUAUGUAUGUUUUUUAUGUAUGAUCGGUUUAUCUUUGCAAGUCUCUUCAAAUUAUCAGUUUGGUUUGGCCUACUAGAUUGAUCUUUCUUGCAAUGGGAGAAGUGCUUAGCUUUGGGUUCAAUCUUGCGGUGCUCGAUCCCAGUGACAGAAAGGGAAACGACACGUAUUGUAUUGUUGCCAUCGAGGAUAAAAAGAUAGGGUUUACAUCAUAUUGCAUGAGUUUAUCCCUCUACAUUGUGUCAUCUUGCUUAAGGCGUUACUCUGUUCUUAUGAACUUAAUACUCUAGAUGCAUGCUGGAUAGCGGUCGAUGUGUGGAGUAAUAGUAGUAGAUGCAGAAUCGUUUCGGUCAACUUGUCACGGACGUGAUGCCUAUAUAUAUGAUCAUACCUAGAUAUUCUCAUAAUUAUUCACUUUUCUAUCAAUUGCUCGACAGUAAUUUGUUCACCCACUGUAAUACUUAUGCUCUUGAGAGAAGCCACUAGUGAAACCUAUGGCCCCCAGGUCUAUUCUCCAUCAUAUAAGUUUCCAAUCUAUUUUAUUUUGCAAUCUUUACUUUCAAUCUAUAUCAUAAAAAUACCAAAAAUACUUAUCUUAUUAUUAUCAUCUCUAUCAGAUCUCACUCUUGCAAGUGGCUGUGAAGGGAUUGACAACCCCUUUAUCGCGUUGAUUGUGAGGUUCUUAUUUGUUUGUGUAGGUACGAGGUCACUCGCGCGUGGUCUCCUACUGGAUUGAUACCUUGGUUCUCAAAAACUGAGGGAAAUACUUACGCUGCUUUACUGCACCACCCUUUCCUCUUCAAGGGAAAACCAAUGCAGUGCUCAAGAGGUAGCAAGAAGGAUUUCUGGCGUCGUUGCUGGGGAGAUCUAUGCCAAGUCAAGACAUACCAAGUACCCAUCACAACUCUUAUCCUUCACAUUACAUUAUUUGCCAUUUGCCUCUCGUUUUCCUCUCCCCCACUUCACCCUUGCCGUUUUAUUCGUCUCUUUCCCAUUUGUUUUCUUGUACCAUGGCCGAUUCAAAAAGGGCUAGGGGUUCUCUCCCGGGUUUUACCUUGGAUAGUCCUUUUGUCCUCUCUAAGCUCAUAAAUAAUGACGCUAUGGAGAGACCUACCGGAGUUAUCAAUGAGAGUUUGAAUAAUUUUGAUGAAGAUGAUCCUGGAAUUUUUUGUUAUUUACUUGAUGAAUCUUUGAAAGACGCUUGGGAUAGGCUAUUAAGAAUUCGAGCUAGCUAUGUGCCCCAAUAUCAAAUUGAGGUUUACCUGAAAAGCUUUUAUAUUGGUUUACCCUCUUCAUUCAAGCAAGUUCUAGAUUCUAUCUUUGAAGAAGGUUUUCUUGAGGGGGAUACCAUUGAUACUUAUGAAAGUAUGAAAACUAUAUUUGGGCACCCCAUGAGUGAUAAGGUUGAAUCUACCUCUCUUUUGUGCUUUUACCAAAAUGAAACUAUCAAAGAAACGAGGGCCAGCUUAGAUGCCAAUUUCCAUAACGUGCUUAAUCUUUCUUCCACUAUCAAUGCCCACGUGCUAACUCAAAAUAGAGAGAUAAAUGCUAUAGAAAAGAAAUUUUCUCUUUUCUUUCCUAAUACCAAAGAUGACAAUACCUAGAUCUAUCCUUUCUUUUAUGCCUAGCUAGGGGCGUUAAACGGUAGCGCUUGUUGGGAGGCAACCCAAUUUUAUUUUUAUUCCUUGCUUUUUGCUCCACUUUAGUAACAAAUAAUUUAUCUAGCCUCUGUUUAGGUUGUGUUUUUUGUGUUUAAUUAGUGUUUGUGCCAAGUAGAACCAUUGGGAAGACUUGGGGAAAGUCUUUUUGAUCUUGCUGUAAAAAAAACAGAAACUUUAGCGCUCACGAGAAUUGCUGCCAUUUUUUAUUGGAGAGUGAUAUUUAGUUAAUUAUUUUUGCAGAUGAUUAAUAGAUAAAUUCCUCACGUCCAGCAAUUUAUUUUAGAAUUUUUGGGGUUCCAGAAGUUUGCGUUAGUUACAAAUUACUUCAGACUGUUCUGUUUUUGACAGAUUCUGUUUUUCGUGUGUUUUUUGCUUAUUUUGAUGAAUCUAUGGCUAGUAAAAGAGUUUAUAAACCAUAGAGAAGUUGGAAUACAGUAGGUUUAACACCGAUAUUAAUAAAGAAUGAGUUCAUUAUAGUACCUUGAAGUGGUGUUUUGUUUUCUUUUGCUAACGGAGCUCACGAGAUUUUUCUGCUAAGUUUUGUUGUGUGAAGUUAUCAAGUUAUCAGUAAAGAUUUGAUGGAUUAUGGAACAAGGAGUGGCAAGAUCCUAAGUUUGGGGAUGCCCAUGGCACCCCAAGGUAAAGUACAAGGACACCAAAAAGUCUAAGCUUGGGGAUGCCCCGGAAGGCAUCCCCUCUUUCGUCUUCGUCUAUCGGUAACUUUACUUGGAGCUAUAUUUUUAUUCGCCACAUGAUAUGUGUUUUGCUUGGAGUGUCUUGUAUGAUUUGAGUCUUUGCUUUUUAGUUUACCACAAUCAUCCUUUCUAUACACACCUUUUGAGAGAGACACACAUGAAUUGGAAUUUAUUAGAAUACUCUAUGUGCUUCACUUAUAUCUUUUGAGCUAUAUAGUUUUUGCUCUAGUACUUCACUUAUAUCUUUUGGAGCAUGGUGGUGGUUUAAUUUUAUAGAAAUAAUUGAUCUCUCAUGCUUCACUUAUAUUAUUUUGAGAGUCCUUUAGAACAACAUGGCAAUUUGCUUUUAGGCAUAAUAAAAACUUUCAUAUAAGUGCAUUGAAUACUAAGAGAAGUUUGAUACUUGAUAAUUGUUUUGAGAUAUGGAGAUGGUGAUAUUAGAAUCAUGCUAGUUGAGUAGUUGUGAAUUUGAGAAAUACUUGUGUUGAAGUUUGUGAUUCCGGUAGCAUGCACGUAUGGUGAACCGUUAUGUGAUGAAGUCGGAGCAUGAUUUAUUUAUUGAUUGCCUUCCUUAUGAGUGGCGGUUGGGGACGAGCAAUGGUCUUUUCCUACCAAUCUAUCCCCCUAGGAGCAUGCGCGUAGUACUUUGUUUCGAUAACUAAUAGAUUUUUGCAAUAAGUAUGUGAGUUCUUUAUGACUAAUGUUGAGUCCAUGGAUUAUAUGCACCCGCACCCUUCCACAUUUGCUAACCUCUCUAGUACCGCGCAACUUUCGUCGAUACCAUAAACCCACCAUAUACCUUCCUCAAAACAGCCACCAUACCUACCUAUUAUGGCAUUUCCAUAGCCAUUUUGAGAUAUAUUGCCAUACAACUUUCCACCGUUCCAUUAUUAUGACAUGCUUCAUCAUUGUCAUAUUGCUUUGCAUGAUCAUGUAGUUGACAUCGUAUUUGUGGCAAAGCCACCGUUCAUAAUUCUUUCAUACAUGUCACUCUUGAUUCAUUGCAUAUCCUGGUACACCGCUGGAGGUAUUCACAUAGAGUCAUAUUCUGUUUUAAGUAUCGAGUUGUAAUUCUUGAGUUUUAAGAAAAUAAAAGUGUGAUGAUCAUCAUUAGAGCAUUUUCCCAUGUGAGGAAAGGAUGAUGGAGACUAUGAUUCCCCCACAAGUCGGGAUGAGACUCCGGAAGAAAAUUAAAAAAAAAGAAAAAAAGAGGCCAAAAAAAAGAAGGCCCAAAUAAAAAAAGAAAAAAAAUUAAUGAGAGAAAAAGAGAGAAGGGACAAUGUUACUAUCCUUUUUCCACACUUGUGCUUCAAAGUAGCACCAUGAUAUUCAUGAUAGAGAGUCUCCUAUGUUGUCACCUUCAUAAACUAGUGGGAAUUUUACAUUAUAGAACUUGGCUUGUAUAUUCCAAUGAUGGGCUUCCUCAAAUUGCCCUAGGUCUUCGUGAGCAAGCAAGUUGGAUGCACACCCACUUAGUUUCUUUUGUUGAGCUUUCAUACUCUUAUAGCUCUAGUGCAUCCGUUGCACGGCAAUCCCAACUCACUCACAUUGAUAUCUAUUGAUGGGCAUCUCCAUAGCCUAUUGAUAUGCCUAGUUGAUGUGAGACUAUCUUCUCCUUUUUUGUCUUCUCCACAACCACCAUUCUAUUCCACCAUAGUGCUAUAUCCAUGGCUCAUGCUCAUAUAUUGCGUGAAGAUUGAAAAAGUUUGAGAACAUCAAAAGUAUGAAACAAUUGCUUGGCUUGUCAUCGGGGUUAUGCAUGAUUUAAUAUUUUGUGUGAUGAAGAUAGAGCAUAGCCAGACUAUAUGAUUUUGUAGGGAUAACUUUCUUUGGCCAUGUUAUUUUGAGAAGACAUGAUUGCUUAGUUAGUAUGCUUGAAGUGUUAUUAUUUCUAUGUCAAUAUUAAACUUUUAUCUUGAAUCUUUCGGAUCUGAACAUUCAUGCCACAAUAAAGAAAAAAAUACAUUGAGAAAUAUGUUAGGAAGAAUUUCACAUCAAAAAUUCUGUUUUUAUCAUUUACCUACUCGAGGACGAGCAGGAAUUAAGCUUGGGGAUGCUGAUACGUGUCCAACGUAUCAAUAACUUUUGAUUGCUCCAUGCUAUUAUAUUACUAUUUUGGAUGUUAAUGGGCUUAUUUUUACACUUUUAUAUUAUUUUUGGGACUAACCUAUAAACCGGAGGCCCAGCCCAAAUUGCUGUUUUUUGCCUAUUUCAGUGUUUCGUAGAAAAGGAAUAUCAAACGGAGUCCAAAUGGAAUGAAACCUUUGGGAAUGUGAUUGUCAGGACCCCGAUUCCAAGUCACAUCGAUCUAGCCGGUAACACCUCAUAUCACUUUGCGGCCUCACGCACGGUAUUCCCACGGGUGUCGCCUUACCAUGGCCCAGGACCGUUUGCGCCUUUUGGCUCACGUAUAUGAUAGUGUCGCUAGCAUCCAUAUGACAGAGAACCCGGGCCGGCAUGACUAGUCGUGAACCCAAAGUGGCACUAACUUACGGGGACAGGCAUACAUGAAUCAACAUCGAGCAUGUCGGUCAGCAGCGUGCGAAUCCGGGCUGUGGCACUGGGCUAACAAGACUCCGGUGAACCAGGCUGUAGCAGGCUAGGCAGGACUCCAGAUGUCACCGCGUGACAUUUCCCCGAAGGGACAGACACAGGAACGAAGUGAAUCACAUGCCGACCAGUCAAGUUUUCCGGAGCAGUAGUGCUGGGCUAGCAGGACUCCGGUGAACCGGGCUGUAGCGGACUACUAUGGCUCAUGGAAGCACAAGACUACAUUUCCCCAUAAGAGAGGCUACCAAGGAUAAACAACUAGGUUGUCGGAUCCCACACAUACCAAGCAUUUCAGUCAUACACACAAUAUGCUCGAUAUGUGUAAAUACAACAUGGCAUCACAACAAAACUCUACGACUCAAAGUAUUUAUUCAAAAGGCUCCAGAGAGCCAUACAUAACAUGUUCAUACAGGUAGGGGUCACAUGACCCGACACUCAAGUCAUACAAGCAUACAAGCACAUGCGGAAGCUUAACAUGUCUGGGUACAGACAUCUACAAAUGAAAAAGGCUGAGAAGCCUGACUAUCUACAAGACACUGCCGAGGGCACAAGAUCGUAGUUGAGGUAUCAAGCUAAACGUCGAAGUCCACACGGAACUAAUAGUGAGACUGACGUCUCUCUGCAAAACAUAAAAUAGGCAAACGUGAGUACAAAUGUACCCAGCAAGACUUACAUCAGAACUAACUACAUAUGCAUCGGUAUCAACAAAGGGGUAGUGGAGUUUAACUGCAGCAAGCUAGCUUCGACUCAGUGGCUAUCUUAAACUACGACUGCAAGUAACUCUUUUGAGGUGGCGCACACGAGUCCACAUAUUCACCAUAUCAAUACACCACUAUGGAUCCGCUCCCGUCUCCCUACGAGAAUGCCAUCCAUAGCCCUCACGCUUAUCUUGCGCAUUUUAGAGUAUCCACUUUCACUUGUCUAUGAACUAUGCAAGGGGUCCAAGUUUCCAUAUCCGAGGAGUUCGGCUAUUCGAAUAGAUAAUGAUAACCCUGCAGGGGUGUACUUCUUCACACACGCUCUCACCACUUAUCACCAUAUACACGUCAUGUAUCUCGGCAACCUUCAAGCGGAAGCCUGGCGAGGGUGUCGGCCAUGACCUGACUAACCACACAAGUCUCUAGUCUAGGUUUAUCGCCUAUUCAGGUUCCAUCCGCAAGGAGAUCCGGCCGAAGUUUCGCUCACAGCCCCAAAUGAUGCGUGCAGGGUUCCCGAGACACCAAAUGGUUGCCCGGUACACCGUGCCAUGGUGUAUCUACCGCAUCAUAGCCCACCCCUAGGGUCAGCACUACGCACGGCCGCCAACACAUAUCCUAUAAACACCAGAAACUAGUUGCAACUCCUGGACAGAGGACUAGGGCAGUUAAUAAGUCGAGAGGGUCAAUUAAGGAUCCCAAUGAGUGGUAGUAGCUGUUCAUGGAUCAUCAACACAGAACUCAGUUCCUGAGGACGGUUUCAAUGAGACAACCCACCAAGUAUAACAUGGCCUCUCACCGCUACCUUUACCAAAUCGUGUUCACACACUUAGCUCACACACAGUAGGGCAUGUUCAUCGCCAUUCCAAUUCUUCCCCGAUGAAUCAGGCCUGACUCAACUCUAAGCAGUAGCAGGCAUGACAAACAAGCAUGAAUGAGUAGGCACAUCAGGGCUCAAACAACUCCUACUCAUGCUAGUGGGUUUCAUCUAUUUACUGUGGCAAUGACAUGUCAUGCAGAGGAAAGGGGUUCAACUACCGCAGCAUGUAACAGUUGAAUCAUUGUUGUCCUAAUGCAGUAAAAGAGAGCAGGAGCGAGAGAGCGGGAUUGUGUCAGAAUGAACAAGGGGGUUUUGCUUGCCUGGCACAUCUGAAGAUAGUAUAGUUCUUCAUCGGUGUCAACAAUCUCAGCGUCGAAACCACGUCUAUCGAGAGGGGACAAAUACCGGCAACAGAGAAAGCAACACAAUCAAUGCAAUGCACAAUAUGAUGCAUGAUCAUGACAUGGUAAAAUGAGUGUGUUGGGCUAAUGCAACUACAACCAGAUGAGUUUGAGCUAUUUUGAAUCAAAGAUUCAAAGUUCAAACUCAUUUGUGAUCUUAAAUAGUGCUUUAUCAUGUUUUGCACUAAACAGCAAGUUAAAUUCUUUAAACAUGCAUGAAACUAGUACAGAUGGAUAGAUUGGAUUUUUUGGAUCAUUUUUCAUAUAUAAAUCUUUUCAAUCCGAGUUAUAGAUUAUUUUCUUUGAUUUUUAGAAGUUCUGAACAUUUUCUGGAAUUUCGUGAUUAUUAAUAAAUCCAGAAAAUGUAUUACUGCAUCAGCAUCAGGUCAAGCUGACGUCAGCAGGUCAACAGGGGUUGGUCCGGGUCAAACCUAACCAGUGGGGUCCACUGGUCAGUGACUUAAUUAACUAAAAGGGUUAAAUAGGAUUAACUAAUCAAAUUAACAGGCACUGGGCCCAUUGUCAGUGUCAGAAGUGGGGUAAUUAGUCUUAAACUAAAUGAGUCAGGGGCGGGGCCCACAUGUAUUGACCCUAGGGAGCUCAAACCCCGGGUCGAACGGGUCAAACUCGCCGGUGUUGAGUCGCCGGCGAGGUCAGUGGCGGCGAGGGGCUUCGGAGAACCCCUCUGGUGCACCGUUCGGCACGCGGUUGGGCUCUGCGGGACGCUGGCGAAGUGGCGCAUUGAACGGCGAUGGGCUCCGAGCCUGGGGUGGCCGGAAACACCGACGGCGAGCAGUGCAGCGGCGGCCGGAGCUCGGGCCCGCUCGGGUUAGGUGCUACGGCGUGCAAACGCGCGAACUAAAGCUUGGGGGCUGCUCUACAUGAGGCUGCUAACGCGUUGCACACCGGCGCAUGACCAAAUGGUCACCAGAGUGUCGCCGGCGUCGAGCUUGUGCGGUGGAGCGUCUCGGCUCCGGUGGAGGAGGCGGCUCGAGCUCGAAAUCGGGCAUGGAGUUAGGGGGAAACGAAGCAGGGGCUCACAUGGAGUCGGUAGGGCGGCUCAGCAAGCUCGGGGAGGUCCGGACGGUGGCGGAAUCACGGCGGCGAUCGUCGGGACCCGAGGAUGAAGAUGACAUCGAUGGUGGCACUCUGAGGGCCUUCCAGUCACGUGGAUUGGCGGGGACGGCAUAGCGGAUGACGGCGGAGCUCGUGGGCCGGUCGAGGGAGCGAGGGGGAUGCGGUGGACACGGUGGCAGCAAACGGCGGCGAUGGCUGCGCUCAGUGUACUCGGGAGAGAGAAACAGAGGAGGGGAGGAGCACAGGGAGAGUGAAAGGGGUCAGGGGGUUGCGUGGCAUCGCGGAAGACGUCCAGGGCGACGAGGGGACAGCCAGGCAGGCAGCUGCCGGCGUGGCACGUCGCGGCGCCGUGGCUAGCUUCUCCUCUACCUUCUGGCGAGAGGAGGAAGACAACUGGCAGGGGGUGGCUGGGCUGGGACGGCUUCAACAGCAUGCCGCACAGGUGGGCUGGCCUCUCUGGUGGGCUGCUGCUACAGGUAAGAAGCCCAGGUGAGUUUUUCUACUCUGUUUUAAUUUUUGUUCUGUUUUCUUUUAUUUAUUUAAACUUGCCACUGUUUAAAAUUUAGAACAAUUAAAACAGUGCCAAAUAUCCUCCAAGUAUAACUUAUGUUGCUCAUUGGACAUUUCCAAAUGCACAUAAAUUAUCACAGAGCAUUUAAAGACAUAUCCAUAUAUAUUUGAAUAUAUUUUCAAAUUCAAAUAGAAUAUUGUUUUAAAUUCAGAGACCAAAUAAUUUCUUAAAAAUGUUCCAAAAUUUUGGUUUGGUAUAUAACCCUUGCCAAAAUUCUCAAAACUAUUUUUAGGGAAUUUUGGAUUCACUAAAUGCAAUUUAAAGGGUUCUUGCCCUUCUUUUAAAAGAUUUUGAGGCUUUCAAAUUCCCUCAAUUCAAGUUUCUUCAAUUUAAACAUGAUGCAUGCUCAUGGAUGCAACUAUUACACUCAGAUAUUCUAGGGCUGUGACAACUCACCCCCACUAAACAAGAAUCUCGUCCCGAGAUUCAAGUCGUGAGGUAAGAAGACAGAGGGGACACGGAACUGACACAGUCUUCACGAUCCAUCGCAUUUCUGAAGAUGUUGAUUCGUUGCACCAUCUUGAACUUGACAUCCUCGCUUUUGAGAUCUUCAUCCACGUGAUGACGACAGAAAGGAACUAUAAUAGGAUUGAUCUUCUCGAAGAUCGAGCUAUACAAGAUCAACUCGUGGAAUGAGAUGUUGAAACAUCUCGAGUUGAGACACAAAACACAUCGGGAGGGAUGGAAGAACAAACGACGGGGUUUGAUUUGGUGGGCAACAAUUCCACGCUUAGAAAGAUGGUGGAUGGUGUCAAGGUGGCGAGGAAAUAAUUGCCAUGAUCCCGUAACGGGGCACCUUGGGAAAGGUGACUCAUUGGAUUGUUCCCUUAAGUGGCAAAAAGAAUUACUUUUGAUCCAUAGAUCAUUGAAACUCUUCAUACCAGCUUAAGGCAAUUUACAAUUGAUCGUUUGAAAGAGCUCAAAGAAAUGGCAUACUCGAACUAGGAUGGAUGAUGUGGACUACCUUGUUGAAGACAACGCAAUGGAUGACUUUUGCUUAUCACCGGAAAUGUAUGGGACCCAUGGUAGGACCACUUUUGAAGAUGAUCCUAACCAGAGAUUACCGAGAAGGGUAGUCCAUGGUAUAAUGGCACAAUGGCGGUGCAAGCUAGGAACAAAAUGCUAUUUCUGGGAAUGAUUCUGGUAACUGGGAAAUAACUCAACAGUCGAGAGUGAUUCCACUUCUUGAAUGGUUAUGGAAUAAUCGAAGAAACUAAGAGCACAAGGAUCCCUAAGGAGCAACUUCUAGAAUAAGUCACAUGAAAUCCUCAUGAAGAAGAUGGUCAAAUAUUGCAAUCAAGAUACUAUAAUGACAGAUCUUCCGGCUAGGUGUUUCGGCUAGAACAUCAAUCUUGUCGGGACCUACAUCAUAGUUCUUGGAAAAGUUCCAACCAUCAUAUCUGCCAGAGAUUCAGAUCUGGUUGGUAAGGAAUAUUUCAGACAGCAUGUCCGGAAAAGAAAGUUUGCAACACAAACCGACGAGAUGAUGUUGCGAGAUUCUCGGGGAGUGAACUACGAUAGCAAGCUCCAAAACAUGAGCUGGUUCUGCUACAUACAUGUGAACACACUAUCCCAGACAAGCAUGACCACGUAGUAGUCUUAUAAUAAACACUACCGAGUUCAGGUGGGGAACCAUCAUCGAGGAUAUCGAAGUCCUUGUAUAAGUCUUGCUCUUAAGAAGGAACUUCUUUUCCUUGAACAAAUCAAUCAGUGGCUUGGUGUACUAGGAGAUACAUAUGGAAUGGAGGUAGCGAGCCUGUCAAACCAUAGCAUACUUCGUACAUGCAUGACUGACUUGGGAUGGUACCGGAGGGAUCAAAAACAAUCUUUCUCGAACUCACGGCGGCAACUUCCACCAAAUGCACAUGAAUCAGAGAAAGUCGCUUCUUUCAUCCAACAUAUGCUUCAUGAACGGGACAUGAAGAUAAUGCUUUUAGAAGUUUCCAACACUAGCGGGAUGUUCAACACGAAUCAUGGAGGAGAUAAAAAUGUUGCUGAUGGGCUCAACAACAAUUCAUCCAGGUUUCCAUAUAAGUGGAAUUCCACAAUUAUGUGAACAAGGUGAUAGCAUUGGUCAGACCCAAAAUAUAUAAUGGUGUAUGCUCGAAGAAACAACCACGAGUAAGACAACAUUACGAAUAUCGUUGGUUCUGAUUUGAUUUGAGGAUAGCCCAUACUCAAAUCAAAGAUUGGAUAAGAUGAUAGGUCCGUUAACUGAUCACAAGGGUCAGUCGAUGAAAAUGCCAUCUUUCUUCAACACACUUACAAGAUAUCCCUUACAAUGAACUAAGUCGUACAAGCUUUUAUCUUCCAACUCUCCAAGUUGUUGUUUAGCCUAACCAACUAGCUCAGGGGUAUCCAACACAGAUUCUUGGAGAAAAGGGUGGUUUAUAAGAAACCAACUUGAUCACGAACUCAACAUAGCGGUCAGGUGACAACCUAGUAAUACCUCCGAGAAAAUAUUCGGAAUAUUACGAACCACCGAUAUGUUAUUAAGCUCAAGAACAAUCUUGCCUUUCAAGGCAGGAUGACAUGAUCAAAAGAGCGAGGGUUUGGCAAAAUCCUAACUCAUCGAUCGAAAAGUGCACCAGGAAUAAGGACUAGGUUGCACGAUCAAUCUUAGAAUGAUGAUUCAGUUACCAUCACGCUAAGAAUGAGAAUAUUGUCCAUUUACUACCAAGCAACGAGUUGCUCGGAGUAUUGAUUUCACACAUCAUGAUUCACUUGUCGGCAUUUCGGUUACGACAACACGAUGACCGAGGAAUGAAUGAUGAUGGUGAGAAGUAUCACUGCAUCAAGAAUUCAUAAGAGAUGGUACAAUUCCUAUGAUAUUCUUGACAUAAAGAGGGCAACACUCCAAGGUAGAAUAGAACAAAAGAUGGAUUGGCAUUUUGAUCUGCGGGAUACAACUACUUUGACCCAUUCCUAGAUAUGGAUGAGGUACUAGAGUUUGUUUCUCCUAGACAUUCCGGAAUAGAAUGGCUUGACGGACCACAAGAAUAAUAGGCAUCAAUGAGCACAAAUGCACGACAUACUCUUGACUAUCAAUUGGUACACGAGGGUCGGAAUCCAACCGAAGAGGGACAACUCAAAGGAACAUAGCACUUUUUGAGUUGUGGAUGCAUAGAUUAGUAUGUUGAACAAAGCUCAACACAUUUCUUCCAGAUAAUCCAUGCAUAAAGGUAGGACUGGCAGAUUCACAAUGCAUAAUGGAGAACUCCUCAAGAGCACUCUUGUUGUGAUCUUUUGGUUCAAGAGAACUCUUGCCAUAUUGGUUCAUGGUAUUGGAAGAACGAUGUACCACGGACCUCGAGGACUAUCGCAAGGUUACUAAUAUCCUAAAGGAACUAGCAAACACUUUCAAGACGAGGUAAGUAGUGUGAAUCUCGGGUUCAAAAACCCAGGAAUAGAAUGCCUACUAACUAAGUGGCAUCACGAGAUGCUUUCGAGAAUGAUGGCCAGAAUCAUCACAUCGGAACACAAAACAUGGCUAGAUUACUAGGUGACUCCCUAAAACACCUAGGGUCAUAAUAAUAGCCCCAACAUAUAUACCGAGGCAAUAGAGUACCUCAACACACCGGUUAGUGUGCUUAUUCUGACCAAAAGGACAUCGGGAAUGGAAAGAAAGGAUUUGCAGAUGCAUCAGACUAUUUAGUAACCUGGGAUGACUCGGACAACAUAACGGCUAUAAUUGCUCAAAAGAUUUGAGACAACUUGCAAAAAAAUGGUGGCAUAGCCACUCAACAUCACAAACUCAAGGUUCUGAGGCCAGCUAUGAACAUAUGGAAGUAGUAGGAACUAAACUGAGGCUUGAACUCAACAAUCCUAGGCAACUACGGUUUAGUAACACGUCAUCCUGAGAGAUAGAAGAGAAGCCUAGUUCUUACCCCCGUAGAAAAGAUAAGAUGACUCACAUCAGAGGGUCAUGAGGAUAAGGAGUAAAAAGAGCCUUACGUUCCCAUCCACAAUCAAUUCCCUUAUAUAAAUAAAGCAUUUCUAGACACGACUUCGACCAGCUUGGCUUGGUAAUCCUACAGGAAGUCAGGCUCUGAUACCAAAGCUGUCAGGACCCCGAUUCCAAGUCACAUCGAUAUAGCCGGUAACACCUCAUAUCACUUUGCGGCCUCACGCAUGGUAUUCCCACGGGUGUCGCCUUACCAUGGCCCGAGACCAUUUGCGCCUUUUGGCUCACGUAUAUGAUAGUGUCGCUAGCAUCCAUAUGACAGAGAACCCGGGCCGACAUGACUAGUCAUGAACCCAAAGUGGCACUAACUUACGAGGACAGGCAUACAUGAAUCAACAUCGAGCAUGUCGGUCAGCAGCGUGCGAAUCCGGGAUGUGGCACUGGGCUAACAGGACUCCGGUGAACCGGUCUGUAGCAGGCUAGGCAGGACUCCGGAUGUCACCGCGUGACAUUUCCCCGAAGGGACAGACACAGGAACGAAGUGAAUCACAUGCCGGCCAGUCAAGUGUCUGGAGCAGUAGUGCUGGGCUAGCAGGACUUCGGUGAACCGGGCUGUAGUGGACUACUAUGGCUCAUGGAAGCACAAGACUACAUUUCCCCAUAAGAGAGGCUACCAAGGAUAAACAACUAGGUUGUCGGAUCCCACACAUACCAAGCAUUUCAGUCAUACACACAAUAUGCUCGAUAUGUGUAAAUACAACAUGGCAUCACAACAAAACUCUACGACUCAAAGUAUUUAUUCAAAAGGCUCCAGAGAGCCAUACAUAACAUGUUCAUACAGGUAGGGGUCACAUUACUCGACACUCAAGUCAUACAAGCAUACAAGCACAUGCGGAAGCUUAACAUGUCUGGGUACAGACAUCUACAAAUGAAAAAGGCUGAGAAGCCUGACUAUCUUCAAGACACUGCCGAGGUCACAUGAACGUAGCUGAGGUAUCAAGCUAAACGUCGAAGUACACACGAAACUAAUAGCGAGACUGACGUCUCUCUGCAAAACAUAAAAUAGGCAAACGUGAGUACAAAUGUACCCAGCAAGACUUACAUCAGAACUAACUACACAUGCAUCGGUAUCAAUAAAGGGGUAGUGGAUUUUAACUGUAGUAAGCCAGCUUCGACUCGGUGGCUAUCUUAAACUACGACUGCAAGUAACUCUUUUGAGGUGGCGCACACGAGUCCACAUAUUCACCAUAUCAAUACACCACUAUGGAUCCGCUCCCGUCUCCCUACGAGAACGCCAUCCUUAGCACUCACGCUUAUCUUGUGCAUUUUAGAGUAUCCACUUUCACUUGUCUAUGAACUAUGCAAGGGGUCCAAGUUUCCAUAUCCGAGGAAUCCGGCUAUUCAAAUAGAUAAUGAUAACCCUGCAGGGGUGUACUUCUUCACACACGCUCUCACCACUUAUCACCAUAUACACGUCAUGUAUCUCAGCAACCUUCAAGCGGAAGCCUGGCGAGGGUGUCGGCCAUGACCUGACUAACCACACAAGUCUCUAGUCCAGGUUUAUCGCCUAUUCGGGUUCCAUCCGCGAGGAGAUCCGGCCGAAGUUUUGCUCACAACCCCAAACAAUGUGUGCAGGGUUCCCGAGACACCAAACGGGCGCCCGGUACACCGUGCCACGGUGUAUCUACCGCAUUAUAGCCCACCCCUAGGGUCAGCGCUACGCACGGCCGCCAACACAUAUCCUAUAAACACCAGAAACUAGUUGCAACUCCUGGACAGAGGACUAGGGCAGUUAAUAAGUCGAGAGGGUCAAUUAAGGAUCCCAAUGAGUGGUAGUAGCUGUUCAUGGAUCACCAACACAGAACUCAGUUCCUGAGGACGGUUUCAAUGAGACAACCCACCAAGUAUAACAUGGCCUCUCACCGCUACCUUUACCAAAUCGUGUUCACACACUUAGCUCACACACAGUAGGGCAUGUUCAUCGCCAUUCCAAUUCAUCCCCGAUGAAUCAGACCUGACUCAACUCUAAGCAGUAGCAGGCAUGACAAACAAGCAUGAAUGAGUAGGCACAUCAGGGCUCAAACAACUCCUACUCAUGCUAUUGGGUUUCAUCUAUUUACUGUGGCAAUGACAGGUCAUGCAGAGGAAAGGGGUUCAACUACCGCAGCAUGUAACAGUUGAAUCGUUGUUGUCCUAAUGCAGUAAAAGAGAGCAGGAGUGAGAGAGCAGGAUUAUAUCAGAAUGAACAAGGGGGUUUUGCUUGCCUGGCACUUCUGAAGAUAGUAUAGUUCUUCAUUGGUGUCAACGAUCUCAUCGUCGAAACCACGUCUAUCGAGAGGGGACAAAUACCGGCACAAAGAAAGAAACACAAUCAAUGCAAUGUACAAUAUGAUGCAUGAUCAUGACAUGGUAAAAUGAGAGUGUUGGGCUAAUGCAACUACAACCAGAUGGGUUUGAGCUAUUUUGAAUCAAAGAUUCAAAGUUCAAACUCAUUUGUGAUCUUAAAUAGUGCUUUAUCAUGUUUUGCACUAAACAGCAAGUUAAAUUGUUUAAACAUGCAUGAAACUAGUACAUAUGGAUAGAUUGGAUUUUUCUGAUCAUUUUUCAUAUAUAAAUCUUUUCAAUCCGAGUUAUAGAUUAUUUUCUAUGAUUUUUAGAAGUUUUGAACAUUUUCUGGAAUUUCCUGAUUAUUAAUAAAUCCAGAAAAUGUAUUACUGCGUCAGCAUCAGGUCAUGCUGACAUCAGCAGGUCAACAGGGGCUGGUCCGGGUCAAACCUGACCAGUGGGGUCCACUGGUCAGUGACUCAAUUAACUAACAGGGUUAAAUAGGAUUAAAAUUAAGAGGCACUUGGCCCAUUAUCAGUGUCAGAAGUGGGGUAAUUAGUCCUAAACUAAACGAGUCAGGGCGGGGCCCACAUGUAUUGACCACAGGGAGGUCAAACCCCGGUCGAAUGGGACAAACUCGCUGGUGUUGAGUCGCCGGCGAGGUCAGCGGCGGCGAGGGGCUUCGGAGAACCCCUCUGGUGCACCGUUUGGCACGCGGUUGGGCUCUGCGGGACGCUGGCAAAGCGGCGCAUCGAACGGCGAUGGGCUCCGGGCCUGGGGUGGCCAGAAACACCGAUGGCGAGCAGUGCAGCGGAGGCUGGAGCUCAGGCCCGCUCGGGUUAGGUGCUAUGGCGCGCAAACGCGCGAACUAAAGCUCAGGGGCUGCUCUACGUGAGGCUGCUAACGCGUUGCACACUGGCGCAUGACCAAAUGGUCACCGGAGCGUCGCCGGGGUCGAGCUUGUGCGGCGGAGCGUCUCGGCUCUGGUGGAUGAGGCGGCUAGAGCUCGAAAUUGGGCAUGGAGUUAGGGGGAAACGAAGCAGGGGCUCACAUGGAGUCAGUAGGGCGGCUCAGCAAGCUCGGGGAGGUCCGGACGGCGGCGGAAUCACGGCGGCGAUCGUCGGGACCCGAGGAUGAAGAUGACAUUGAUGGUGGCACUUCGGGGGCCUUCCAGUCACGUGGAUCGGCGGGGACGGUGUAGCGGAUGACGGCGGAGCUCAUGGGCCGGUCGAGGGAGCGAGGGGGAUGCGGUGGACACGGUGGCAGCGAACGGCGGCGACGGCUGCGCUCGGUGUACUCGGGAGAGAGAAACAGAGGAGGGGAGGAGCACAGGGAGAGUGAGAGGGGUCAGGGGGUUGCGUGGCGUCGCGGAGGACGUCCAGGGCAACGAGGGGACAGCCAGGCAGGCAGCUGCCGGCGUGGCACGCCGCGACGCCGUGGCUAGCUUCUCUACCUUCUGGCGAGAGGAGGAAGACAACUGGCAGGGGGUGGCUGGGCUGGGCCGGCUUCAACAGCAGGCCGCACAGGUGGGCUGGUCUCUCUGGUGGGCUGCUGCUACAGGUAAGAAGCCCAGGUGAGUUUUUCUGCUCUGUUUUAAUUUUUGUUCUGUUUUCUUUUAUUUAUUUAAACUUGCCACUGUUUAAAAUUUAGAACAAUCAAAACAGUGCCAAAUAUCCUCCAAGUAUAACUUAUGUUGCUCAUUGGACAUUUCCAAAUGCACAUAAAUUAUCACAGAGCAUUUAAAGACAUGUCCAUAUAUAUAUAUAUGAAUAUAUUUUCAAAUUCAAAUAUUGUUUUAAAUUCAGAGACCAAAUAAUUUCUUUAAAAUGUUCCAAAAUUUUGGUUUGGCAUAUAACCCUUGCCAAAAUUCUCAAAACUAUUUUUAGGGAAUUUUGGAUUCACUGAAUGCAAUUUAAAGGGUUCUUGCCCUUCUUUUAAAAGAUUUUGAGGCUUUCAAAUUCCCUCAAUUCAAGUUUCUUUAAUUUAAACAUGAUGCAUGCUCACGGAUGCAACUAUUACACUCAGAUAUUCUAGGGCUGUGACAGUGAUUUUUUGAACAAAUGUGAUCCAGGAGACUUGGAGUGGACGUCAAGAAUCAAUCAAGGAGGCCACAAGGCAGGGGGCGCGCCCACCCCCUGGGCGCGCCUCCACCCUCGUGGGCCCCUCGUUGCUCCACCGACCUACUUCAUCCUCCUAUAUAUAUCCAUAUACCCCGCAAACAUCCAAGAGCACCACGAAACCCUAUUUCCACCGCCACAGCCUUCUGUACCCAAGAGAUCCCAUCUUGGGGCCUUUUCCGGAGCUCCGCCGGAGGGGCAUCGAUCAUGGAGGGCCUCUACAUAAACUCCAUGGCCCCUCCGAUGAUGUGUGAGUAUUUUACUUCAGACCUUCGGGUCCAUAGCUAGUAGCUAGAUGGCUUCUUCUCUCUCUUUGGAUCUCAAUACAAAGUUCUCCUCGAUUCUCUUGGAGAUCUAUUCGAUGUAAUCUUCUUUUGCGGUGUGUUUGUCGAGAUCCGAUGAAUUUUGGGUUUAUGAUAAAGUUUAUCUAUGAACAAUAUUUUAUGUAUGAUUUUUAUGUAUGAUUGGUUUAUAUUUGCAAGUCUCUUCAAAUUAUCAGUUUGGUUUGGCCUGCUAGAUUGAUCUUUCUUGCAAUGGGAGAAGUGCUUAGCUUUGGGUUCAGUCUUGCGGUGCUCGAUCCCAGUGACAGAAAGGGAAACGACACGUAUUGUAUUGUUGCCAUCGAGGAUAAAAAGAUGGGGUUUACAUCAUAUUGCAGAGUUUAUCCCUCUACAUCAUGUCAUCUAUCUUAAGGCGUUACUAUGUUCUUAUGAACUUAAUACUCUAGAUGCAUGCUGGAUAGCGGUCGAUGUGUGGAGUAAUAUUAGUAGAUGCAGAAUCGUUUUGGUCUACUUGUCACGGACGUGGUGCCUAUAUAUAUUACCAUACCUAGAUAUUCUCAUAAUUAUUCGCUUUUCUAUCAAUUGCUCGACAGUAAUUUGUUCACCCACUGUAAUACUUAUGCUCUUGAGAGAAGCCACUAGUGAAACCUAUGGCCCCGGGGUCUAUUCUCCAUCAUAUAAGUUUCCAAUAUAUUUUAUUUGCAAUCUUUACUUUCAAUCUAUAUCAUAAAAAUACCAAAAAUACUUAUCUUAUUAUUAUCAUCUCUAUCAGAUCUCACUCUUGCAAGUGGUCGUGAAGGGAUUGACAACCCCUUUAUCGCAUUGGUUGCAAGGUUCUUAUUUGUUUGUGUAGGUACGAGGUGACUCGCGCGUGGUCUCCUACUGGAUUGAUACCUUGGUUCUCAAAAACUGAGGGAAAUACUUAUGCUUCUUUACUGCACCACCCUUUCCUCUUCAAGGGAAAACCAACGCAGUGCUCAAGAGGUAACAAUCAUGCACAACCCAAUGACAAGCCAAGCAAUUGUUUCAUACUUUUGAUGUUCUCAAACCUUUUCAACUUUCACGCAUUACAUGAGCGUGAGCCAUGGAUAUAGCAAUAUAGGUGGAAUAGAAUAUGAUGAUGGAGGUUCUGUGGAGAAGACAAAAAAGGGAGAAAGUCUCACAUCAACGCGGCUAAUCAACGGGCUAUCGAGAUGCCCAUAAAUUGAUGUCAAUGCGAUGAGUAGGGAUUGCCAUGCAACAGAUGCACUAGAGCUAUAAGCGUAUGAAAGCUCAAACAGAAACUAAGUGGGUGUGCAUCCAACUUGCUUGCUCAUGAAGACCUAGGGCACUUGAGGAAGUCCAUCAUUGGAAUAUACAAGCCAAGUUCUAUAAUGAAAAUUCCCACUGGUAUAUGAAAGUGAUAACUCAAGAGACUCUCUAUAUGAAGAGCAUGGUGCUACUCUAAAGCACAAGUGUGGUAAAAGGAUAGUAACAUUGUCCCUUCUCUCUUUUCUAUAUUUUUUUUACUUUUUUUCUUUUUUUGUAGGCUUCUUUGGCCUCUCUCUCUCUCUUUUUUUGGGGGGGGGGGGGUUCUCUGGCCACUUUUAUUUUGGUAACCUCACAUGGGACAAUGUUCUAAUAAUGAUGAUCAUCACACUUUUAUUUACUUAAAACUCAAUAUUACAACUCGAUACUAGAACAAAGAUAUGACUCUAUAUGAAUGCAUCCGGCUAUGUAUCGGGAUGUGCAAUGAUAUAGCGUAGCAAUGAAAUCAAAAAAACGGACAAGCCAUGGAAACAUCAUGCUAGCUAUCUUACGAUCAUGCAAAGCAAUAUGACAAUAAAUGCUCAAGUAAUGUAUAUGAUGAUGAUGGAAGUUGCAUGGUAAUAUAUCUCGGAAUGGCUAUGGAAAUGCCAUGAUAGGUAGGUAUGGUGGCUGUUUUGAGGAAGAUAUAAGGAGGCUUAUGUCUGACAGAGUGUAUCAUAUCACGGGGUUUGGAUGCACCGGCAAAGUUUGCACCAACUCUCGAGGUGAGAAAGGGCAAUGCACGGUAUCGAAAAGGCAAGCAAUGAUGGAAGGGUGAGAGUGCAUAUAAUCCAUGGACUAAACAUUAGUCAUAAAGAACUCACAUACUUAUUGCAAAAAUCUAUUAGUCAUCGAAACAAAGUACUACAUGCAUGCUCCUAGGGGGAUAGAUUGGUAGGAAAAGACCAUCGCUCGUCCCCAACCUCCACCCAUAAGGAAGACAAUCAAUAAAUACCUCUUGCUCCUACUUCGUUACAUACCGGUUCACCAUACGUGCAUGCUACAGGAAUCACAAACUUCAACACAAUUAUUUCUACAAUCCACAACUACCCACUAGCAUGACUCUAAUAUCACCAUCUUUAUAUCGCAAAACUAUUGCAAGGGAUCAAACAUAUCAUAUUCAGUGAUCUACAAGUUUUAUGUAGGAUUUUAUGGCUAACCAUGUGAAUGACCAAUUCAUGUCAUCUCUCUAAUAGAUAUAAGUGAAGAAAGAGAGUUUAAUUGUUUCUACAAAAGAUAUGCCCAUGCUCUAACAAAUAUAAGUGAAGCACAAGAGCAUUCUACAAAUGGCGGUUUUCUAUGUGUAGGGAAACAGGCAAUCCAAACUUCAAAUGAUAUAAGUGAAGCACAUGAAGCAUUCUAUAAAGCCAUACUCAAAAUAUAUAAGUGAAGUGCAAAGAGCAUUCUAUAAAUCAACCAUGGACUAUCUCAUACCAGCUUGGUGCAUCAAAGAAAAGUGAAAACUAAAUGCAUAAGGCACUCCAAGAUUUGCACAUAUCACAUGAACGAAACAAAACCGAAAACAUACCGAUACUUGUUGAAGAAAGAUGGGAUGCCUUCCGGGGCAUCCCCAAGCUUAGACGCUUGAGUCUCCUUGAAUAUUUACUUGGGUUGCCUUGGGCAUCCCCAAGCUUGAGCUCUUGCCUCUCGUCCUUCUCCUCAUAUUAAGACCUCCUCGAUCCUUGAUCACUUCAUCCACACAGAACUCAACAGAAAGUUUUGUAAAAUCCGUUAGUAUAAUAAAGUAGAUCACUACUCUAAGUAACAUUGCAAACCAAUUCAUAAUUUGUUUUUGCAUUGUAGCUACUGUAAUUUAACUUUUCCAUGGCUUAAUCCACUAAUAGAAAUCAAUAGUUUCAUCAAAACAAGCAAAUAAUGCAUCAAAAACAGAAUCUGUCUUAAACAGGACAGUCUGUAGUAAUCUGAACAUUCACCAUACUUCUGGUACUCCAAAAAUUCUGAAUAAAUUAGUAAAUUUGUAUAUAAAGACAGUGCAAAAAAGUUUCAGAACCGUUUGACAUUCCAGUCAAAAAUGUAAAAUCGCGCACUACAACCAAAGUUUCUGUUUUGCACCGCACAAACCAACAAGCAAUGUAGACAUCCUAAAAGCAAAUCUUGGCCAUUAUUUUUAUAAUACAAUGAAAUUGUACAAGGGGAUAAUUAUUUUUGUUGAAAAGUUUCUGUAAUCAAGAUUCACAAAGUUUCCGCGAGCAUGGAAAAAGUUCAAGGAGCUCCCUCACUUCAACAAUGCUUGUCUCUCUCACUUUCACUUUCCUUUUUGAAAAGUUUUGGGUUCCCCUCUUUUGUUAAAACUCUAUAAAAGCACUCAACAGAAAUAAAUGACUCUCUAAAACUUCCGGGUUGUCUCCCUGGCAGCGCUUUCUUUAAAGCCAUUAAGCUAGGCAUAAGGUGCUCAAGUAAUGAAUCCACCCGGAUCCCAAGGUAUAUCAAAGCCAAUUUGAAUUAGCAAUGAUUUGGCAUUUAGUAGUGAGCACAAAGCAACAUAUAUCAGGCAAUGACGAAGUCUAACUCUCUUCCUAUGCAUCGGCAUGUCAUACAAGAACAAUUCAUGCACAUCAAGUAAAGGCCAAUGCAUAGCAAAAGAAGUUUCUUGCAAUUUUAUCGUGUUGGAAACAUAGAGAGGCGGAGAUGUAGUUCCUCUCUCAUAAUAAUUGCAAGUAGGAGCAGCAAGCACAUGCGUAUUAUAUUCAUCAAAGUUAUCAUGUGCAACGGUAAAAGGCCACCCAUCAAUAUAAUCCUUAAUAAGUGCAAACUUCUCCGAUAUAGUGUAGUUUGGAGAAUUCAAAAAGAUAAUAGGACUAUCAUGUGUGGGUGCAAUAGCAACAAUUUCAUGUUUAACAUAAGGAACAAUAGCAGGUUCAUCUCCAUAAGAAUAACUCAUAUUGGCAUCUUGGCCACUAGAAUAGCAAGCAUCAAGUUCAUCAAAAAGGGAUAUUUCAAAUGAAUCAAUGGGAUCAUAGCAAUUAUCAUGGCAUUCAUCCUUCGGUAAGAAUGAAGGGACAUUAAUAAUGUAUGAGUUGGAGAGUUACUCUCACUACAAGGUGGGUACGGGUAGCUAAUACGAUCUUCCUCCUUUUGUUCUUCGCUCUCAUCAUCAUCUUUUUCAUCUAAUGAGCUCACAGUUUCAUCAAUUUCUUCUUCCAUAGACUCCUGUAAAAUAUUAGUCUCUUCUCGGACAACGGAGACUUUCUCAAUAAAUUCAUCAAUAUCAUAAUUGCAUUUAUAAUUCUCAUAGCAAUAUUUACGGAUAGCUAAAUUUUCAGGUCUAUAAACUGAAUCAUCAAAAUCUUCAAACUCUUUAAACAAAGAUUCAAUUUCACAAGCACCCUUAAAAGCAACAAAUUCUUCUAUUCGUUCCAUAUCAUAGUAAUCAUAUAUACCAUUAGCAUAAGAAGCUAAGGUUUCAUUAUCAUUAAAUUUACAUGAAAAGGGAAGGUGUGGAGCUUUCAUCCUAGAGCAACAAGUAUAAUCAUAUAUCAAGCAUAGUUGCCGAGCAUACCAAUGCAACAUAUAAAUUUGAUUCCUUAAUAGUUUCCCUUUUUGAGUCAAGCGAUAAUCCCUAAAGUAUUCACGUUGAUCCAACGUGUCUCCCAUUAUAUAAUUGAAUCAGGUUUUCUCAGGGUUAUUAAAGUAGUGCAUAAUAUCUUUCACAUAAUGAGCAUCAAGGGUUUUACGAGGUUCCCCAUCUCCAUGAGUAGCAAGAAACCUAUUUUUUUGGUAUUUAGUGUUCCAUAUCCAUAACUAAAGACAGAGACACUUCAAAAAAAGACACUUCUGUGAUGAUACGUGUUUGUCAUAGUAGGUCACAUUUUCUGUCAUGCAUGUACAUCCAUGACAAAUUUAUGAUGGAACGAAGAUAGUCAUACAUGUGUUGUCGUAGAAGUGUUCCAUGACAUUACCAAAAUUAUCAUCACGGAAGUGUCCACUUCCAUGACGAUAAAUCGUGCGUCAUAGAAGUGCUGUCGUCAAGGGUGACCGACGCAUGGCAUCCACCGUAACGGGACGCCGUUAAGCUAUAGGGUCCGGUUUUGGAUCCGAUAACCCUCUAACAGCCAUGACCAAUGCCGAUUUUCCACGUGUAAAAUUCUCAUUGGCCGACGGAACCACGCGUCAGCUCCGCGUUGGCACAGGUGUCACUCAUCCAACGGUCGAGAUGGGCCUAUGAUAUGUUGACACGUGGACGGGCCCAAAAGUGUCCCAUAAAGUUUAAAUGGGUCGGCCCAACUAAAGGCCCAUAAGAUUUAGCAGACCAUAAUGGGUUGGCCCAGCUAAAGGCCCACAAGCUUUUGCAGACCAUAAUGGGCCGGCCCAGCUAAAGGCCCACAAGAUUUAGGAGACCGCAAUGGGCCAUCCCAGCUAAAGGCCCACAAGAUUUUGCAGACCAUAAUGGGCCGGCCCAGCUAAAGGCCCAACAUUCUCAAUUAAGUCCCGUACAGCUAGUGUCAAAUCGGCCCGUCAACGGCAUGUCCUAAACUUGUCAUAAUCGCGGCCCAUGGUCACUUCUGGCCCAUGAACAGUCCGCUAAGUAUAUCGGUUGAAUUACGGCCCGGUGUAUUUCCGUCCUGUUAAAGGUCCUGCUUCAUUUGGGCCCGUUUACAGGCCAUUGAAACUUUUGGCCCAUAAACGACCAUGAAGGAUUUGGGUCAUAUUCGGCGAUGUCUGACAUCCGGCCUGUUAGAGGCCCACUAUAGAUUUGGGCCACUUUCAGCCUGUUGUGAUUUUCGGCCUGUUAACGUCGGACGAAAUCCAUGGGCCAUAUGUGGCCCAACGUCACAUCAGGCCCAUUAACGGCCCAUAUAAAAAUGACGAUAAUCUAGCCCGACCGAACUUCCAGCCUGUUAAAGGCAUGUGUAUUAGGUCGGCGGAUUUACGGCCCGUCCGAAUUUCGGCCUGUGAAAGAUCCGCAUCGUAAAUGGGCCACUGUUUCGUCCUGCUAAGCCUAGUGGGUUAUUUGGCACAAUCAGGGCCCAAUCUCACUUUCGGUCUAUUAAAGGCCCAUGCUUUUUAUGACCUCGAGAUAUUUACACUUGUAAACGGCCUAUUGUUACUGACGGCCCAAAUUAUGUUUAGGCAUGUUAAAGGCCCACUAUUGGCACAGGCCUACCAGAAAAAUAUGAAAGCUUAUGCUGAUUUAGGCCCAGAUAUUUUUAGUGGGCUACAUGCAAAUUUCGGCCCAUAAUCGUUUUUAGCCCAAUUGGAAUGGGCCCGACGAAUGUUGGCAUGUUGGGCUCCUAUGAGGCUUUCCGCCGAAUACAUUACUAAGAUAAACCUACACUAUACAAAAAUAGCGUCGUAAUUACUGCAGCCUUUGGCAGCAUCAUAAAUGUUGUAUCACAACAAAAUAAAUUCCAACCAUACAACAAAAGGCCUCUUGGCAUAAAGUUUAUAGUCCUUGCAGAUAAAAGCACCAUCAGAUGUAUAUAAGCACAGAUCAUUUGACCUGAGUGCUGAUGUUUCAUGCUGUAGAAUAUGAUGGAGCAGCACGGUCUUCACCUUUUAUCCACCAUUGCUCUUGAACAAAGAAGUGAAUGUCUGAUAGUCUGGUUCCAAAACCAUUCAUAUCUUGACGACAUUUGUCAACCACUAUUCUUGUUUCCAAAACAACGUCCAUUAGGGAUUGGACUUGUGUCUGGAGCACAGAUAUAUCACUCUGUCUAGCAGGAAGAUUUUGUUCAGUAGACGAUUUGGACGAGGUUGCCUUGACAACCAAUCCAGAAUUACGCAGGAAGGUGCUUUUUGCACUGUUAGUGGAGAGAUACUGAUGCACUGCAGCAAGAGGUGACAUUGUGCCUAUGGUAGCCUCGUCACCUUCAGGUGGUUGUGGCUGUUCAACCAUUUGUUCCAUAGCUUCCUGAAAGUUUGAACUUGUAGAUUAGUGUACUAGAUAAGUUACUAAUGAGACAAAAACAAACAAAGUAGGUUACACAUUUAUACAUAACUUAUUUUGGUGAACUACUGUAAUACAUUAGCAUGUAUUGUAGUUCCAACUACAUAAUAAAAUCACUUUCGGAACAUAUGUCCAUGUACCAUGCCUACUGUAUUAUCUAUUUCCUCACAUUCAUUGACAUCUAAGGAUAAAGAGACAUGGUUUAAAGUAGGAUGAACAUAGUAUGACAUCAUUCAUAUCAUGGGCAAACAUAUAUAAAACAAACAGGCUAUUUUAUCAUUAUGUGCGCAUGUGAACAUAACAACUAGAUUACAGAUCAAGAUCAAAAGAAUAUCAUUCAUCUCUUUUAAACCAUGUAAGGUGAAAUGAUACGUUAAGAAAACUGUGUAUAAAAGUGAACAGAGUAACUUACAUUGGCUGCAAACCAAGUAGUUAAAUGAACAUAUCACAGUACCAAUCAGUUCAAAGGCAGGAGGAGUAAGGACUUACAACAUCGGCUUUAACUGGUGUGCUCAUGCCCUUCAUCUUGCUGGUGUGGCAAUCCUUGAAGAUUUGCACUGCAUUCGGUUCAGGUUCUUUUUGGUCCGCAUAGGCUUUCCUCUGUAUUUGGAACAAGUCAAUGUAGAUACGAUAAUAUGGCACAGAAAAAAUAAGGAAGUAGCAGCUAUUUACAAGAGCCUCGCAGUGUGCAAUAUAGCUACGAGAUCCUGUUGUCUGUUGGAAUUUCACUUUAGAACAGUUGGUCUUGUUCUCAAAGAGUUAGCCUAGAAGAAUAUACACUUGUAAGGCACAUACAUAAAUACAAGUUCAAUAUGUGGUCUGAUCAAAUACAUAUAGCCUACCUGAUACUUUGGAUCAGACCAGUGUUUAACGAGGUAUGUCCAGUCUUCAUCUGUAAUAUAUUCCACUAGAGAUGUUUGGGCGAUUUCAUUGUUAGCCCUGCCGUCAAAGUAAGAUUUUCUAAGGUAGUACCGAUACUGUCGCAAAGAAGACUGAAAAACAUGAGUGCAUGCUUGUUUAGUUGCAUCAUCUUUCGGAUCCAACUUGAACCUCAUCUGUUGAAAAAAGAAUGUGAGUCUUAUUAGGAGGAAGCUAGAAAGUAUGGGACAGAGCACGACAAUAUUACUAAGUGCGAUGAAUAACAUUACUUACGGAUAAAUGGUCAAGGAAGGUGUUAAACUGGGUAUUGUCUUUCUCAUUCCUGUACUGUAUCCACGUUGGGAGGAUACGUGCAUGACACCUAACGGUAAUGGCUACCUCUGAUACUAACUUGGCUGACUCUGUAGCAUCACGUGGCCUUUUUAAACCUACCUCAAAAUGGAUCUCCAUUCUUCCUCCUUUAAAUUUUGUUAAUCUAUCAAGCAUUAUCCCUGAUGUUUGUUUCCACUUGCGUUGUGGUGCUAGUUCAACAACGAAUGUGGAAAGUGUUAGUGUACAUCAAACUGUGGGAGUACAUAUAAAGGAGCAUGCAACUGCAACUUGACUAGGUCAGGUACCGUCUUGGUGUUGAUGCUCAUGAGGUUCAUCCGAUCUUGCCAAGUCCUGUUGUGUCAGCAGUGCUUCGGAAGUAGUGUUAGGUGUGAAGGCAGCUUGGGAACUGGCCAGUUCCGGAGCAAACGAACGAGUAACUCGUUGAGAUGCUGGUACAGUUGAAGCGGAUGUUGCAGCUGGUGGAGCAGGUGAUACUGGUUGUAGAUUUAGCCGGUGGACUUGGACCUUCUACUGCACUAUAAGUACCAGUAGAAUCUGGACAGCAGAUCCUUUUCCGUUUCUCCUGACGAGUAACACCACUCCCUACUAUAUUAUUUUCCUUGCUCUUUUUUGACUUUGCCAUGUCAAGCUAUACCCACAACACAAAAGAAUAAAAUCGCUCUUCAGAACUCAUUGAUGCAUAAUAUAGACAAGCAAUACUUUGAUGUAAGACAACCGUAUGAGGAUGGAAUAUGUAAGAAAAACAGGACGGCAUGACAUAUUCAUAGCUACGAUGUGUAAACUAAGCAGAAGGAUUUUUAAUAAAAUAGAAGUAAUGCAAGCUAGACACCAUAUGAAAGAUGCAACCAGUAUUACUCUGCCAAGUUAAAGUGUCUUGUCAUAAGUGGCAAUUCAAAAAAUUAGAAGCAGUACAAUGUAGAAAUCAAUGCAAGAUGCAACCGCUAUCAAACUGCCAUGUUAAAAGCCUCCAAUCAUGAGUGACAUACGGGAUACACAACAUUAGUACUUUGAUGUAAGAACAUGGUAUGAUAGAUAGAUGCAGUGUAUUCUAGACACAGAAUGCCAUGCCAUGUGCACAUGUAUAACAUAUAAACUCAGCAGGUGCAAUUUAAUCAAAAUAGAAGAAAUACAGACUUGACAACAUAUGCAACAUGAAACCAAUUAUCACACUAUCAACUUAGAGCAAGCACCUGCGAUGGUGGAGUAAGGGAGAUGAACUCAUCAUGUAGACUUGGGACUUCAACUUCAUUAGCAGUGGCAGUGGCAAAUCUAGAGAGUCUCUAUUUGCGUCGGUGCGGAGGACCACCAACAUCCCCUAACUUACUUUUUUCCUUCCUAUUUUUGAUAUUGCCUUUUGAAGUCAAAAACCACAAGAAGAUGAAUAAAAUUAGCUCUGCAUAACUGGUUGAUGCAUGAUACAGACGAACACUACUUUGAUCUAAGGCAAGCGCAGGAUAGGAGGAUGGAAUAUAUACAAAAAAGACAAUGUUUCAUAUUCAAACGUACGAUAGGAGGAUGAAAUAUGUAUGAAAAAACAGUAAGCGGAAGGCAUUUCAACAAAAUUAGAAGAAAUGAAAGCUAGGCACCAUAUGAACAUGCAACCAAUAUCACUCUAUCAGGUAAAAAUUGCCUCGCCGUAAGUGUCAUUUCAAGAAAUUAGAAGCAGUACAAGCUAGAAGACAAUGCAAGAUGCAACCUACAUCACAGUCCCAAGUUAAAUGUAUCUUAUGGGUAAGUGAUCAUUGCAGGUAUAAGUUGUAAGCUUCGCGGAUGCAAUUCAACAUAAUCAGAAGCAAUACAAACUAGACAUCAUACGGAAAACGCAACCACAUAUAACAUUUCCAAGUUAGAGCAAGCACAUGUGAUGGUGAAAUAGGGCAGAUGCACUACUGGAAUCAGAAUCUCUGCCGUCAGCCAUCUCUUUGUCGUCUGCUAGCUGACAACAAAGAAGGUCUUUGCCGUCUGCUAGAAGACAGCAUAGAAGCUUUGUCGUCUGCUAGAAGACGGCAAAGAGGGAGGGUGGCCCACUAGUGAGAACCAACUAACAGCCACUUUCUUUGCCAUCUACUGGCAAACGGCAAAGCUUGUUUAUCGUCUACUAGCGGAUGGCAAAAAAAGUGACCAACCUAACAUUCGUUAACUAGGCGCUUUGCCGUCUGCGACCUAACUAAAAAGCGGGCCAGCGCCCGCACCCGUGCCCCACCGCUCUCUCUGUCCGCUCUCUCUCUCUCCUGCCCGAGCCACCGCCGCCGCCCCUCACCCGCACCACACCCGUUCCCGAGCCACCGCCGCCCCACGCCACCCCCGCCGUCGGCCACCCGCCCCCACUACCCCCGUACCCGCACCCACAUCUCCUCUCUGCUCUCCCGCGCCCUCGGGUUAGCCACCGCCACCGCCCUUAAUCCGGCGAGCUCCGGCAACCAUGGUCGGCGUGCANNNNNNNNNNNNNNNNNNNNNNNNNNNNNNNNNNNNNNNNNNNNNNNNNNNNNNNNNNNNNNNNNNNNNNNNNNNNNNNNNNNNNNNNNNNNNNNNNNNNNNNNNNNNNNNNNNNNNNNNNNNNNNNNNNNNNNNNNNNNNNNNNNNNNNNNNNNNNNNNNNNNNNNNNNNNNNNNNNNNNNNNNNNNNNNNNNNNNNNNNNNNNNNNNNNNNNNNNNNNNNNNNNNNNNNNNNNNNNNNNNNNNNNNNNNNNNNNNNNNNNNNNNNNNNNNNNNNNNNNNNNNNNNNNNNNNNNNNNNNNNNNNNNNNNNNNNNNNNNCAACCCAUCCCUCCGCGACUAGGGUGUGGUGCGCGGCCUCGUCUCCGCCGCCGGCAUGCCUCUGGCGGUCCUCUACGCCUCGUCGCAUGGCUCCUCAUGCGGCUGCGCCUGCUGGACGCUGCUUCUCCACCACAAGGCAGCGGCAGAGGAGGGCCUUAUCCACCACCACGCAAUGGCAGCCAAGGUCCUCCUCCCCCAUCUCGCCUCUCUCCCUCUCUCAACCCCCUGUUUCUUCCGAUUUGGGAAGAAAAUUUCCUUUUUCCCUUGUGCAAUUUCUGAUCUGACCGGGUUUGUUUUUAGGGGCAUUAAUUUGGUGCUUUCCGUGUCCAGAGAAAAGUAGUAGAAGGGGAUGAGGAAGGAGGAGAAAGACCAGAAGAAGGGCAAGGGAGGUGGGGCGAUCUGAAUGUUCCUUGUUUAAUUUUUUUAUGUUGCAUGCUCUCUGAUUUCAGAGUAGAUUUCUUUACAGCUUGUUGAAUACCAAUGGUGUUCUCCUCUGUUUGAUUACUAUGGCUGGUUGCUUGUUUAACUUUUGUGUGAGAAAUAAUGGAGAUCAAGUGAGGUAAUCUUGUUUCUAAAUUUAGAUACAUGCAUGUAUGUGGGGCUCUAGUUCUAAACAUAGCAGACUACUACCCUCCUAUAUGUUGUGCGAACCAGAGAGCUUCUUAAUUGAUUAACAUUUUGGAUUGGUUUAAUUUUUCUAAAAAUGGCUGCUUCUGUUGUCACACAUACACAUGCUUCUGGACAGUGCUACUAGCUAUUAUCUUUGCUAUUUUUUUUAUUUGUUUCAACCAUGUACUGCUAGUUGUGGUUGUCAAACAAAAAGAAUUGGUUUAUGAUUCAUAAUGUACAGACAUUAGCUUGUCUUUUCAAGGAGUCGGUUUGUGAUACAUGCCCACCUAUUCAUUUUACUUUCAAAGAAAAGAAUUGGCUUGUGAUUUGUUAUGCUCAGGCCUCGGGCAUUAAUUUUCACUGUCACAUGCAUGGUUUCAGAUUACCUGUGAGGUCGUCCACCGCGACUGUCACUGUGAGGUUGGUUAUUUCCCUACAAACAUUGCUCUACUGUAGCCUAGUUCGUUUCUAUGCUGCUGGUUGUGAAACCAAACUAGGUGGGGGUGUGUGUGAUGAGGUUUGGUUUAGUGCUUGAUGCCACCGGACUGUAGGUUCUUGUGUAGGACUACUUGUUAUAUAACUCUGGUUCCUGAUGAGAUCAUGUAUAUACUAGGCUAGUUGCACUUUGGUUCUAUCUAUUUCAAAUCAUAUUUGGUCAU
RNAcentral lists this long non-coding RNA (99736 nucleotides) under Triticum aestivum (bread wheat). RNAcentral describes it as "long non-coding RNA (TAES_LNC014338)". The record is from RNAcentral. Lineage: Eukaryota; Viridiplantae; Streptophyta; Magnoliopsida; Poales; Poaceae.